Molecule: long non-coding RNA, 138605 nt
Filed under: Malus domestica (apple)
Lineage: Eukaryota; Viridiplantae; Streptophyta; Magnoliopsida; Rosales; Rosaceae
Description: long non-coding RNA (MDOM_LNC008863)
Rfam family: Plant small nucleolar RNA R71 (bases 115962-116066)
Source: RNAcentral
GCGCUAGGGUUCUUAUACAAACUGCAAGAAUACAAUCACAACUUCUAACUCCUACAAAUCAGCUAAGUAAAUAUUUGUACAAAGGGAAAGAAUAAAUCACUGAUAGUCAAUGAUUAUCAUGCUACCAAAUAGGAAGGAAACUAAUCAUAUCUCAACAGUUACAGACUUCUAACAGAACGCAAAGAACCUUCCGACGUAUGCCUCGACCUUCACCCGGCAACGAUUUCUGGCGAGCAACCGGGCAAGAAGACAGAUGCUGCAUCUCCAGAGACAAUGCUACUUGUAAAGAGGAGAGGACUAACCCACAAGUUAUGACAAACCUACCAAUAUUAAAUUUCAAUAUCUCGAGUCCAUGUGGAUGGUACGACAAUUUGAUCCAUACAUACAACAAAGACACACACAAGAAAGAAAAAUUUGGCCAACCGUUAAAAACAAACUGAGAUCAAAGAAAUCAAACAAUAAGGUACAUCAAUACAUUAAAUUAUAUGCAAUGCCUGCUGACAUCUCGGAAAUAUACCAACUAAACAGCAUACAACAACAACAACAACAACAACAAAGCCUUUUCCCACUAAGUGGGGUCGGCUAUAUGAAUCCUAGAACACCAUUGCGCUCGGUUUUGUGUCAUGUCCUCCGUUAGAUCCAAGUACUCAAGUCUUUUCUUAGGGUCUCUUCCAAAGUUUUCCUAGGUCUUCCUCUACCCCUUCAGCCCUGAACCUCUGUCCCGUAGUCACAUUUUCGAACCGGAGCGUCAGUAGGCCUUCUUUGCACAUGUCCAAACCACCGGAACCGAUUUUCUCUCAUAUUUCCUUCAAUUUUGGCUACUCCUCCUUUACCUCGGAUAUCCUCAUUCCCAAUCUUAUCCUUUCUCGUGUGCCCAUACAUCCCACGAAGCAUCCUCAUCUCCGCUACACCCAUUUUGUGUACGUGUUGAUGCUUCACCACCCAACAUUCUGUGUCAUACAACAUCGCUGGCCUUAUUGCCGUCCUAUAAAAUUUUCCCUUGAGCUUCAAUGGCCUACGACGGUCACCCAACACGCCGGAUACACUCUUACACUUCAUCCAUCCAGCAUUUUAUGGUUGAGAUCUCCAUCUAAUUCUCCGUUCUCUUGCAAGAUAGAUCCUAGGUAGCGAAAACGGUCACUUUUUGUGAUCUUCGCUAGAUUGCUCCGGUCAUUAGUGUGGAUAAGUAUAUAAAUGGAUAGAGAUAGGAAAGCAAACAUAAGAUGUACGUGGUUCACCCAGAUUGGCUAAGUCCACGGAAUAGAGGAGUUCUCAUUAAUUGUGAAGGGUUUACACAAGUACAUAGGUUCAAGCUCUCCUUUAGGGAGUACAGGUGAAUGAUUUAGUACAAAUGACAUUAGGAAAUAUUGUGGGAGAAUGAUCUCGUAACCACGAAACUUCUAAGUACCGGAGUGUGGUAUCGUCUUAACUUUCCUUAUCAUUCUCAUAGGUAGAUGUGACAUCUUCUCUGGAAGUACUCUUCCUCCAUCCAGGGGUGGUAUCUGUAACUGGUGGAGAUGCACAAGGUAAUGUAUCAAUGUCACUUGAAGCUUACUUGUAGUUUCAGGCUUGGUCAAGCGCGAUACAAACCAUGUAGUAGGAGUCCCCCAAGUCGCCGAGCUAGGGGAUCUGCUGAAAGAGGUAACAGACAAGGUAAACAAUCAGAGCUCCGACUGAUUGUUCACAUUCUCCCUAUCUUGCAGGCAACAUGAAGGAUAAAGAGAAGAAAAAUGAGAAGAGAUGAUAUGGGAUACUUUUGCUUUUGAAGAAGUAACUUUCCACAGGCUUAUUCUUAAAUUGGGCUGGAGGGUUUUCUGGUUUCCUCCAGAGUAUAAGGCCGACUGAAGAAUUUGAAGGUCAAAACAAGUCCAUCAAAUCUAGAGUACGUUCGACCCUGCUGAUAUGGGAUACUUUUGCUUUUGACAGAGUAGUGGAUGUAUCGGCACGUGUGCUGUUACGCUUGUCUCCACAUGCUUCCUUGUAUCCUUCUCACUUGCCCUAUCUGUUCCUCAGGCAGAUGCGGUAUCUUCCCUAGAAGCAUAAGAUGUUGAAGAUGAGUACUCGAGAGCAAUGCCAGGUAAGUAAUCAGGUAAGGGGUUCCAGGCAGUCAGUUCCUGGCUGGAAGCUUGAUUCCAAGUGCUGACUGAUUGCUCUCUUUCUCCUUGUCUUGCAGGUAAGAACAAGGCCAAAGGAAAAGACAGGGAAAAAGCAUGAUAUGGGAUACUCUUGCUUUUAACCCUGAUGAUAUGAGAUAUUCUUGCUCUAGUAUAGCUUGUUUACAGAGGUAUUAUCGGGGGGAAAGAAAGCUGAAUAUUUCGAAAGGCUUCAUUGGGAGUGCCCUCUCAGAUAAGAGGAAGGGUUGAGCAUUUUUGCAGGUCUGCCUGUCCGUUGGGGAUGGAGGUCGACAUAUAUAGGAGUCUCCCUAACAUCAAGUAAUAAUGUUAUUCCUUUACCCUGCUUGGUCAUAGCACGGUAGUGGGAGCUGCCAACUUCACAAGUUUUAACUCUGUCAGAGCAAUUUGAAAAAGUGGUCUGUGGUAUCUGGAAAGCUGAUGUUGUGUGUGAAGAUUACAGACAAGCUUUAUCCAAGGAGAUCCGGCUCUUGAAGUUGGGAAAGUGGUGCCUCUUCGGUUUUCGAACAAGCAAUCCUGUCGGGGAUCUGGCUCUCGAGAUUCGGAGAACGAUGCCUCUUCGAUUUUUGAGAAAGCAAUCCUGCUGGGGGUCUGGCUCUCGAGAUUCGGAGAGCGGUGUCUUCGAUUUUUGAGAAAGUAAUCAUGUUGGAAGUCUGGCUCUCGAGAUUCGGAGGGCGGUGCCUCUUCGAUUUUAGAGCAAGCAAUCUUGUUGGGAGUGUUUUCUCGAAUGUGAGUAAAGGUUGGGCAUGUUUGCUAGUCUACCUUGCCACGAAACACAGAGGUUAACACACAGGGAAUUUCCAAUUAUCCAGCAGUGGUACUGUUCUCUUACCCUCUCUUCGAUUUUUGAGAAAGUAAUCAUGUUAGGAGUCUGGCUCUCGAGAUUCGGAGGGCGGUGCCUCUUCGAUUUUGGAGCAAGCAAUCUUGUUGGGGGUGUUUUCUUGAAUGUGAGUAAAGGUUGGGCAUGUUUGCUAGUCUACCUUGCCACGAAGCACAGAGGUUGACACACAGGGACUUUCCAAUUAUCCAGCAGUGGUACUGUUUCUUUACCCUCUCUUCGAUUUUUGAGAAAGUAAUCAUGGUGGGAUUCUGGCUUUCGAGAUUCGGAGGGCGAUGCCUCUUCGAUUUUGGUGCAAGCAAUCUUGUUGGGAGUGUUUUCUCGAAUGUGAGUAAAGGUUGGGCAUGUUUGCUAGUCUACCUUGCCACGAAGCACAGAGGUUGACACACCGGGACUUUCCAAUUAUCCAGCAGUGGUACUGUUCCUUUACCCUUGUGGGUAAUAAUAUGGUAGCUAGGCCUUCAAAAUUUAUGUGUCUAAACUUUGUUAGUGUUGUUUCUUUGCUAUUCUUUUACCCUUCUUGGUCAGAGCGAUGUAGUGAGAGCUGUAAGCUUCACGUGUCUCAACUUUGUCAGAGAAUUUUGGCAAAGUUAUAUGUGAUACCCAUGAGCUACUGUUGCGUGUGGGAAGUGGGUGAUUGAACAGUACGAUUCAUGUGCUUUCUACCUCGCCAGAAAUCUUCGACAGAAUGCCCAUAAUUUCCGCAAAGCUGAGUGUGCGUGUGACAGGUGCUGACAAGGCUGGAAAAGUAGUCUCAACUUUGUCAGAGAACUUUGGCAAAGUUAUAUGUGGUACCCAUGAGCUACUGUUGCGUGUGGGUAGUGGGUGAUUGAAUAGUACGAUUCAUGUGCUUUCUACUUCGCCAAAAAUCUUCGACAGAAUGCCCAUAAUUUCCGCAAAGCUGAGUGCGUGUGACAGGUGCUGACAAGGCUGGAAAAGUAGGUGCCUCUUCGAUUUCUGAGAUCGGCCCUCGUGGUCUCUGAGCAGCCCAGCUUUUGAGAAAGCAAACCUCUUCGAUUUUUGAGAUCGGCCCUUGUGGUCUAUGAGCAGCCCAGCUUUUGAGAAAGCAAACCUCUUCGAUUUCUGAGAUCGGCCUUCGUGGUCUUUGAGCAGCCCAGCUUUUGAGAAAGCAAACGCCUCUUCGAUUUCUGAGAUCGACCCUCGUGGUCUCUGAGCCGCCCAGCUUUUGAGAAAGCAAACGCCUCUUCGAUUUCUGAGCAGGCGCCUCUUCGAUUUCUGAAGCUUCGUCGAGUGCAGAUUUUUAUAGGGGCUGACAUUAAGUUCCAAAGCACACUUGAAUAUCCACCAGUAGAAGCUCCAUUCUUGCACUUCUAAGAUCUUGAUUUGUCCGACCUUUUCUCUCUUCAACACCUUUGAAAAUGUCUGGCCCCUCCGACCGUCGUUUUGACUUGAACCUUGUUGAAGAGGCAACCCCGCCUUCUCUAGACAACAUAUGGCGCCCAUCCUUCGUCUCCUCUACUGGUCCUCUUACCGUUGGGGAUUCCGUGAUGAAUAAUGAUAUGACCGCUACGGGUGUGGCCAGGAAACUUCUCACUCCCAAAGAUAACAGACUACUUUCCAAACGGUCUGAUGAGUUGGCUGUUAAGGAUUCUCUGGCUCUUAGUGUUCAGUGUGCAUGUUCUGUGUCUAAUAUGGCCCAACGCCUAUUUGCUCGAACCCGCCAAGUUGAAUCAUUGGCUGCUGAAGUGAUGAGUCUCAAACAAGAGAUUAGAGGGCUCAAGCAUGAGAAUAAACAGUUGCACCGGCUCGCACAUGACUAUGCUACAAACAUGAAGAGGAAGCUUGACCAGAUGAAGGAAUCUGAUGGUCAGGUUUUACUUGAUCAUCAGAGUUUUGUGGGUUUGUUCCAAAGGCAUUUAUUGCCUUCGUCUUCUGGGGCUGUACCGCGUAAUGAAGCUCCAAAUGAUCAACCUCUGAUGCCUCCUCCUUCUAGGGUUCUGUCCAGUACUGAGGCUCCGAAUGAUCCCCCUCCGGUGCCUUCUCUUUCUGGGGCUCUACCGACUGCUGAGACUUCUCCUAAGCAACCUUUGUGAAGGCUCCCUCUUGUUUGUUUAUUUUGACUCAAGUAUAUGUACAUAUUUGUAACUUAUCGGGGAUAUCAAUAAAUAAGCUUUCCUUCAUUUCAACGUAUUGUGUUAAAUCACCAAAGCCUUCUUCGCUAAGUUCUUUGAAUUUUCUUUUGUUGAAGCUUGUAUGUUGAAGCUUUGUGAAUGGAGCAUGUAGGUUGAGGUAGUGUUCCCUUAAUUUCCCGAGCGAUGACAACUUCUCGGUUGGAGACUUGGAAAAUCCAAGUCACUGAGUGGGAUCGACUAUAUGAAUCUUAGAACGCCAUUGUGUUCUGUCCUAUGUCAUGUCAUCCGUUAGAUCCAAGUACUCUAAGUCUUUUCUUAGGGUCUCUCUCAAAGUUUUCCUAGGUCUUCCUCUACCCCUUCGGCCCUGAACCUCUGUCCACAAACCAAAACCGAAAAAGUUCCUACCAAUAUUUAUUUAGCAACAUGUAAUCUCAUGAUCUCAUGUGUAAGUGAGGAACAAGGUCCAGAGCCGGACUGACCGAUACGCUGAUGGGGCACAACUCAAAAUGACCUAUUCGGAUUUGAAGAAGAUGACUUGGCUUUUGCAAAAUCAACUAGAUCCUUGAAAAGAGCAUCUUCCUGUUUUACUUGUUUUGUUGGGGUAGACGAAUUAAGGGAGAGAUUCUGAGUCUGUCCCACUAAGUUGUCAUAAGAUGAACCAGAUCCACUGCCUGGAACGCCUUGUUUCUCAAAAAACUGUUGUCUCUGGUUAUACCUGGAAGGCGGAGGUGGAAGGCUGACAGGAGAUUGACCAUUGCCAGGAGACUGAGGAUUCCCCAGAGACUGAGUAUCCCAAGGAGCAGGAGGUAGCCCAUCUAUAGAUUUGCUUCUAGGAGCCGGUUCAUCAUAUACAGGCUUUCCAGUGAAUAUAGGUGAUGGAGUUGUGUUUUGGGAAGAAGGGUGUGAAGGUGAUAGUGGAGUCAAUCGUGAGGUGGAGCUGGAAUGAACUGGAGCGGCAAAAGAUGUGGAUUCUGAUGUUGCAGAGGAUCCUUCAGAUUUGUAGGCUUCUCCACUGAGAUAAUCAAUCACACCAGGACCUAGAGUGAUUGGCCUUUGCGAAGACGGUGGAAGAGGAAGAAGUGGGCUGACUUGCACAGGUUCAGCCUUGGCAUUGGCUGAUCUCUGGCCCUGUCCUUGUGAAUUAUCUCUUGAUGACCUGCAAUGCAUCUUACCGAAUUUUACUAAGAGGAUAAGAAUAUUAAAAGUAAAAAACUAACAGAACUUGCAAUAUUCAUAUUCUGAAGCGCACACAUACAAGUAAAAUUGGUAGAAACAAAAACAAGUGAGAAUGAAAUGACAAUGCAAAUAAAACUUAGAAGUGUUCCUCUAACAAUCACCUGUGCGCUAGUUGGGAAAAUUCAUCCUCAGACACAUCAUCCUCAUGGUUCACAUUCACAAGUGGCACAACUGAAGAUUCUGCUCCUCUUACUGUAGUUGUAGUUCCUUUCACAAUAUCGUCAUGCCGAGAAAUUACACGCUGCAGAUCAUCGUUCAGUGCCAAUCCCUGACAUAGAAGCUCCUCAUCUCUGAGAGGAGAGCAACCACAACUGUCACUAUUGCAUCAAAUGUAUGAGUAAAACUCAAAUCCAUAUCAAAUCACUUACGCAGUCUCAUUCACAAGAAGCCUGACACGCUUUUGGUAUGAACGGCACUGAUCAACAAGGUCAACAAUCACUUCUUCCUUCAAACCCUGCCAUAGUAUUUCAUUUUGACCAUUUAUGACCAUUAAAUUUGCACACAUUAAAAGCCCGGAUGGUAAUAUUACGAUUUUGGUUCAUUUUUUAUUUUUAGUAAAAGCCGAAGAGGAAUUGUAUGGAGAAAAUAGGGAGAAAGAAAGGGCUCAGAUGGAUGAGCAUUAAAAUGAAUAUGGAACGGUAUUUAAACCACAAAUUAAAUCAAUCUCAACUAUUCUAUUUUCUCCUUCAAGUUUUUAUUUCACCCAUUCCCCUUCAAUCAUCCAUACCUCCUCCCUUCUACAAGCACAAGAAAAGUGCAGCCCUUAAAGGUACUAAUUUGCGAGUAAUUAACCACCUAAUUCCAACUCUGCUAAAAGUCCCAACUUCAAAAAAUUUUACAAUCACAGUAAUUGACACCUCUGGAUAGCUAGCCUUAUAAAUAAAGUUUUGUUAUCAAUAUAUCUCCUCAAAUAAUUUACAUACAGUGCAUAAGUAAGGAAAAGUAUGGACCAUAAAUAUUCUCCACAAUUGACCAUAUACAACUUUCAGAAUUUUCUACUGUGGGCACAUAUGAAACUUUCACCGCUAGAGAACUCCACACACAAAAACAAAAAAAUAGAAUCAUUGGCCUCUCAACAAAAAAAAAAUUCUAGAAAAACAUAAAUAAGAAAUUAUCCUUUAAUAAUACCUUUUUGGAAAGAAAUUAAUCAGAAGUAAAAAAAUAAGGUAGAAAAUAUAUUACCUCAGGAUUCUUAGCAUCCAAGGCAUUAAGCAUUUCCAUCAACACAUCUGCAAUUCCACGAGCAUACUGAAUCUCUGGCAAGCUGAUUAAAGACAGUUCCAAUCAGGAUGGAUCUAUCAUAGCUUCAAUAAUAAUUCAGACAAUUUUUACCAAAAAUAAAAAAGCAUCCCAAAGCAUAAAAAACAGAUAGCAUCUGUUACAAUAUCAUUAUGUUGGAAUUGUCUGUAUAGGUAAUUAUGGGGGAUUCGGGAAAGAUGGAAUAACUAUACAACAACAACAAAGCCUUUUCCCACUAAGUGGGGUCGGCUAUAUGAAUCCUAGAACGCCAUUGCGCUUGGUUUUGUGUCAUGUCCUCCGUUAGAUCCAAGUACUCUAAGUCUUUUCUUAGGGUCUCUUCCAAAGUUUUCUUAGGUCUUCCUCUACCCCUUCGGCCCUGAACCUCUGUCCCGUGGUCACAUCUUCGAACCGGAGCGUCAGUAGGCCUUCUUUGCACAUGUCCAAACCACCGUAACCGAUUUUCUCUCCUCUUUCCUUCAAUUUCGGCUACUCCUACUUUACCUCGGAUAUCCUCAUUCCUAAUCUUAUCCUUUCUCGUGUGCCCACACAUCCAACGAAGCAUCCUCAUCUCCACUACACCUACGUGUUGAUGCCUCACCGCCCAACAUUCUAUGCCAUACAGCAUUGCCGGCCUUAUUGCCGUCCUAUAAAAUUUUCCCUUGAGCUUCAGUGGCCUACGACGGUCACACAACACGCCGGAUGCACUCUUCCACUUCAUCCAUCCAGCUUGUAUUCUAUGGGUGAGAUCUCCAUCAAAUUCUCCAUCUUUUGCAAGAUAGAUCCUAGGUAGCGAAAACGGUCGCUCUUUGGUAUUUCCUGAUCUCCGAUCCUCACCCCUAACUCAUUUUGGCCUCCGUUUGCACUGAACUUGCACUCCAUAUAUUCUGUCUUUGAUCGGCUUAGGCAAGGACCUUUAGAUUCCAACACUUCUCUCCAAAGGUUAAGCUUCGCAUUUACCCCUUCCUACGUUUCAUCUAUCAACACUAUAUCGUUUGCGAAAAGCAUACACCAAAGAAUAUCAUCUUAAAUAUUAAGUUUGUGAUCUUCGCUAGAUUGCUCCGGUCAUUAGUGUGGAUAAGUAUGUAAAUGGAUAGAGACAGGAAGCAAACACAAGAUGUACGUGGUUCACCCAGAUUGGCUACGUCCACGGAGUAAAGGAGUUUUCAUUAAUUGUGAAGGGUUUACAUAGUAUAUAGGUUCAAGCUCUCCUUUAGUGAGUACAAGUGAAUGAUUUAGUACGGAUGACAUUAGGAAAUAUUGUGGAAGAAUGAUCUCGUAAUCACGAAACUUUUAAGUACCGAAGUGUGGUAUCGUCUUCACUUGCCUUAUCUGUGUCAUAGGUAGAUGUGGCAUCUUCUUUGGAAGUACUCUUCCUCCCUCCAGGGGUGGUAUCUUUAACUGGUGGAGAUGCACAAGGUAAUGUAUCAAUUUCACUUGACGCUUACUUGUAGUUUCAGGCUUGGUCAAGCGCGAUACAAACCAUGUAGUAGGAGUCCCCCAAGUCGCCGAGCUAGGGGAUCUGCUGAAAGAGGUGACAAACAAGGUAAGCAAUCAGAGAUCCAAGCAAUCAGUCCCAUAUCAGAAGUUUGAUUUCGAGUUCCGGCUGAUUGUUAUCAUUCUCCUUAUCUUGCAGGUAGCAUGAAGGAUAAAGAGAAGAAAAUGAGAAAAGGUGAUAUGAGAUAUUUUUGCUUUUGAAGAAGUAACUUUCCAUAGGCUUAUUCUUGAACUGAGCUGGAGGGUUUUCUUGUUUCCGCCAGAGUAUAAGGCCGACUGAAGAAUUUGAGGGUCAAAACAAGUCCAUCAAAUCUAGAGUACGUUCGACCCUGCUGAUAUGGGAUACUUUUGCCGUUGGCAAAGUAGUGGAUGUAUCGACACGUGUUCUGUUGCGCUUGUCUCCACAUGCUUCCUUGUAUCCUUCUCACUUGCCCUAUUUGUUCCUCAGGCAGAUGUGGUAUCUUCUCGGGAAGCAUAAGAUGUUGAAGAUGAGUACUCGAGAGCAAUGGGGUUCCAGGCAGUCAGUUCCGGACUAGAAGCUUGAUUCCAAGUGUUGACUGAUUGCUAUCUUUCUCCUUGUCUUGCAGGUAUAACAAGGCCAAAGGAAAAGACGGGGAAAAAGCAUGAUAUGGGAUACUCUUGCUUUUAACCCUGAUGAUAUGAGAUAUUCUUGCUCUAGUGUAGCUUGUUUGUAGAGGUAUUCUCGGGGGGAAAGAAAGCUGAGUAUUCCGAGAGGCUUCGUUGGGAGUGCCCUCUCAGAUAUGAGGAAGGGUUGAGCAUUUUUGCAGGUCUGCCUGUCCGUUGAGGAUGAAGGUCGACAUAUAUAGGAGUCUCCCUAACAAGGAGUAAUACUAUUCUUUUACCCUGCUUGGUCAUAGCACGGUAGUGGGAGCUGCCAACUUCACGUGUUUUAACUCUGUCAGAGCACUUUGAAAAAAUGGUCUGUGGUAUCUGGAAAGCUGAUGUUACGUGUGAAGAUUACAGACAAGCUUUAUCCAAGGAGAUCUAGCUCUCGAAGUUGAGAAAGCGAUGUGAGGAUUACAGACAAGCUUUAUCUAAGGGGCUCUCGAAGUUGAGAAAGCAGUGGCUCUUCGGUUUUCUAACAAGCAAUCCUGUCGGGGAUCUGUCUCUCGAGAUUCGGAGAACGGUGCCUCUUCGAUUUUUGAGAAAGCAAUCUUGCUAGGAGUCUGGCUCUCGAGAUUCAGAGAGCGGUGUCUCGUCGCUUUUUGAGAAAGUAAUCAUGUUGGGAGUCUGGCUCUCGAGAUUCGGAGGACGGUGUCUCUUCGAUCUUGAAGCAAGCAAUCUUGUUGGAGUGUUUUCUCGAAUGUGAGUAAAGGUUAGGCCUGUUUGCUAGUCUACCUUGCCACGGAGCACAGAGGUUGACCCACAAGGACUUUCCAAUUAUCCAGCAAUGGUCCUGUUCUUUUACCCUUGUGGGUAAUAAUAUGGUAGCUAGACCUUCAAAAUUUAUGUGUCUAAACUUUGUUAGUGCUGUUUCUUUGCUAUUCUUUUACCCUUCUUGGUCAUAGCGAUGUAAUGGGAGCUGCAAGCUUCACGUGUCUAAACUUUGUCAGAGAUUUUUGGCAAAGUUAUCUGUGGUACUCGUGAGCUGAUGUUGCGUGUGGAAAGUGAAUGAUUGAACAGUAACAUUCACGUGCUUUCUACUUCACUAGAAAUCUUUGACAGAAUGCCCGUAAUUUCUGCAAAGUUGAGUGUGCAUGUGACAGGUGCUGACAAGGCUGAAAAAGCAGGUGCCUCUUCGAUUUCUGAGAUCGACCCUCGUGGUCUCUGAGCAGCCCAGCUUUUGAGAAAGCAAGCGCAUCUUCGAUUUCUGCGAUCGACCUUCAUGGUCUUUGAGCAGCCCAGCUUUUGAGAAAGCAAACGCCUCUUCGAUUCCUGAGAUCGGCCCUCGUGGUCUCUGACCAGCCCAACUUUUGAGAAAGCAAACGCCUUUUCGAUUUCUGAGCAGACGCCUCUUCGAUUUCUGAAGCUCCAUCGAGUGCGGAUUUUUAUAAAGGCUGGUAUUAAGUUCCAAAGCACACUUGAAUCUUCACCAGUAGAAGCUCCCUUCUUGCAUUUCUAAGAUCUUGAUUUGUCCGACCUCUUUUCUCUUCAACACCUUUGAAAAUGUCUGGCCCCUCCAACCGUCGUUUUGACUUGAACCUUGUUGAAGAGGCAGCCAUGCCUUCUCUAGACAACAUAUGGCGCCCAUCCUUCUUAUCUCCUACUGGUCCUCUUACCAUUGGGGAUUCCGUGAUGAAGAAUGAUAUGACCGCUGCGGUGGUGGCCAGGAACCUUCUCACUCCCAAAGAUAACAGACUACUUUCUAAACGGUCUGAUGAGUUGGCUGUUAAGGAUUCUCUGGCUCUCAGUGUUCAGUGUGCAGGUUCUGUGUCUAAUAUGGCCCAACGCCUAUUUGCUCGAACCCGCCAAGUUGAAUCAUUGGCGGCUGAAGUGAUGAGUCUCAAACAGGAGAUUAGAGGGCUCAAGCAUGAGAAUAAACAGUUGCACCGACUCGCUCAUGACUAUGCUACAAACAUGAAGAAGAAGCUUGACCAGAUGAAGGAAUCUGAUGGUCAGAUUUUACAUGAUCAUCAGAGGUUUGUGGGUUUGUUCCAAAGGCAUUUAUUGCCUUUGUCUUCUGGGGCUGUACCGCGUAAUGAAGCUCCAAAUGAUCAACCUCCGAUGCCUCCUCCUUCUAGGGUGCUGUCCAGUACUGAGGCUUCGAAUGAUCCCCCUCCGGUGCCUUCUCUUUCUGGGGCUCUGCCGACUGCUUAGACUUCUCCUAAGCAACUUUUGUGAAGGCUCCCUCUUGUUUGUUUAUUUUGAUUCGUGUAUAUGUACAAAGAAGAUAAAUGAUUUGAAGUCUAUUGUUCAAUUUCUUAUUAGCACAAAAUUCAAUCAAGCAAGGAUGAAUUCUUUCAUAAAUUACAGUUACGGAUCAUGACAUUCAACAAGCAGUAGCUGAAAUAAUUGUACAAGCAUAAAAAAUAUAUGCCGAUUGACAUCUCUUACUAAAGAUUAAGACCCUAGGACUGACGGGACUUAUAAUAGUAAGGAUGUAAGAGACAUCCUCAUGUCAAGGGGAGAAUUGAUGAAUACUUGACAAGGUUAAGGCCUUUCAGAUAUAUAGUCAAAUUUUUCUGCAGUAUUAAAGCAUGCACAACACAUUCAAAUUUGAUAAUGAGAAAGGUAUAAAAUUUUUUUUUUUUUGAAGAAGUUGAAGAAAUAAAAAAUGAAAGAGAAACAAUCGAAUCGCCAAUUUAUGCAGUACAACAUAUGUAGAACAUGUCAUACUGAGGGUUUUAAUCCUGGGACAUUUUCCAAUUGCCUACAAAUAUUUUUAACCUCUCUCAUGCAAUCAACACGCAAGUUUAUAGUUGUGACAAACAUGCAUGUGAAGGAAACAAUAAUUGUUUGAACAGGGAAUAAAUACCAUACUCAAAAGGCCCAAAAAUGUAUGUUUCCAAGAAAACCAUAUUCUCAGCUAGUACCUAAGGCCCGAUGCAUCCGACUGGAGAGAAGCCUGAAUGGCAGCAUCAUCAUAUGAUGUAACAGGAGAAACUACUGGCUGGGUCUGGGGCGGAGUAAAUAUUGGUACACUGUUCUCUUCUCUUGGUGGAAAUUCAACUCCUGCAGACUGUCGGUUAUUCAUUAAGAGAGUUAGGGUGGAAGAAGAAACAGAAUAAAGAGAAAAUAAUUAAAAUCCACAGUUAUACUAAAUAUUGAAUAGCAAGCUUUCCCAUAACUGUAGGAUUACAUCAAGGCUCAUCCUUAAGUCCUUACCUUUUUGCGUUGGUAAUGGAUGAGUUAACAGGACAUAUUCAAGAUGAUAUUCCUUGGUGUAUGCUUUUCGCAGACGAUAUAGUGUUGAUAGACGAAACUCAGGAAGGGGUAAAUGCAAAGCUUAACCUUUGGAAAGAAGUGUUGGAAUAUAAAGGUCUUCGCCUAAGCCGAUCAAAGACAGAAUAUAUGGAGUGCAAGUUCAGUGCAAAUGGAGGCCAAAACGAGUUAGGGGUGAGGAUCGGAGAUCAAGAAAUACCAAAGAGCGACCGUUUUCGUUACCUAGGAUCUAUCUUGCAAAAGAACGGAGAUUAGAUGGAGAUCUCAACCAUAGAAUACAAGCUGGAUGGAUGAAGUGGAAGAGUGCAUCCGGCGUGUUGUGUGACCGCCGUAUGCCACUGAAGCUCAAGGGAAAAUUUUAUAGGACGGCAAUAAGGUCGGCGAUGCUGUAUGGCACAGAAUGUUGGGCGGUGAAACAUCAACACGUACACAAAAUGGGUGUAGCGGAGAUGAGGAUGCUUCGUUGGAUGUGUGGGCACACGAGAAAGGAUAAGAUUAGGAAUGAGGAUAUCCGGGGUAAAGUAGGAGUAGCCGAAAUUGAAGGAAAGAUGAGAGAAAAUCGGUUACGGUGGUUUGGACAUGUGCAAAGAAGGCCUACUGACGCUCCGAUUAGAAGAUGCGACUAUGGGACAGAGGUUCAGGGCCGAAGGGGUAGAGGAAGACCUAGGAAAACUUUGGAAGAGACUCUAAGAAAAGACUUAGAGUACUUGGAUCUAACGAAGGACAUGACACAGGAUCGAGCACAAUGGCGUUCUAAGAUUCAUAUAGCCGAUCCCACUCAGUGACUUGGAUUUUCCAAGUCUCCAACCGAGAAGUUUUCCUCACUCGGAAAAUUAAGGGAACACUACCCCAACCUACCUACAUGCUCCACUCAGAAAGCUUCAACAUACAAGCUUCAACAAAAGAAAAUUCAAAGAACUUAGCGAAGAAGGCUUUGGUGUAUUUAACACAAUACGUUGAAAUGAAGGAAAACUUAUUUAUUGAUAUCCCCGAUAAGCUACAAAUAUGUACAUAUACAUGAGUCAAAAUAAACACACAAGAGGGAGCCUUCACAAAGGUUGCUUAGGAGAAGUCUCAGCAGUCGGUAGAGCCCCAGAAAGAGAAGGCACCGGAGGGGGAUCAUUUGGAGCCUCAGUACUGGACAGAACCCUAGAAGGAGGAGGCAUCAGAGGUUGAUCAUUUGGAGCUUCAUUACGCGGUACAGCCCCAGAAGACGAAGGCAAUAAAUGCCUUUGGAACAAACCCACAAAUCUCUGAUGAUCAAGUAAAACCUGACCAUCAGUUUCCUUCAUCUGGUCAAGCUUCCUCUUCAUGUUUGUAGCAUAGUCAUGUGCGAGCCGGUGCAACUGUUUAUUCUCAUGCUUGAGCCCUCUAAUCUCCUGUUUGAGACUCAUCACUUCAGCCGCCAAUGAUUCAACUUGGCGGGUUCGAGCAAAUAGGCGUUGGGCCAUAUUAGACACAGAACCUGCACACUGAACACUGAGAGCCAGCGAAUCCUUAACAGCUAACUCAUCAGACCGUUUGGAAAGUAGUCUGUUAUCUUUGGGAGUGAGAAGGUUCCUGGCCACCACCGCAGCGGUCAUAUCAUUCUUCAUCACGGAAUCCCCAACGGUAAGAGGACCAGUAGGGGAGACGAAGGAUGGGCGCCAUAUGUUGUCUGGAGAAGGCGGGGCUGCCUCUUCAACAAGGUUCAAGUCAAAACGACGGUCGGAGGGGCCAGACAUUUUCAAAGGUGUUGAAGAGAGAAGAGGUCGGACAAAUCAAGAUCUUAGAAGUGCAAGAAUGAAGCUUCUACUGGUGGAGAUUCAAGUGUGCUUUGGAACUUAAUGCCAGCCCCUAUAAAAAUCUGCACUCGACGGAGCUUCAGAAAUCGAAGAGGCGCCUGCUCAGAAAUCGAAGAGGCGUUUGCUUUCUCAAAAGCUGGGCUGCUUAGAGAUCACGAGGGUUGAUCUCAGAAAUCGAAGAGGCGUUUGCUUUCUCAAAAGUUGGGCUGCUCAAAGACCACGAAGGCCGAUCUCAGAAAUCGAAGAGGCGCUCGCUUUCUCAAAAGCUGGGCUCCCCAGAGACCACGAGGGCCGAUCUCAGAAAUCGAAGAGGCACCUACUUUUCCAGCCUUGUCAGCACCUGUCACACGCACACUCAGCUUUGCGGAAAUUAUGGGCAUUCUGUCGAAGACUUCUGAGGGAAGUAGAAAACACACAUGAAUCUUACUGUUCAAUCAUCCCACUUCCCACACGCAACAAUAGCUCAUGGGUACCACAGAAAAACUUUGCCAAAGUUCUCUGCCAAAGUUGAGCACGUGAAGCUUGCAGCUCCCACUACAUCGCUCUGACCAAGAAAGGGUAAAAGAAUAGCAAAGAAACAGCACUAACAAAGUUUAGACCCAUAAAUUUUGAAGGUCUAGCUACCAUAUUAUUACCCACAAGGGUAAAGGAACAGUACCACUGCUGGAUAAUUGGAAAGUCCCUGUGUGUCAACCUCUGUGCUUCGUGGCAAGGUAGACUAGCAAACAUGCCCAACCUUUACUCACAUUCGAGAAAACACUCCCAAUAAGAUUGCUUGCUCCAAAAUCGAAGAGGCACCGUCCUCCGAAUCUCGAGAGCCAGACUCCCAACAUGAAUACUUUCAAAAAAAUCGAAGAGAGGGUAAAGGAACAGUACCAUUGCUGGAUAAUUGGAAAGUCCCUGUGUGUCAACCUCUGUGCUUCGUGGCAAGGUAGACUAGCAAACAUGCCCAACCUUUACUCACAUUCGAGAAAACACUCCCAACAAAGAUUGCUUGCUCCAAAAUCGAAGAGGCACCGCCCUCCGAAUCUCGAGAGCCAGACUCCCAACAUGAUUACUUUCUCAAAAAUCGAAGAGACACUGCUCCCCGAAUCUUCGAGAGCCAGACCCCCAGCAUGAUUGCUUUCUCAAAAAUCGAUGAGGCAUCGUUCUCCGAAUCAAUCGAAGAGGCGCUCGCUUUCUCAAAAGCUGGGCUGCUCAGAGACCACGAGGGCCGAUCUCAGAGAAAUCGAAGAGGCACCUACUUUUCUAGCCUUGUCAGCACCUGUCACACACGCACACUCAGCUUUGCAGAAAUUAUGGGCAUUCUGUCGAAGACUUCUGGUGAAGUAGAAAGCACAUGAAUCUUACUGUUCAAUCACCCACUUCCCACACGCAACAAUAGCUCAUGGGUACCACAGAUAACUUUGCCAAAGUUCUCUGCCAAAGUUGAGCACGUGAAGCUUGCAGCUCCCACUACAUCGCUCUGACCAAGAAAGGUAAAAGAAUAGCAAAGAAACAGCACUAACAAAGUUUAGACACAUAAAUUUUGAAGGUCUAGCUACCAUAUUAUUAUUACCCACAAGGGUAAAGGAACAGUACCACUGCUGGAUAAUUGGAAAGUCCCCUGUGUGUCAACCUCUGUGCUUCGUGGCAAGGUAGACUAGCAAACAUGCCCAACCUUUACUCACAUUCGAGAAAACACUCCCAACAAGAUUGCUUGCUCCAAAAUCGAAGAGGCACCGUCCUCCGAAUCUCGAGAGCCAGACUCCCAACAUGACUACUUUCUCAAAAUCGAAGAGAGGGUAAAGGAACAGUACCAUUGCUGGAUAAUUGGAAAGUCCCUGUGUGUCAACCUUUGUGCUUCGUGGCAAGGUAGACUAGCAAACAUGCCCAACCUUUACUCACAUUCGAGACAACACUCCCAACAAGAUUGCUUGCUCCAAAAUCGAAGAGGCACCGCCCUCCGAAUCUCGAGAGCCAGACUCCCAACAUGAUUACUUCCUCAAAAAUCGAAGAGACACUGCUCUCCGAAUCUCGAGAGCCAGACCCCCAGCAUGAUUGCUUUCUCAAAAAUCGAAGAGGCAUCGUUCUCCGAAUCUCGAGAGCCAGAUACCACAGACCACUUUUUCAAAGUGCUCUGACAGAGUUAAAACAUGUGAAACUGGCAGCUCCCACUACCGUGCUAUGACCAAGCAGGGUAAAGGAAUAGCAUUACUACUUGUUGUUAGGGAGACUCCUAUAUAUGUCGACCUCCAUCCCCAACGGACAGGCAGACCUGCAAAAAUGCUCAACCCUUCAUCAUAUCUGAGAGGGCACUCCCAACGAAGCCUUUCGAAAUAUUCAGCUUUCUUUCCCCCCGAUAAUACCUCUGCAAACAAGCUAUACUAGAGCAAGAAUAUCUCAUAUCAUCAGGGUUAAAAGCAAGAGUAUCCCAUAUCAUGCUUUUUCCCUGUCUUUUCCUUUUGGCCUUGUUUUUACCUGCAAGACAAGGAGAAAGAGAGCAAUCAGUCAGCACUUGGAAUCAAGCUUCCAGCCAGGAACUGACUGCCUGGAACCCCUUACCUGAUUACUUACCUGGCAUUGCUCUCGAGUACUCAUCUUCAACAUCUUAUGUUUCCAGGGAAGAUUCCGCAUCUGCUUGAGGAACAGAUAGGGCAAGUGCGAAGGAUACAAGGAAGCAUGUGGAGACAAGCGUAACAGCACACGUGCCGAUACAUCCAUUACUCUGUCAAAAGCAAAAGUAUCCCAUAUCAGCAGGGUGGAACGUACUCUAGAUUUGAUGGACUUGUUUUGACCCUCAAAUUCUUCAGUCGGCCUUAUACUCUGGAGGAAACCAGAAAACCCUCCAGCUCAGUUCAAGAAUAAGCCUGUGGAAAGUUACUUCUUCAAAAGCAAAAGUAUCUCAUAUCAUCUCUUCUCAUUUUUUCUUCUCUUUUAUCCUUCAUGCUGUUGCAAGAUGGGGAGAAGGUGAACAAUCAGUCGGAGCUCUGAUUGCUUACCUUGUCUGUCACCUCUUUCAGCAGACCCCCUAGCUCGGCGACUUGGGGGACUCCUACUACAUGGUUUGUAUCGCGCUUGACCAAGCCUGAAACUACAAGUAAGCUUCAAGUGAAAUUGAUACAUUACCUUGUGCAUCUCCACCAGUUAAAGAUACCACCCCUGGAUGGAGGAAGAGUACUUCCAGAGAAUAUGCCACAUCUACCUAUGAGACAGAUAAGGCAAGUCAAGACGACACCACACUCCGAUACUUAGAAGUUUCGUGAUUACGAGAUCAUUCUCCCACAAUAUUUCCUAAUGUCAUUUGUACUAAAUCAUUCACUUGUACUCACUAAAGGAGAGCUUAAACCUAUGUACUUGUGUAAACCCUUCACAAUUAAUGAGAACUCAUCUAUUCCGUGGACGUAGCCAAUCUGGGUGAACCAUGUACAUCUUGUGUUUGCUUUCCUAUCUCUAUCCAUUUAUAUACUUAUCCACACUAAUUACCGGAGCAAUCUAGCGAAGAUCACAAAAAGCGACCGUUUUCGCUACCUAGGAUCUAUCUUGCAAGAGAAUGGAGAAUUAGAUGGAGAUCUCAACCAUAGAAUACGAGCUGGAUGGAUGAAGUGUAAGAAUGCAUCCGGCGUGUUGUGUGACCGUCGUAGGCCACUGAAGCUCAAGGGAAAAUUUUAUAGGACGGCAAUAAGGCCAGCGAUGUUGUAUGACACAGAAUGUUGGGCGGUGAAGCAUCAACACGUACACAAAAUGGGUGUAGCGGAGAUGAGGAUGCUUCGUGGGAUGUGUGGGCACACGAGAAAUGAUAAGAUUGGGAAUGAGGAUAUCCGAGGUAAAGUAGGAGUAGCCGAAAUUGUAGGAAAGAUGAGAGAAAAUCGGCUCCGGUGAUUUGGACAUGUGCAAAGAAGGCCGAAUGACGCUCUGGUUCGAAGAUGUGACUACGGGACAGAGGUUCAGGGCCGAAGGGGUAGAGGAAGACCUAGGAAAACUUUGGAAGAGACUAUAAGAAAAGACUUAAGAGUACUUGGAUCUAACGGAGGACAUGACACAAAACCGAGCGCAAUGGCGUUCUAGGAUUCAUAUAGCCGACCCCACUUAGUGGGAAAAGGCUUUGUUGUUGUUGUUGUUGUAAGCUUAUAAGUAUUGCUGGCCAAAAUGAUGGAAAUGUUAUUUUGGACCUAUUAAACAUCAUCAAAAGGUAGAAAGGUAAAUGCGUUGAAAUCUAAUUGUGUGAAAGCUGAGGCGUAGUUGCCUCUUUUGUCAGACAAGGCAAGGCAUAAGCCUCUCGGACAUGAAAUCUUAUAGGAAGCAAAUAAAUAAUGCAAUACUAAUAAGUUGAAGUGCUAGUGAGUAACUGAAGUAUAAUAAGAAAUCCCAAUAUGACCACAUAUAAGUUAUAACAGUCAUUCAAGCAUAACAACCAAUCACAAAAAUAAAAUACUCAAUUGGUCAUACAAAUAUUCAAAACCCCAAAAGAUAAACUCAGUUCACCACAAUACUUGUGAUGAAUAGAAACUAACAUCACUAUCAUACUGGUCCAACAGACUGAUGUGAUAAGGGACGCAUAGCAGUGACUUGCACUAGAGGAGAGUUUGCAAGAUCACUAUUACUUCCAUUGUUCACAACAUUUACUAUCAUCUGUCAAAGCUGAAGGCACUUGGGCUGAACAUGUUUACCCAUUAAUCUUAACUUAACUAGGUCAUAUAAUUAAACAGAAAUGUUUAAAAACAUGGCCUAUUAAGCAACUCAAAAGAAAGAUGACAGCAAAGAAUGUCACUGAUUGGACCGGGUCAGACUGGUGAUAUCAUAAAUAUAUAACAACAUGAUUCUAUUCUCUAUAUACUAUAUCCAUUCUUCGACAAAUGAAAGAAAUAUCCUAUAAGGCAGUUUUAAAAGGAAAUACUUUUUAGAAGACGGUCUACUUUGAUUAGUAAAUUGAAAAUUAGUAAGAUAGUUCCAUGGGAACACAGCACAAGUACAAAUGCAGUGUACAUAGUACAGAUUACAAACAAAAGCUUAACAUGAGUAUAACAAAGAUGUGAUAAAACAAUUACCCUCAAUUCAUUAUAUGCUGCAUAAUACUGGGGAAAUCUUCCCCUUGGUCCCCCAAAAGCUUCUUGCCAUGUAUCUAUCAAAAUAGUAUCUUUUCCCUAACAUUCAAGUCUGGCUGCAUAAUGGAAUUAGAAUAACAAAGCAGAAAGAAAGUUAGUAUCCUAUUCAUGCACAAACUGGAAAGAAAAAAGGAAGCAACAAGUUAGUGAAAACAGAAAACAAAAGGUUGGGAGAGAAAUGCAGCACCUUCUUCUUUACUAUUUUGACCAUUUCAUGCAAGAUAUCACGCUCAACGAUCUGCUGAAAAACAUUCUCACCACAGUUCUUGCUCACAGUCUCCAAUGCCUGCAUCGAAUAAUAAAUUAGGAGAAGGAAAAAGACACCAUUGCUCAGAAAUGGCUUGUUUUGUGCUGAUGAUAGGCUAAUGCAAGGCAAUCAUUGAACCACAACAGGUCCAUCAUAAAUCACAAAUUUAUUGACAUUUUCACAUGUAUACAUAUUUUGGGAUGGGAAGGGUACCACAAGCUUUACAUCAUGAAUUUAAAAUUUUAAAAGAAAGAUGCAAAAACAUGACAAGAAAUAACACAAAAAAUACUGAAAGUCUCACAAAGAAAAGGAAUAGUACUAACAAAAAGAGCCAGGAGUUGUAUUUUUGGAUUUUUGCUGCCCAGGCGCUUCGUAUCUUCAAGGCCUCUUUUGCUUGCCUGAAAGUUCAAACCAGUUCAUUGGCAAAACAAAGCAUUCCGAAUAUUUAAAUUAGGAAAGAGAUUCUAUGGGAAAAAUAAUCCACAACAAUAGAAAAUAAAGAGGAUAGUCUUCUGCAGAGUUUAAGAGCUAAGAAAUGUCCAACAUAUAAAAGAAAGCCCGAUACACCAAGAUGCUCAUGGAAUCUAUUUGAAAAAUAAAUUACUCCUUCUACGAAGUUUCCAGUUCAUCCCAAAUCAAUGUAGCGAAAGCAUUCUACUACCCUGUCAAUUUUUUAAAGUGUUACUUUUCAGGAGGACAUGAUUUCCUUAUGAGAUGAGCCACAUCUCCCUUUCAGGAGGAGAUCUCCUCUUCUACCAGGAGCCAAGUAUUAAACUUCGUGUGUAUGUGCGUGCACAUGUAUAUAUGAAUACAUAAUAAGCUCUGAGCACUUUAAAGUUUCAACCAACGACUACGAUAUCAAUAUUUCAGAAAAGAUUCAACGUACUCAACAAUUUAAGAAAUGCGAACUCUAAACGGGUGGAUAUACCUAUAUAUAAUAUUCAAUCUAAAAAAUGAAAUUGAGGGAAAACAAAGUAAUCAUACCCAGGGUCAAUAUUGAUAAUAUCACAUAAUUUGCCCAGUCUGGGCCAAUCAACAUAUCACUUGUUGCCCUCUCUGCACAGGCCGCACCAUUACCAGCCAUGUCGUAAUCCCCUUCACGCAAGUCUUUUUCCUUAAAACUUCCUAAAUCAGAAGCCAAAAACAAGUUCAACUACGCGCAAUUCAACAUUUGUGAUGUAAAAGAACUUAAUAAAUGCUAGAAACGGAAGAUCAUAAGACACCUGUAUCACUAAUUAGCUCGAUGUCAGUAAUCUUGUUCAAUUCCAAAAGUUCCACAAAUUAUUUCUUACCCACCAAGACAAAACCUAUGAAAAUCCCAAUUUAAUUACGAUAAUUGAAAACAGCGGAACUAUACAAAAUUGAUCCAGAAAAUAUUAAAAACCCGAAAUCGCAAACAAAUAGGGUCUAUAAACAAAUUCAACUAUCUGCUCAUCCCCAUCACAAAUACGUAUCCCAAAUCAAAAUAACAAACAAUCAGAUCGUCAACAAUGUACGCUUAACACCAAUACAAGUCCCACAUCAAGAAACCCACAAAAAUUUGUGCCCAUAAAACACAGACAAGCAAACCCAAUUGGAUAUUAGUACUAAAAUUGAAAAUCAAAAUUCGAAUUAGCAAGAUAAUGGUCCUGUGCUUAAAGUUAAACCCAGUUGACAAAACGAUCAGAGAAUAAGGGAAAGGAAUGAGAGAUUUAUGCGACCAAACCAUUGCUGAAUGUUUACUUGCUUGAUGCUGCGUGGUUAGGCUUAGUCGACCUCACUCCAUCUUCAUUGCUUUGCUACUUGAAAUGAGGGAUUCCAAACAUAUUGGCGAAGCCGGCCAAUGUACCCUUCAAUCUGUUGGAAAUUCAAAUUAAAAGUCAUGUGAUGUCUAACUAUCUGUCCAUGUGAUGCUAGCUUUUCUUUCCAUGUUGUAUCCCGCAAAUAUAAACAUCAUUACUCCUCCAUCUGUUAACCGAAAGCUGAUUUAAAGACAGCAUAGAUGUGGGCUGCUGUGUGCUAGCCGAAAGGUUGUGUUUGCAAGCUGGAAGGAUGCAAUGCAUGUGUGUGCCAACUAUCCAAAGUUGCUGCAUGUGUUUGAAAGGGUGGAAGGAUGGUAAACACCAUCAUUCAUUACAUGUUGUUGUAUUGUUUAUCAAUUUCUGUUUUGUAUAAAUAGGCCUUCUUGCUAGGCUUUAGAACAUCAAUUCCAUUCCAAUUCCUUUCUCAUUUUCAGCUUGUAAGCUAUUGGUUUUGUAAACUCUCUUUUCAUAUAUCAAAGUCCAAGUGUUUUGCCGAAGCUUGUCCCUCCUUUCUCUAUUUCUUUGUCCAAUUUUAUUGAGAGUGCAAAGUGAGAGGUGUGAUAGAGUUUGUAAACUUAUCAUCCACAUAUUUUGGUAUUGAGUUAGUAAACUUUUCAAUACCAACAAUUGGUAUCAGAGCCAGAAUACCAUUCUGGCAAGUGCAGCAGUUAUGGCAUCCAACUUAGUGCAGCUCCAAGUUCCCACAUUGAAGAAAGAAAAUUAUGAAAGAUGGUGCAUCCAAUUCAAAGCAUUGUUUGGAUCACAAGAGCUAUGGGAAGUUGUCAGUAGUGGGUAUGUUGUACCCACUACCGAGCAAGAAGCCACAUAUACUGCAGAUCAAAGGAACACUCUCAAGGAUUUACGAAAGAAGGACCAGAAGGCGUUGUAUCUUCUCUAUCAAGGAUUAGAAGAUUCAACGUUCGAGAAGGUUGCAGAAGUAACAACGAGCAAGCAAGUAUGGGACACACUCAAUACAAUCUACAAAGGAGUAGAUCGAGUCAAGAAAGUGAGGUUACAGUCACUUCGAGUAGAUUUUGAAACUGCUCACACGAAUGAAGGGGAGAGCAUCUCCGACUAUCACUCAAGGCUCAUUGUGAUGGUAAAUCAGAUGAGGAGAAAUGGCGAGAGACUCGAUGAAGUACGAGUUGUGGAGAAGAUACUCCGGUCACUUACAUCUAAGUUUGAGCAAGUGGUGACUGCCAUUGAGGAAUCUAAGGAUUUGGAGGCGAUGAGCGCAGAUGAGCUACUAGGAUCCCUCCUAGUUCACGAGCAACGCAUUCAGAAGAAUGCAAGCCCCACAACACUAGAGCAAGCUUUGGAGUCAAAAUUGAAAAUUGACAAACCAAAUAAAGGUCGUGGGCAGUGGAACUCACGUCGUGGGAGUUCAUCCAACCGUAGCCGAGGACGAGCCCGAGGAAGAGGUCGAGGCUAUGAACAAAACCGAGGUCAAUCUCAAGAGUGGAGAUAUACCCAAGGAAAGGCGUAUAUCCAAUGUCACACUUGCAAGCAAUAUGGACAUUAUGCAAAUGAAUGUUCAUAUAAAAAUGGUGAGCAUGUCAACAUGGCAGAAUCAAAUGGAAAUGCUGGUGAGGAAUUUACAGUCUUACUAGCACACCAUGAUAUCAGUAGCCAACAAGAUGUUUGGUAUUUAGACUCUGGUGCAAGCAACCACAUGUGUGGAAAGAAAGAGUUUUUUGCAGAACUCAAAGAUGGGCCUUAUGGAUCUGUGAGUCUUGGUGACUCUUCAAGGUUACCAGUUGAAGGCAAAGGAAAGAUCAAAAUCAUCCAGAAGGAUGGUAAAGAAGAAUACAUCUUCGAUACCUACUACAUACCAGGUAUGAAGAGUAACAUUCUGAGCAUUGGUCAACUGCUCCAGAAAAGGGUAUGUUAUACAUAUGGAGGAUAUGUUUCUCACUCUCAGGAAUGCAAGGAGAAAGCUUAUUACAUGUGUUCAAAUGUAAAAAAACCGAAUGUUCCCGUUGAAGUUGAACACAAAGAUUGGGAGUUGCAACAUCGAUGUAAUGGAAGAUGAGUCAUGGAAAUGGCAUCUUCGAUUUGGCCAUCUUCAUUUCAAUGGCCUAAAGUUGUUGUCAAGUGGAGGAAUGGUUCGUGGUCUACCCCAGAUUGAAGCCACAUACAAAGUAUGUGAAGGUUGUGUGCUUGGCAAGCAAGCACGACUAUCAUUCCCUGUUGGUGAUACAUGGAGAGCAAAGGCACCACUGCAGAUGGUACACACGGAUAUAUGUGGUCCAUUGGAUCCUAUGUCUUAUGGAGGUAAUAGGUAUUUUAUUACUUUCAUUGAUGAUUUUAAUAGGAAGACUUGGGUUUAUUUUCUCAAGGAGAAAUCGGCUGCCCUAAGAAUCUUCAAGGAGUUCAAGGCACUCACAGAGGCUGAAAGCAACCACAAGCUUGUGGCUGUGAGAUCAGAUAGAGGUGGAGAGUACACCUCUAAUGCUUUCCAAGCAUACUGCAAGGAGCAAGGAAUUAGGCAUCAACUGACUGAUGCCUAUACCCCACAGCAAAAUGGGAUAGCCGAAAGAAAGAAUCGAACCAUCCUUGACAUGACAAGGUCCAUGCUUAAGGAGAAGAAUUUACCAAAAGAAUUGUGGGCAGAAGUUGUAGCUUGUUCGAUUUAUUUGUUGAAUCGAUGUCCAACAAAGAGUGUCAAAAGGAUGACACCACAAGAGGCUUGGAGUGGAUACAAGCCGAGUGUUGCACACCUAAGAGUUUUUGGUGUGUUGCAUAUGCUCAAGUUCCAGAAGCCAAGAGGAGAAAGCUCGAUGAUCGAGGUGAGAAGUGUGUGUUUGUGGGCUAUAGUGAAGAGUCCAAUGCAUACAAGCUCUACAAGCCACUAACUGGCAAACUAGUGGUUAGUAGAGAUGUCAUCUUCAGUGAGGAAGAGGCAUGGAAGUGGAACAACAAAGAAGUCAGUAAAGAGAAGAUCGUCUCCACUGAUUUUGAAGAACCAGAAGUUGUACCACCUGUUGAGCAAUAGCUUGCUUAAACAAUCACAACAACUCCAGUGCACAGAAUUGCAAGGAGUGGUCCUACAUCUAGUGAAGAAAGCAGCUCCUCAACUCCAGUGAGGCUAAGAAGUCUUACCGAGAUAUAUGGACAAGAAGAAGAAGAAGAAACCAACCUUUUCUGCUUGUAUGCAGACCACGAGCCUCUCUUAUUCAAUGAAGCUGUGGAAGAAGAUCGUUGGAGAAUAGCCAUGGAGGAAGAAAUCCAUGCCAUCGAGAAGAAUGACACUUGGGAGUUGACAAAGCUCCCACCAAAUCAGAAGGCUAUUGGUAUCAAGUGGGUGUACAAGAUCAAACGCACUGCAGAUGGGAGUGUGGAUCGAUACAAAUCAAGGCUUGUAGCAAAAGGCUACAAAAAAAAGUACGGAGUGGACUAUGAUGAAGUCUAUGCUCCAGUUGCAAGACUUGACAAGGUAAGAUUGCUAAUCUCUCUUGCCGCUCAUCAUAAAUGGAAAAUUUAUCAACUAGAUGUCAAGUCAGCCUUCCUUAAUAGAGUUCUUGAGGAAGAAGUGUACGUGGAACAACCAGAAGGCUUUCAAGUACAAGGAAAAGAAGAUAAGGUGUAUCGUUUGAAGAAGGCGUUGUAUGGCCUCAAGCAAGCACCACGAGCUUGGAACUCAAGGAUUGACAACUACCUUCACCAAAAUGGAUUUCAGAAAUGUCCAUACGAGCAUUCAGUUUACAUGAAGAAUGGUGCAAAAGGGGAGUUCUUAAUUAUUUGUCUCUAUGUAGAUGACUUGUUGUUUACAGGAAACAAUGAAGCAAUAUUUUGUGAGUUCAAGCAAUCCAUAUUCAGUGAAUUCGAGAUGACUGACAAUGGAUUAAUGUCAUACUUUCUUGGCAUAGAGGUGAAGCAAGAAAGUGACGGUAUCUACAUCUCUCAACAAAAGUACAUGAGAGAUAUAUUGGAGAAAUUCAAUAUGGAUAAGUGCAAUAUUGUCAACACUCCAGUUGCAACUGGAUUGAAGCUGUCUAAGGAAGGAGAAUGUGAGUUUGUAAACUCAACCGUGUACAAAAGCUUGGUUGGAAGCCUAAGGUACCUUACAAUCACAAGACCUGAUAUAGUUUAUGGUGUUGGACUCGUGAGUCGAUACAUGGAAACACCAAGGGAGUCUCAUUGGCUGGCUGCCAAGAGAAUUUUGAGGUACAUAAGAGGUACUCUAAACUAUGGUUUAUUUUAUAAUUUUGGUGAAGAUGCAAAAUUAUUUGGUUAUUCAGAUAGUGAUUGGGGAAGUGACAAAGAUGAAAGGAAAAGCACAACUGGCUAUGUGUUUUUUCUAGGAUCAACAACUUUCUCAUGGACUUCAAAGAAGCAAUCAAUUGUUGCUUUGUCAUCAUGUGAAGCUGAGUAUGUUGAUGUAGCCUCAACAGUGUGUGAGGCAAUUUGGUUAAGAAAUCUAUUGAAGUCAGUGUGUCAUCCACAAGUGGAAUCGACUGUGAUUCAUGUGGAUAACAUGUCUGCAAUCAAGCUUGCAAAGAAUCCUGUUCAACAUGGAAGGAGCAAACACAUUGAUACCAGGUUCCAUUUUCUAAGGGACCAUGUGAAGCAAAAGACAAUUGAGCUUGUCUAUUGUCACACGAAGGAACAAGUGGCAGACAUCUUCACUAAGCCACUACCAGUUGAAUCAUUCCGACUACUACGUGAAAUGCUAGGCAUGAAGGCGUUUUAAUUUGAGGGGGCAUGUUGGAAAUUCAAAUUAAAAGCCAUGUGAUGUCUAAUAACUGUCCAUGUGAUGCUAGCUUUUCUUUCCAUGUUGUAUCCAACAAAUAUAAACAUCAUUGCUCCUCCAUCUGUUAACCGAAAGCUGAUUUAAAGACACCAGAGAUGUGGGCUGCUGUGUGCUAGCCGAAAGGUUGUGUUUGCAAGCUAGAAGGAUGCAAUGCAUGUGUGUGCCAACUAUCCAAAGUUGCUGCAUGUGUUUGAAAGGGUGGAAAGAUGGUAAACACCAUCAUUCAUUACAUGUUGUUGUAUUGUUUAUCAAUUUCUGUUUUGUAUAAAUAGGCCUUCUUGCUAGGCUUUAGAACAUCAAUUCCAUUCCAAUUCCCUUCUCAUUUUCAGCUUGUAAGCUAUUGGUUUUGUAAACUCUCUUUUCAUAUAUCAAAGUCCAAGUGUUUUGCCGAAGCCUGUCCCUCCUUUCUCUAUUUCUUUGUCCAAUUUUAUUGAGAGUGCAAAGUGAGAGGUGUGAUAGAGUUUGUAAACUUAUCACCUACAUGUUUUGGUAUUGAGUUAGUAAACUUUUCAAUACCAACACAAUCUACCACAUCGCUAAUGGAUUGGGUCGCUAUUUUAUCCAACUCUUCCACAUCGCCCUCGUACACCAAACGAGUGCCGCAACUCUUCACCAAGCAGGGGCCUGAGCUUUUGAAAUGAAAAAUUAACUGACUGAAACUGUUUUGCCACUCUGUACCAAAGCUUAUACCACGAGACACAUAGAUCAGCCAAAUAUGAUCUGACACGGGCUGGACAUCCAAAGAUAGGAGAGGCGCAGGGUACUCUUCCUUUCCAUUGACUUCCAAAACACCAGAGAGCUCCCAUCCGCUCCCAUAAACUUCAAAUACAGCGCACAGAGCAUAUCCCAUCCACUUGUUAUCACGCCAUUGCCGAGUUAGGUCAACGCUUACUUCUGAUCCCAUACUUUGACGAGUGAACCACCUAGGAAUUUCCUUUCCAGGCAUGACAAUUUCACAUCUAUCUCCUGCAUAAGGGACUCCCUGUACAGGUGAAACAGUGAUGUUAAGCAAUGAGAGAGAGAGAGAGAGAGAGAGAGAGAGAGAGAGAGAGAGAGAGAGCGAGAGAGCACCUUAAGAUAUCUUUGGAGCAUAGUAAAUGUAAUAUGAUUGUAGCUUUCUUUCUCAAGCAUUCCAAAGCAAUUGAUGAGAUUGAAGCAUGACGAAUUCAAUCUGUCCAAAUUUGAGGGACAUUCCAGCAUUUCCAGUUUAGUACAAUCAUCUGCAGUUACUUGUAGUAAACCUACAUCUGAUGAAAGAACUGGAAGGUGUUGAAGCUUCCUGCAACGACUCAAGCAUAAAUUCUCAAGUUUAGAGAGUUGGCUAAUGCUUGUAGGAAGAUUAACAAAAUUGUUUCCACUUAAGUUCAAUGAUACCAAAGAUGAUAAGCAGCCAAUAUCAUUGGGGAUUGCUCCUUCACAAAGAUUGUGACCACUUAAGUCUAAUUCCAUUAAAGAACAAAGGCCUGAUAGAGGAGGCAAGAACAAACUGAUGGGAUGAUGACGGCUCCCUGGCAUUAAUCUUAAAAGGAGCGAGAUAAGCCAUGGUCGUUGUGAUGGCCCUUCCAUUCCAUGAAAAAUCAAUGCUUUAAGGUUUUUCAGAAGGGCAAUGGAAGAUGGACAUUCCUUUAUAGCAGUUCCACUUAAAUUAAUCUUCUCCACAAACUCUAAUUUCCCGAGGCUUUCUGGCAAUUUGGCAAGAUUUGAGCAUCCAGAAUCAUCAAGAAUUUUAAUAGCCCUCAAAUUUCCAAUGGCACUAGGAAGACAUUUCAGAUUUUUGCAAUCUCUCAAGUCCAACAAAGAAAGGCUGGUUAGAUGUUCAAGUGGUGAAGGUAUACAUUCAAUACCAGUCCCAUCUAAAGAAAGCUUCCGUAAAUGCUCCAUAGGUUCCACAAAAUUUGGAAUCUUUUUAACGCUUGAGCAGCCAGAAAGAACAAGAACUUCUAGGUGCUCCAUCUCAAUCUCAUCCGGAAGAAGCUUGAGACUUUUGCAAUAUUUAAGAGUCAAGAAAGUAAGCUUUUUGAGAGUUCCUAUGGAAGAGUGAAUCUCAUCUAAACUUUCGCAUCCUUCAAAGUCUAAUCUCUCAAGAUUCUGAAUCCCUUCAAAAUCAGGGGUUCUAGUCAAACUUUUGGAAUGACUAACUUUAAUGAUUUUCAACUUGUCAAAAUUCUGUAAUGUUUACAAGAAAUGUAGAAUAAUUAGAUCCAGAAAACUCAAAUAAGGUAAUGAAAUAUAUACUUUAACAAAUAAGGUAAAUAAUAUUGUAGAUGUAAGUGCUUACCUUUUUUCCGUUCCAGAGCUGUUCAAUUCUACUAUGACACAUGAUCAGUUCAACAAGCUCAUCCGGGUCGAAUCCUGAUGGGAGAUAUUGUAGAGGAUAACCUCUCCAUUCAAGAAAUCUCAAGGAAUUAGGGAGACGGUUGAGGCCUUCAGGAAGGCGCAUGUUGUGGACUUUGAGCAAUCUAAGAUUAACCAUCUGAGAAAAAGCUUCAGGAGGGCAUUCCACCUCUUUUGUUUCCAGCAAGUCUAGGACAAUGCCUUCAACUGUUGGUGUCCCCUGAUAACCAAGAAUAAAAAAACAAGUGAAUUGCAGUAUAAUAUGCACAUUAUAAAAGUAAAGGAAGAUGAGUAAAACAAACUGUUUUUUUUUUUUUUACGUGCCUCUUAAUCGUUAGAUUAAUUUACAUUUGACGUAUUAGGUAAGCUCUUACCGUUUUUUCCUUCAAAACAUGAAAGAUGUCCUUACAAUUGUUUGACCCUUUUUUUGUAACAAAUCAUGCAUCCGCACCCUGUUAUCUGAAAUUGUUGUCAGAGACUUCUCCAUAAGGACAUCUAUGUCAAUACCUGGAUUAAAACCACAACUAUCAAGUAUUUCAAAUACUCGAUCUUUGUCCUCCCCUUUAAAGAAACAUGCGAUGUCAAGGAAAAUCUCUCUCCCUUGCGGAUCUAAUCCCUCGUAACCUGUUAUAAGAAUCUUCAUAAUUUUUUCAUCCAAUGUGAAAUCACCCUCUAGUUUACGCAAUUGACUGCUCCGUGCAUCUAGAUCUCUUCCAUACAAAAAAGACCCCAAGACUUCAAGAGCUAAUGGAAGGCCACUGGCAUAGUCCACAAAACUGUACGACAGAGCCUUAUAACUUUCAGGUGGAUUCUCUCUAGGGAAGGCUCUCAAGUUAAAAAGUUUAAGAGCAUCAACUUUACCCAGCUCCGGCACCUUAAAUUGUUUUUCUACACCAUGUGAAAUUAGCAAGCGUUCAUCUCUAGUCGUAAUAAUGAUUCUACUCCCCUGACCAAACCAAGCUGGUUUUUCACAUAGCUCUCUUAACUGGAUACUAUCGUCCACGUCAUCAAGAAUGAUGAGAACCUUUUCUGAAGUAAGAAACUUCUCCAUCUGGCAGCUUCACCGGCAGCCCAGUCUUGUAUAUUUCUUUUCAUAAGGCUAUUGGAAAGCUUCCUCUGUACACAGGCCAUACCGUGUGCCUUAGAAUCCUCUCUAACUCCGUCAUGAAAGCUUUCGGCUUGAAAUUUAUGACGAAUCCUCUCAUAACAUGCUUUGGCAAGGGUUGUCUUACCUAUCCCACCCAUCCCCCAUAUUCCUAUAAAGAGAACAUCAUUUGACUCUAGUUCUAAAAGCACAUCAAGUUCCUUCAGUUUCGAUUCAAUGUCAACUAGCUUUUCUGCAGGUUCCAAUGAUAAAGGUCCUACUUUAUUCCGUACAUUUUCAAUAAUUUGUUCGAUGACAUCUGGUUCUCUACAAGAAAAAUAGACAAUGUCAAGAUAUGACCUAAUACACAAGGAAAUAAAAGAGCCACAGACUAUUUUUGUUUUCGUCCACCUGAAGUCAUAGUACCAAGUGGUCUCUGCGUCCAUCUAUAAGAGGGUGGUUUGGUAUUGGACAAAAUUAGAGACGGUUUAGGAAAAGGGGAGGACAAAAAAGCGUAGCAGUAUUGGAUUUCAAACAUAUGACUUCUUAACUGGAUCAAUUUUUUCCCCUUAGACUCUCAAAUGGACCAAAUAAUGGUAAAAAGAAAGGCUCUCUAGGAUGGAACUGUAGGCAUAAACACAGUCUACAAAGCCUCAAUGUUUAGUCAUUAAGUUGUAUUGGGAUUAAGCGGUUAUGAAGCACCUUCAUUACUGUGCAAAAAGUAAAUGAUAUGAAUUCUUCGAUUUUCCUAUAAGUUAUUGUAUCAGGCUUUAGAAGAAUUGAAUUAUAAAAAAAAUAGCAAGAAUGAAGGGUCAAGUGCUGAUUGCUAAAGCUUUUGAAUUGAGUGAAAGAGAAAAACAAGUAAUGCCAACCUAUUCUUUGAAGUAGACCCUUUGAUUUUUGCCACUUUUUGUAAGGCAUCUUUCCAUUGUUCCAAAAUCACUUCGGCAUUCUCACUCUUUGUCAUUCUUACACUUUUGUUCGAGUUCAGUGAAGCCUUUCCCAAAACUCCCAGACCUAUCUCCAACAUCGCAGGGUUCCACCUGGUAGAAAACUGGUAUAAUUGCCCCUCUCUCUUCCAUGCAUUCAAGAAUCUUUACGAGUUCGUUCAGGCACCAUUUUGAAGAAGCGUAGUUUGGAGAGAUGACCAUGAUGGCAAGCCUCGACUUUUCAAUUGCCGGGAAGAUUUCAGAAACUUUUCUUCCUAUUUCAAGAUCAUUGUCAUCAAAGAAAGUUCUUGUAAUUCCUUGUUCUUCCAAUUCCUUAAGUAGAUGGGCGGUAAAACCUAAGCGCGUGUCGUCGCCCCUAAAACUCAAAAAGACAUCAUACUGCCAUUCAAGAGCUGAAGGAAGAGAUGAAGCGGCUCGUUGGGUGCUCGAUGCCAUUGAAUACAAGCUAACUGGAAUGGUGGUAUUAGUUUUCCAAGCAAAAACAUGACCAGAAAAAUAAUUCAGCAUUCAAAAUAUUGUAUUAGCCAAUAACAUGAACAGAAAUAACCAUGAAUCAGAAAGAUGAGCAAUAACCUGUGUGUAUGUAAGAAAAUGAAGUCACAGAUCAAGUCAGAUCAAGUCAGAGGGGGCAUGAGAGGGGCUACAAGUCUGUCUGUAUGUCGUCAAGUCCAAUCAAUGCUUAGGUACACCAAGUUGCCUAGUGGCCGUCGUCGUCUAACGAAACUUCACCGCGGAGGCUUGAUGGACGUGAUUCAACUGCUGCUUCUAUCCGACGGUCAAACCGCGUAAGCUCUAUUUUCCCACUUUUUAUUUUAUUCGUUUGGUGAUUCAACUGCUCCAUUAUUUUAUUUUUGUGUAGCUCCAUUAUUAUUUUUUAUACUAAUGCAGAGCACACCACAGUUGAAUGUUUCUAACAAACACAAAAUUUAAUUGCAUGCACUUCUUUUCUUCCAGAAACACAAAAUUUAAUUUUCUUUAAGUUGACCCAGUGCGUUUACUUAGACAAUCACCUGUGCACUAGUUGGGAAAAUUCAUCCUCGGACUCAUCGUCCUCAUGGUUCACAUUCACAAGUGGCACAUAAAAAUCAGGUGUUGAAAUUAGAGAUAAAAUGUAGAAGAUACUGUCGGCAAAAGCAAAUAAUUUUUGUUUUGUUUUUUUUUAUUUUUUUGUUUUUGUUUUGUUUUUAAUAUAACCUAAGAAAUAAACUGCAGCUAGAAAUUGAAAGUAAUGAAAUAAAAAUGAAAGAAAGUAAAGAAAAAGUUACUUUAAGUCUGUAGCUAGACGUCGCAGAAGCCCGGUGGCUAGAUCACUGGUUCCUUCAGAGUCAAAGACUCGCUUGUACCAAACUUCUUUGGGAAUGACUUUAGUAGAGACUUCUUGACCUUGAGCACACAACCCCUGCCCUCUAGUUCAAUGUCCACAUUACUGUUUUGAAAAACUUGCUUAACCAUAUAAGGUCCCUUCCACCGAGACUCUUGUCUCCCUGGAAUUAACUUGAAACUGGAAUUUAACAACCACAUCUUUCUACCAGGCUGUAUUUUUGCAACUUUUUAUUCUUUCCCUUGAUAUUUGGAUGUUUUUGGUCAAUCUGGUGGCCUAGAUAGUUGUCAAACAAAGUUGGUUCUGCUUUUGAUUUUUACACUUCAACCGCCCGAACUUUUUGCUGUUGCACUUUACUAUCACACUCACGAAUCACAUCUUGAGUCUUUAUGAGCAGAUGGUUAGUUAAUGAUCUGGUCAUAAAUUUGGCCUUAGGUAAACCAUCUAAUGCAUCAACACGCAUGCAUUCUUUCUUGUCACUUGGAUGUGUGAUGACUUCAAACAAAUUGAAAACAACUGUUUGAUCUUCAACCCGUAGUGUUAAUGUUCCUGCUUCAACAUCAAUAAGAGUUCGGGCUGUUGCCAUGAAGGGUCGUCUCAAAAUGAUGGGUGUUGUCAAAUCUUCAUCCAUGUCCAACACCAUAAAAUCAGCUGAUAAAUAUAAAUUGUCAACCUUAACAAUAACAUCUUCGAUGAUUCCUCUAGGAUAGGUAAUUGAACGGUCAGCCAAUUGAAUAAUGUUGGAGGUUGGCUUCAGCUUGCUUUCACCUAAACGUUUAAAAACAGAAUAAGGCAUUAAGUUUACACUAGCACCUAAAUCAAUUAACGCACUUUAAAAAUCAAAAUUGCCAAUAGUACAGGGAAUAGUAAAACUCCCUGGAUCUUUCUUCUUUGGAGGCAAUUUGUGUAGUAGAACUGCACUGCAUUGUUCUGUGAGCACAAUUUUCUCUGUUUCCACGAGCUUUUUCUUCUUAGUGCAAACAUCUUUCAAAUAUUUAGCAUAAGAAGGAAUCUUGUUAAUCGCUUCCCACAAUGGUAAAUUAUUUGAACUUUAGCCAAUGUCUGUAUGAAGUCUUUUAACUGCUGAUCCUUAGCCUUUGGUAUUAACCGUUCUGGAUAUGGUACUGGAGGAUUAUAAACACGCUCAGAAACCUGUUUUGGGACAGUUUCUGCACUGGUCAGAUUCUGUUUUGAUGCAGAAUUGGCAGGUUCUACCCUUGUUUUUGCAGAUUCUGUAGAAAUUUUCACUGCUGGCAGAUUCUGUUCAGUGCCAUUUUCACGGUUGUCAUAACUUUUACCACACCUUAAAGUCCGUAUUGCACAACAAUCCUCUGUACCUCUUGGAUUAUACAUCAUUUGACUAGGAAACCUUCCUUUUUCUCUGUCUGAAAUCUGUGCAGCUAGCUGCCCAAAUUGUAACUCUAAACUUUUAAUUGAUGCCUCAAUAUUCUGAAAUCUUUGAUUGCUGCCUUCCAUGAAUGUUUGUGUUGUUGCUGCCAGUUUAGUCAUUUGAUCCUCCAAUGAUGGUUUGGAUGGUACAAAAGGUUUUUGUGCUUGUUGGAAUGGUCUUGCAUUAUUUUGAUUGUCACCCCAUUUGAAAUUAUGAUGAUCAUUCCAUCCUGGAUUGUAAUGAGUUGCAUAUGCAUCAUUCCUAGGCCUUUGAUAACUGUUCAUCAUAUUAACAUGUUGCUCGACAAGCUCUGGGUAAGAUUCUUUAUGUGGACAGCCCAAUAUGUCGUGUGUAGCCAUGCUGCAGAUAGUGUAGAUUGUUGAUGUAGGUUGCUGCUGCUGUGUAGAAUUUGCUAUCUGUUGUAAAAUAAUGUCAAACUUUGCAUCAAUUUUUUUCUCCAUUUUUUCCAUUUGUGCAGACAUAUUAGAGGAACCUGCUGAUAACUCAAAAAUGCCCCUUUUUUGUGAAUGUUCUGCUGCCCACUCUUGAGAUUCUGUAGCCAUUGUAUCAAAUAAUUCAAAUGCUUCUCUUGCAGAUUUAUUUGACAAUGAACCCCCAUCUGAUGCAUUAACAUGACUUUUAGAUGUAGGAUUAAGCCCAUCAAAGAAAAUAUUCAUUUGUUUAUCUGAAUCAAUAUUAGCAUGUGGACACUUUAUAUACAUUUCUGUAUAUCUCUCCCACGCUUCAUGAAAUUCUUCGUUUGGCUUUUGAGUGAAUGUCAUAAUCUCCCGCUUGUAAUUUAAUGUCUUGGAUGCCGGAUAAUAUUUGUUCAGGAAUUUUGUAUGCAAUUGUUGCCAAGUAGUAAUGCUAUUAGCUGGUAAAGUGAACAACCAAGUUUCUGCCUUAUCCUUCAAAGUAAAAGGAAAAAGACGUAACUUAAUAGCCUCGACAGAAAAACCCCUGAUCAAAAUAUUUUUGCAACCCACGAUGAAUUUUGCAACAUGUAAAUUCGCAUACUCGUUAGGCAGCCCACAAAAAGUAGGUAAAAUUUCAAGCAUAUGGUGCUUGAUCUCAAAUGAAUCACCAUCUUCAUGGGCAGGAUACACAAUACAAUUAGGAACAUCAUUGACUCAGGCAGCCAAUGACUCUCUGAGUGGCCUGCCUGCAGCAGGCAAUUGCAACGCCAUUGUGAUUUUACUGCCUACAAAACCAGCAAACAAUUCCUGCAGGAAUGUGCCUUGCACUGCACAGUCCCAAACCAAAUUAUUUUCUCUCCCCUGUCUAUGCAGUGUGCGUUCGGGUUCUGGACCAAACUGUGCAAUCUGGGCAGUUCCUGAUCUAGUUUGGACCAUGCAAUUUACAGAAUCUACAAUCACACAAAAGCGUUAAAAUAAUUUGAAUUUUUUGUUGUCUUUUUUUGACGAAAAAUAAUAUAAAAAAAAAUAAUCAGAAAAAGUUUAAACAAAAAUUAUCUAAAAUAGUCCCCGGCAACGGCGCAAAUUUCUUGAUAGGAUUUUUAACGUCUAUGCAAAUAGGGUCAAAAUCACAUGAAAUACUUGCAAGAAUACAAGGAUGUUGUAGUAUAGAUGCUCAUGCACGGUCGUUUUCCUCAAUGAUUAUUUGGAUAAUUUAUGUAGAAACAAUUCCUAAUUAAAUAUUUAGAGUUAAAACUUGAGAAAAGAGAGUUUGAGAGUGGGUAAUAUUAAAAGCGAAUUUUAAGCAAAAACUAAUAUAAUCAAAGAAAAGAGUUUUAAAUACCAAUUUAUAAAGGCACCAGGGUUCCACCAUCACCUAGCAAUUUUAUGUAUUUUUACCAAUUACUUAUAAUUUAGACAUGCCACUUCGAAGGUUAGGUUUUCCUAAUACAUAUUCUCCUCGUGAUAGUCAAGCAAGAACAUAUAUCUAACAUGCAAUCCGUAUGUGAUAUUCAGAUCAAAUAUGAAUAUGCAAGACUCAUUAAGUUUUAUGAAAACCUUUUGAAGAACCAUGCAACCCCUAAGAACGUGAUAUUCGCCUUAGAUGAAAUUACAAUUAUCAAUCACAAGAAGCAAUACUCAAUCCUCCGGUGAUAUUCCGACCGAAUUGCAUCCAAUUACUUGUCUAAACAUCCUAAUAGUGGCCAGUCAUCAAGAUAAUUAGAUAGUUUAAAACAGUGAUCAAUAAUUCAAAGUGUGCAUGCAAUCAAUCAUAAGCAAUUAAAUAAAAAUUACAUAUUCAUGCUAAGGCUCAAGGUUUCGCCCUAGCAAAAGGAAUUAGUUAUGCAUAUUCAUAAUUGAAAUCAUAGAGCUUAUUAUUAAAAAUAAAAGGAAUGAAAGCACCUUAAAGUAGAAAAUCUCCAAGAACCCUAGCCAAGUUCUUUGUCUCUAAAGUUGAAUAAUAAUAAGCGUAGAAAAAAACUAUAGACGGCCAAAGCAAUAUAUUUGCUCAGCCCUUACAAACCCUAAGACAUAGGUUUCUUAUUCCAACUAGGAAACUAAAAAUAAAAUAAAAUAUCUUAGAAAAUAAAACCCUAAUUAAACUAGGAAUCUGCCAAGUACUUGUCCAGCCACGUUUUAGCCUCAGAUCUCCUCCAAAUCCAGCCCAAGAUAGCUUGUUUUAAAUAAGAACGUUCCGAACAGAUCUCCAGAAGGCCACGAAACCAUUCGAGGUCAUCUUGGGCUCCAAAAACGCAAUUUAAGCCCAGAAACGUCAUUUUUCAGCACCGCGCAUCGCUCCUUUAUUUUAUCGCCAAAAAAUAACCGCUUGAUGGAAAAAUCCCAAUUUUUGAUACGAUCAAGCUAAGUGACUCACGAACGUCUUCCAACUGGAAUUACUCCAAAAUUCGUCCAUUUGACCACGUUUUGCUUCAGAGGAAGUCGAAAGUCCUAUAUUGAAAAUACAAUUCAAAGUAUCAAAAUUCUUCUAAAAUAUGAACCAAAAUAUACCAAGAAUAGGGUUAAAUAUAUAAUAUAAAAUUCACUUAUCAAAGCUCCUCAUCUCUGAGAGGAGAGCAACCACAACUGUCACUAUUGCAUCAAAUCUAUGAGUAGAACUCAAAUCCAUAUCAAAUCACUUAUGCAGUCUCAUUCACAAGAAGCCUGACACGCUUUUGGUAUGAACGGCACUGAUCAACAAUCACUUCUUCCUUCAAACCCUGCCAUAGUAUUUCAUUUUGACCAUUUAUGACCGUUAAAUUUGCACAUAUUAAGAGCCCGGAUGGUAAUAUUAUGAUUUUGGUUCAUUUAUUAUAUUUUAGUAAAAGCCAAAGAGGAAUUGUAUGGGAGAAAAGAGGGAGAACAAAAGGGCUCAGAUGGGUGGGCAUGAAAAUGAAUAUGGAACGGUAUUUAAACCAAAAAGCAAAAUCAGUCUCAACUGUUCUAUAUUUCUCCUUAAAGUUUUUACUUCGCCCAUUUCCCUUCAAUCGUCCAUACCUCCUCCCUUCUACAAACACAAGAAAAGUGCAGCCCUUAAAGGUACUAAGUUUCGAGUAAUUAACCACCUAAUUCCGACCCUGCUAAAAGUCCCAACUUAAACUUUUUUUACAAUCACAGUAAUUGACACCCAAUUACUAGCCUCCUCCACCUCUGGAUAACUAGCCUUAUAAAUAAAGUUUUGUUAUCAAUAUUUCUCAUCAAAUAAUUUACAUACAGUGCAUAGUAAAGAAAAGUAUGGACCAUAAAUAUUCUCCACAAUUGACCAUAUACAAGUUUCAGAACUUUCAACUGUGGUAAGAGUCCCAUAUGAAACUUUCACCGCUAGAGAACUCCACACACACAAAAAAAAAACAUAGAAUCAUUGGCCUCUCAACAAAAAUAUUUCUAGAAAAACAUAAAUGAGAAAUUAUCCUUUAAUAAUACCUUUUCGGAAAGAAAUUAAUCAGAAAUCUAAAAUAAGGUAGAAAAUAAUAUUACCUCAGGAUUCUUAGGAUCCAAGGCAUUAAGCAUUUCCAUCAACACAUCUGCAAUUCCACGAGCAUUCUGAAUCUCUAGCAAGCUGAUUAAAGACAGUUCCAAUCAGGAUGGAUCUAUCAUAGUUUCAAUUAAAAGGAUGAUUUUUGCAGCAGAAGAACAACAUUGACACCAUUCAAAUACAAACAUAUAAGACAAUAACAUAUGUUUCAACUCUUCUUCCAGCCUUGAAAUAGAUUUGGAUGACUAAGAACUCCUACUCUCAAGCCUUUGGUGACACGCCCCGAUCCCGAUAUUCCCAAAAUACCAGGAUAAGCACAUGCUGGUUGACACCUGACGAAAGCCAUUUAUUGAAUGCAAAUGUUGAGAAUAAGGAAUAAAUAAGACUUAGAAAUAUAAAAGAAUAAUGAAUAUGCAUUUAAGGAACGCGUUCAGAGAAUACAACUAACUAGAACACUAAAAGAAAUAAUAUAAAAUUCAAAGAAUAAAAGAAUGGGUCCUACACCGAGAGGACUCGAAGAUGCCGAUGCGGAAGUGCCUUGACGUCAGGAUUGUAUGUCUCGAUUCUAAGUCCUGAAGGGGGCGCAAAACAAACAUGAGUGGACCAAGUUGCUAUAUAUAUAUAUAUAAUAAAACAGUUAUCAACAUACUAACCCCCAGGUUUUAUGAAAACACAUAUAUAUCAUGAUAAACAUAUGUUUUCCGAAACCUAGCAUGUCGUGCAAUGUCUCAAAUCAUAACUUGUAUAUAUAAUAAUCACUAGUGAAUUGUCCGAUAACCCCCAGGCCCCAUGCCGACUCCCCGUCUCUGAGCAGACAGUCAAAGGAAAAUACACUUCAAGUCCCAUGCUGGCUCCCCGUCCCUGUGCUAAAUAGGCAGAGGAAACACACUCCAGGCCCUAUGCCAACACCAAACCGUCACCAGGGACGGACCAGAAUCUAUCCCUACGUCCCGUAGCGGAAAUGACCACUAGGUAAGUACAAAAUCAUUGAACAUAUAUAUAUUGAAAAACAACUUCAUAGUAUAAAGUCAUCCAUCAUCUAUACUAUAAAGAGGUGUUCGAAACAUGUUCUAAAUAUUAUAUCGUCAUCCAUCGGAUAUUUAUAAGAACACGGGUUAUAGGAAAAAUAGGAAUAAUUCAACUAGCCUCAAUAAGCAUAUUAUCUCAUAAAACGUUUCAUAAAACGUAGUCAUCAAAUCAUGUUUUUCAUGUAUGCAUUUCUACUAUCAAAACAUGCAUUUUUAGAAGGGGUCCACUCACAGAUACUUAGCCGCCAAAGAGCCACGCAAACUAGCAAACACGGAAACGCCACAAUAAUUGCUCCUAAGCACGUAAAUGGUCCAAUUAAUAAAACUAUACUCAAACGAUUUAAUUUGGGAAAACAGACGUCGAAAACGGAUUCAGAACAUCAAAUUAUCUUAAGAAGGGUCCCGGAUAAAUUUCGUAAACGUCAAUAGAAUAUUCCAAAGAAUAUUCCUUGACGGAAUAUUUUCUGAUGGAAUAUUCCACAAAAAGGUUUGAGCCGGUUAGGGUUUAGGGUUGGAAGGGUUAAAGGGUUUAGGCUUAGACUUUUAGGUGGGUUGGGUUUAGGUUUUUAAACUGAAAGGGUUGCUUUAACAUAUAAGGGCCAAUGGCCUUUAAAACCAAAACAAAUAAAAUAGAAAAUAAAAAGGGCUGGAGGGUUCUAGGCCCAAAGGCCUAAACUAAAAAAGGGUUUGGGGUUUAAAGUGUAUGGGCCCUAAGCCCUCACAGCAAUGGCCCAAAGGCCUUUAAUUAAACAAAAUAAAAUUAAAACAAAAUAAAAAGAGAAAUGGGUUUGGGUUGGGCUCGGCAGGAAAGGCCCGAAGGGCCUAUGUUUGAUGGGUCGCUAGACCCAAGGAAGAAGAAGGCUGGAAUUCGGCCGAAAGGUUCUCUAACUUUAAACGUUCAUAACUUUGUCAAUACUCAACGAAAUCAAGUGAUUCAAAAACAGAAAUCGUAGCCCUCGAAGAGACGAAGAGAAUGGUACCUUGCACGACGUCUAACUCAUCAUGGUUUGGCCGAAAAUUUCCUCGAAAGGGAUGAGUCCCUAGUCGGAAAAUCUAGGGAAAGCUCCCCAAGUUGUUUUCACGUCUAAACCUUCACCAAAUACCAUAUUUUAACAACCUCUAAGCCUUCUAGACUACUAUGAAGGAAGAUCGAAGGGUGUUUUUGACUUACCUUGUCAGAAAUCACGUGCACCGUGACUGUGCACAGUGCCUAGACGAGAGAGAGAUCGCAGGGUGGUGAGGAAGAGAACGAUGAAGGUCAGAUGAUGAAGAUGAUGGUGAAGUUCUCCUGUUGGCUGUGUGUAUGUAUGUAUGGGUGUGUGUGUGAUGAUACUCGGGGAAGGAAGGAGAGAGUGCAGAGAGAGUUGAGAGAAGAAAGAGGGAAAAAGAGAGAAAGAAGAGGAUCACGGGGAGGGAACACAAAUAAAGGGGUUGGGCUCACCAAUUAAGAACUAAAAUUCAUUUUUAAAUAAAAUGGGGGUGGGGUGUAACAUUUGGUACUACUAAAGAACCGUAUAUUUAUUCGUAGAUGAUCAAUUGAAACACCCCACGGAUCAAUUAAUUCAAAUCAUAAUUAAAUACUAAUAGUGGCUUUAAAGAAUGUGUUACAUAUACAGAUGAAAAAGAAGAUUCAACAUCGUUACCAUUCAAAUACAAACAUACAAGACAAUAACAUGUUUUAACUCUUUUUGCAGCCUUGUAAUAGAUUUGGAUGACUAAGAACUCCUACGCUCAAGCCUUUGGUACUACCAAAGAACUGUAGUUUUCUUCCUAGAUGAUCAAUUGAAACACCCCAGAGAUCAAUUAAUUCAAAUCGUAAUUAAAUUCUAAUAGUGGCUUUAAAGAGUAUAGGCGUGUUAUAUAUAUAGAUGAAAAAACAGAAUCAACCUAUCAUAUAUACAGGAUGGCAACUUGUUUGGUGAUAGAUUCAGAACAACAGAGAGAAUUUUUUUUUAAAGAUAAGAUACCUUAAUGGUGUUUGAGUAAUAACACAUACAGACAUUAAAGGUGAAACCUUUUCCAAGCAGAUGCAGACAUACAAAAAGAUAUUAAGCUUAAAGACCUUAAUAUCCAGCUUUGGGUAUUGGCAAGUAUCUGCUAACCUUCCCUUAUACGUAAAAAAUUCUGAUAACCACAAUCAAGGCAACAACAACAAAAACAAAAGCAAAAAUUCCAUGCCUUAAGUAGAAAAAGUUCACUUAUGUUGUAAAACCCAUUCAUAAAGAUUUAGUCAACCAUUAACAAUCAUUCACUGUUGUAUCAACAAAAAAAAAUAGAAGGAAACAAGUUCUUAUGAUUGAAAGAGAUGAUUGUGAAAGGGUUAGGAUAUACCUGCUGCUAUGAAUUAUAGAUUCCAGUGGAUGAGGCUCUCUGUUUUUGAAAAACGUGCGUAUGGUUGAACGGCAACGAUACAUGACAUAGCAAAAAAUUAGAGGGAAAAGGAGUUUGUAUUCAAACACAGUAAAGAGAUUUGUAUUAGAAAUUAGUUUGUAUAAAAGUUAACAAAACAUAACAAAAUUUAAAAAUGGAUAGACAAAUACCUCAGUGUUUGAAUGAAUGGUUGCUGUGUGAAUGAAUGGUUUGAUCUGUAUGCUUGUGUUGGAUCUACAUGCAUAUGAAAAAUUAAAUUAAAAAGUGCAUCACAGAGAAAUGGAAAAACAACCUAGCAACAUAGAGAUAUUCGAAUGAUGUGAAGUGGAAAAGGAACCUGAAGGUGAUUUGGUGAGAAGCAAAUAGUAGGAAAGCAUGAAGAAACACACAAAUGAGCACAGUGCAACCCCUUUAUUUAUAAAGACAGAAAUCUCACACUAACAAUGAACUAAACGGCCUAAACCCACUAAUUAAAAAAUAAUAAACUUAAAAAGGAGUCUAAAUUUUGUUUACUCAUAAACAAAGGAAAAAAAAUUCUGAAAAACACAAAUAUCAAGACAGUGUAGUCCCCUAAUUUACAAAGACUAAGAGCAAACUCUAAUAGUUAACUAAACAAUUUAAAAAUAUCUAUGACAACUUUAAUGAAGGGAAAAUUAGCCAUGACAAUUUAACAGUGUAGCCCCCUAAUUUACAAAGACUAAGAGCAAACUGUAAUACUUAACUAAACAAUUUUAAAAUAUGUAUAGCAGUUUUAAUGAAGGAAAAAUGAGCUAUGACAAUUUAAUGAAGGGAAUGGCAAAUCAAACAAUGAACAGCAAAUUGAAAACAAUAAAUUGUAUAAAUUUACAUAUGUUUUACUCAAUUUUUUUUUUCCAUUAAGCUUUCAUGUUGCUGUAAAUUUAGGCGUUUUCUCUCUGUGUUGGUGUAUCUGCCUAAACUUGUAAAAUGUUGGUUCAUCUUAUGCAAUUUUUGAUAUACUUAACAACCUACUGCCUAUGUGCAAUGGAGCACCACAAAUUUAUCUACAUUAUGGUUGUUAGGACAAUGGAUUAGGUUGUAGGAUAAAUUCGGACAUACAGCUAACCCUAGAGGUGAUCUAAACAAUCUACAAAAGACUAAGAGCAAACCCUAAUAGUUAAGUAAACAAUAUAAAAUAUAUAUGAUAGCAUUAAUGAUAGAAAAAAUAUCUAUGACAAUUUUAAUAAAUGGAAUGGCUAAUCAAACAGUAAACAACAAUUAAAAACAAUAAACUGAAAAAGAGUUAACCCUAAGGUGAGCUAAACAAUCUACAAAGAUAUAUGACAAAUUUAAUGAAGGAACAAAAUAUCUCUAACAAUUCUAAAACAAAAAAAAGGAUCAAUCACACAAAAAUUAAUCAAGAAACAAACAAAUUAAAUCAGUGGAAGACCCUAAUUGAAAAAAAUAGAGACAUAAUCCUAGCACCCAAUUGAACAAUUUAUAAACAUCCAUGACAAUUUGAAUGAAAGAACAAAAUAUAAAUGAAAAUUUUAACAAAGCAAAUGGCAAUUGGAUACUAAACAAUGAAAAAAAAAACAGUGCAUUACCUUUUGAAUCAAGGGAGAAAGUUGAAAACCCAGACCCUGCCAUUCGUCCCUCAGCCAUCCCCUCUUCACCGACUCUGUGCGUAACCCGUUAACCCUAAAGAAUACACACACCCAUGCUUUCCGCUCUGUAUCUAUCUCCCUGUCCAUCUCUCUCUCUAAAAUGGGAGAAAAUCCCAUAGAUCCUAGCAGAGGACCUAGCUAAAUCUAUCUCUCACUCAGUCCAAACCCAUAGCUCCCAUCUCUCUCCAAUCUGUCAGGCCUUGUGUCUCCCUCCUCUCUAGUCGCUCCGUCCCCCUUUCUCCGCUCGCCACAGCCACAACCACACCCAGCUGUCUCCGAGUAAAAAAUAGGAACGAUCGUCUCUCUCCAAUUUGUCAGCCGUGAUGUCCCCCUCCCCUUUCUCUCCCCGAGUCAAAGCUGAAAUGCAGCCAACGGCUGAUAAUCGGUUUUUAAGCCUGAGUGGCAUUUUUGUAAUAAAGCGAAAGUUGGUUAAAAGCACCCUGAGUGGCAAUCUUGUAAAUAAACUGAAAUGUCUUCCAAAACACUGCUCAAUUGUACAAUGCAAUUUCCCCUCCUUCAUUAGACUAAAGUAAUAAUAAUUCAGACAAUUUAUACCAAAAAUAAAAAAACAUCCCAAAGCAUAAAAAAAGAUAGCAUCUGUUACAAUAUCAUUAUGUUUGAAUUGUGUAUAUAGGUAAUUAUGGGGGAUUCGGGAAAGAUGGAAUAACUAUACAAAGAAGAGAAAUGAUUUGAAGUCUAUUGUUCGCUUUUCUUAUUAGCACAAAAUUCAAUCAAGCAAGGAUGAAUUCUUUCAUAAAUUACAGUUACGGAUCAUGACAUUCAACAAGCAGCAGCUGAAAUAGUUGUACAAACAUAAAAAAUCGAUGCUGACUGACAUCUUUAAUUAAAGAUUAAGGCCCUAGGACUGACAGGAUUUAUAAUAGUAAGGGUGUAAGAGACAUCCUCAUGUCAAUGGGAGAAUUGAUGAAUACUUGACAAGGUUAAGGCCUUUCAAAUAUGUAGUCAAAUUUUUCUGCAGUCUUAAAGCAUGCACAACACAUUCAAAUUUGAUGAAGUAUAUAUGAAACAACCAACAUGUCUUCGUUGAUUCUCAAUUUCCAACACAUGUUUGCAAAUUGAAACAUUCUCUCUAUGGUCUUAAACAAGCCUCAAGGGCGUGGUUUCAAUGUUUUUUCCAACCACCUAGAACAUCUCGAUUUUGUGUCUUCUUAAGCAGAUUCGUCUCUAUUUGUUUACUGUCAUGGUUUAGUUCGCAUUUAUUUACUAAUCUAUGUUGAUGACAUCCUUAUCACAGAAAAACAUGAACAUAAAUAACCAUGAAUCAGAAAGAUGAUCAAUAACCUGGGAGUAUAUAGAAAACGAAGUCACAGUGUUCGGGCGAAGAUUUCUCCGGAUAGGGCUCCUCGGCUCUCAGCACAGCUCUCCAAGGGAUUGGCCUUUUGGAUGUGUAGUUAAGCUCUUGCUUGUUGAUGUGUUGCAAGAAGAGGAUAGAGUUAGUUUUGAAAGGUGCCUUUGUAGGGCCUUAAGUGUAGGCCUUGAGACUCGCAAUCAAAACUAACUGAAUGCUAGGCGUGCCACUGCUAUCUCAGUAUAGCAGAUGUAGAACAAAUGUGUUUUAGUCGAUUACUUACCCCCCAAGUUACUCAGACUUCUUGUUAUCAAAAGAUUGUCGUGGAUGGGUUAAGUCCACAUUAAGUUCUUUUUCUUGCCUUAUGACCAAGGACUUUCAGUUCAUAGUCUUGUAUGUUCAAGUGAGGGAAGUCCAAAUCUCCUUAAGUCAUCUACUCGGUUCUUGAUUGGUUUUUAAUGAAGGCAUAUUCAUUUAGGUAACCAGAUGCGAGCACAAACGAGACUCUUAAAAUAGGAAAACAGAUGGAUAUGACUUGAAUACAUGAUGGAGAAUACAUUAAGUAGUAGAUUUAUUAACUUAUAAAACAAACAAAGAGCUUUGAGCAAGAUUUCACCUUGUCGGGCAAGGUUGAACUUCUUGCAAUCACUUCUCUUUUGAGUUUACAAGGUUUAUUUGCUAAGAAGGGAUGAAUGGUAAACAAGUUUACACAAGAGAAUCGAUACUACGCCACUAGGGGUGAUAACAGAGCUUCUAAACUAGACAAAAGAUGGCUUUUGUGGGGAAUGAUCAUGAAAAGAUGGCUAACUACAGCUUUUAGAUGCAAAUCCGGCUUGAGAUAAGAGUUUGUAUGAUUGGUUGAGUGUCAUUGUCUUUGGGGCCUCUUCUUCCUUUUAUACACAGAUUAGCCCGACUAUUGUAGCUUUGCUCUUGCCCAAAAGUAAUUGAAGGGUAGUGAGUCAUCAACUUUUUACUUGUAUUGCCAUUAAAAAGUGCUUUUUGGCUAAUUAUGGGUUAGUCCCCAUCACUUGACACUUAAAUCAUAGGCACAUGACCAAUGCAUUAAUGAGAAGGCGCCAAUUUAUCUCUGGGCUUGAUGCUGGGCUUUGGGCAAGUCUUCCUUUAAUUGGUGUUUUUGCUUCUACACACUUGCAGCCUAAAGUUCAAAUAUUAACCCAAACAAAACUUCUAACCCACGAUCAUAGUGGUCACUCCUCACACCCCAAGCCAGAUCCCUCGAUUGGAUGCAGCUAAUGAAUCUCUCUCUACAAAAGGGACUAGCAUCUUCCCUAAAAGCGUCAUGGAAGACCGAAGUUGUAGAGGGCAGAGAUGUCUCCGAGUUGCUUGGAGAUUUUGAGGACGAAGCCGAGCUUGUAGUUGAGUGUUGGCCUACAUGUCGGACUCCGGCAAUGGUGGUAGAAACUUCAGAGUCUGAGCCCGAAGCGUGGCUGGCUCCAACAAAGAAAAAGAUGCGGGCACAAACUUCCACAGCUUCAAAGUCUUCUACACCAGUGGCUGAGGUGGGUAGGGAGAAACGGAAAGCUUUUAGUAAGUAAUCAUUGCUUCAUUUUAUUCACAACUUCAUGAUGAGAGUUGACAACUCUCUUUUCUUUGAUUCCAAGGCCCCAAGUGACUAAAAAGCCUACCAUCGCUUCAAGGGAUGACCCAUUGCGGGCUGAGAUGUCUCAAAAAGCAAAAAAUCUGCAAGAUUUCACCCUGGAGGAACUUGAGGUACAUCUUGCAUAUUAAAUUUUAUUCCAUUGGGUUCUUCCCUUUUCCUUCUUACUCUCCUCCAUACUAUCUGCCUAUUUUCUGAUUUAGGCCAUAAGGGAAGGAAAGAUCUCUCCGCCCGAGGCCUCCUCACCUCCAGCCCGAAUGGUACAAACUUCUCCCCCUCAGGCUAAGUCUUCAAAGGUAUAUCUUUUCUCUUCUUUUAGACUUGUAUCUUUAACAAUCCCAGAGUUCUAACACUCGAUUUGUACUUUCGUAGGCCAAGGUUGGAGAGGUUGCUUCCUCACUGGGCAUAGUUUUACCUUCAUUCUUCCAGCCUCUCUUCCACUGGUGGUGGCUCCUACUUCCUAGUUUGAUCCAAGCACUGCAAAGUUGUUACACUUUGUAGAAGAUAAUAGUCGCCCAGUAAGUACUUCCAUUAUCCUUUUUAUGUUCAGAGUUCCUUUUUUUCUUCCUUACUUAUCAUCUGUUGCCAUUUGUAGCCUUCCUUAUCACAGACAUCUCACCAACCAGCCGUGUUUGCUUUUGGAGAACCCGUAGUCCCUGAGAUCCCUGUGGUUUCAGAGGUGACUAGCCUGAGGGCUUCUCGGGCAGAGUCUCUUGAUGUAGUUGUUUCUGAAUUACCUAUUUCUCAACUUCAAGUAUAUCAUUAUCUUAAACUUUCGCUUCUUGUUUUCUGCAAAUUGUCUUUUUGACACUUGUUCUCUUUGAUGUCUAAAGGCCUCAGGUAAAGGCCCAGGCAUUAUUCCUUCCUCCUUAACAACCAAAAAUGGUCCCUCUCCACAACUAAAGGAAACAACUCUUCCUCCAUCUCAUUCCUUGGCUCCGAGCUCAACCCAGGUAUAUUGUCCUUACUUGUCUCGCCUUCCGCCAUUCUGAAUCAUAAAUUAUUUCCUUAAUUUUUCUCCAUUGGUUGCAACAGGGCUUUGGGGAAGGCUCAGGCAAGUCUUCACCACGCUUGGUGCACAAAAUAGAACUCCCUCGACCUUCUUUAGCUUCUAGGGUCAUAGGGAUUCCUAUCCCAAGGCCGAAAAAGAAGACUAAGACCAUAACUGCUUCUAUCUCUCAGGUUCCUCCCUCGGUUGAAACUUCCUCCAUUGCUGCACCCUCUGAAGUAGCUGGAGUACGACCUUCUUCUCCUGUACCGGUUCCUUCAACAGUAUCUCUACCCGAGCUUUUUAAAGAAUUCGGGCAACUCAAGACAAAGUUAAGAUCUCCCAAGCAUCCAGGCAAUUCAAAACAAAGCUAAGAUCUCCCAAGCAUCCAUCUGAAUCUUCAGGCCUCCAAGAUCAACGCCGAGUCUUCCGAGAAUGGUUUAGAAGGGAUUUCUCAGCAUCCUUUAGCCUCAAGGCCCUCCAUGAUGUAGAGAAAGUAGUGACCGACAUUUUCAAGGCCGAUCAAUUAUCAAAAGUUCAGUAUGAGUCAUUUAUCUCAUAUUUUGAAAACUUGAAGGCUCUUAGAAAUCAGCAUAGUCGGGCUGAGAGGCAAACCAAUUGAGUAAGGUGCUUCAAGGAGAAACAAUCUAGUACUUUAACUCAAAUUUAGCAGCUAAUAAAUAAAGGCUCAGCCACGGAGGAGAAGAUCAAGAUGGUCUCUUCCAAUAUCCAGAAGUUAGAGGAGCAACUUGCUGUGUUGAAGGCUGAACAUGCGACUCUCAUUGGCAAGCUUCAGCAGCAAAUUGAAGGAGUAAAAAAGGCCAACAUGGAACUUGAAGACGCCGAAUCUCAACUUAUCAAUAGCAGCAUUGUUUUGACGGAGCCUACCAAAAUUUUCGCGCUCAUGUAGACUUAUUACUCCAGAAUAAUUACUCUGGGUGAAGAUGUACAUCUGUUAGGCUAUGAUCAAAUAUAAUCUUUUCUAAAAUAUACUUCUUUUCAUCUUGACUUGUAUCACUUUAAAUUGAAAUUCUUAUUGCCUUUUUUACUUCACCUCUUUUUUGAAAUCAUUAACUUUGUUUAAUAUAACGAUUUCUAACCCUCAAACAGUUGGAUGUCACCUCUUUAAACACUUAAUACUAACUGGAUGUCUUUGUAAGUUUUCUCUAAAUUGGUCGAUUAAUAUUUCCCUUUAUCUUGUGUUUUUCUCUCUUCCACACACCAAUAGUCUUUUGAUUAAGUACCUGACUGCAACUACCUGGUCAUUUCUUCUUUGUUCUGACAUUACUGGUGUUGGGAAAAUAUGGGGUCGGUCCCAUUCUUCCCUUGUAAGGAACAACCUUUGUUCCAAAAGCUUUUGGGCCGUCACCUUAGUCGGGCGGUCGUUCUCAUCAGCUCCUAAACACUGGAGAAUCUCAAUGCUAGGAUUAUAAAAAUUGACUUUUGCAACAUUGGUAGUGGGAAGGAAUGGCCGUGACUCGGCCUCUACCAUCUCCCAAAAUCCAGGUCCCAUAGCGCAUUCUUCGUGAUAAACUGCUACUUGUUGAUGUAGGGUGGAUGGCACCGAGAGACUUUGAUGAAUCCAAUCUCGGCCUAGUAAAGCUCCAUAUGUGGAAGUACUAUCCACAACGAAGAAAUCUAACAUGAUUUGCUUGAAACCCAAGUUAACCUCAAAGGGUCAUAUCCCAUGGGUUUUAAUGAUGGCUUCAGAGUAAGUGGAAACUGUUAAGUCCGUGGGGAUGAGGUCCUCCUCAUUUCUACAUACCCGCUUCAUCUGCUAAAGGGCAACACAUUGACCGCGGCUCAUCCAUCAAUCAAAACCCUCUUGAAGGGCACUCCCUCCAGAUGAGCAGUUACAUAAAUGGGCUUGAGAUGGUUGGCUAGGGUCAAACUCGGAUGACUGAAGACAAUCAUGUAUGUGUACACUCUCUCAGGCUUUCUCUUUGUGGGCUCGGGCACAUCUACUCUGCCCGAUUCCUCUUUUCCCACCUCUUCAACACUAACAUGUGCCAUCAUCGGUUCCGUUGCUAAGUAGUCAUCCUCCAUUAUGGCAGGUUGAUCAUGUUUCAGCACAAAACAUGGCGGAUAAAACAUAUUUUAUGUUUACGUGGAAGUUGCUAGGUUAAGAUAAGUUCUCAUUUUUGCCCCCAAUGCGGCUCAUGAACUCAUCUAACCAGGCCUGCGCUUCUUCUGGCAGCAUCAGCUCAGGCACCCUUUCUUCCCAGGUUAUGCUAAAGUUUGGGAUUUGUUGUGGAGCAUCGCAAAGAGUAUCAACCAACAAUGGUGCGGGCAACCCUCUCUCAGGUGAGAUAGUUCCAAAGCAUAUUGGUUCUAGGCUCCACCUUGGGGUUGGCAUCAUUACUAUAUCCUGUUGAGCUCUCUUAAAGAUUUUGUGUUUCCCAGGAUGGGGGUUCUAUGGCACAUGGUCUUCUUCCCUUUCGAUCUUGCUAUUAGACUUUUUCACCUCCUUCUUGGUUCUCCAAUGGAGUUGAUUUCUUCCAUCAACGAGUACUUUCUCAAACUUUACAUUCUCUGAGGUUUAUAAGGCAGUUGGGACUUUCAAUGAGUUCAUGUGGGCUUUAUGUUGCCUCUGGACUCUCCUAAUCAUGGAGGCUCUCAUUUCUUUAACGGGUCUCCCAUCAUUUCCGACCACAUACCAUUUCCUCCCGAGUCGGGCAUGAUUCUUCUUCGUGACUGGAUUCACAAUUCUACCCUUAACUCUGACAUCUCCACCAGCAUAGCUUGGUUGGGGUGGCCUCACAUCCACCCAUCUUGGCACCUUGGCCUCUUUGUCGUCCACCUCUUCAGAAGCUUCGUAAUUUCUGAAUACUUAUGACAAACCCUUUGGUUGGGAAUCUCCUUCCAACCUUUGGAAAACAUUCCUAGAGGUCUCUCAUUCAGCUGCCCACAUAACAUUUUUGCGUGCUUCCUGCUCUUAUUUCUUUCUUAUCUUGAUCAGCUCUUGAUCAAUAAUGGCUCCUAGUGCUGGGACUUCCAGCUCGUACUCACAUUGGCAUCUACUGCACAAUAUCACUCCCUUGAUUAUGGCCGCCUUGGGUUUCUCGGGCAACUUGAUGGCUCCAUUGGUUGGCCUAUCAACUUGCCUCCGUUAUGCUUUCACCUCACAUGUAGCUUUUCCUUUUCCCUUCUUAGCCCACGUCAAGUUGAUCAUGUUUAUUGGUACUUCUGGGAAGGGGUCAGAGUCAAUCAUCAUGUUGGCCUACGUUUCUCCAGCAACAACUUUCCUUUUAAUAUAAGGUCUUGUAUCCAAUCCCUGAUCUGGACAGAGUUGGUUAUAGAGUGAUUGAAAGUGUAAUGCAGCUUGCAAUAUUUUUUCCUUCUCAGUUCUCCGGCCUUGGGCAGUUUUUUGGCAUUGUCAGACACGAUGACUCUUGCUUGAACCAGCUCCUCAUAAAUCUCCGCUGCCUUGGUUAAAUUAAAGGAAUAACUCUGGUACUUGGGGGGUUUCAUGAGGAGCAAUCCACCAUCAUUCGUGACCACUUUCUAGUCUUUAAUUGGCUGUACUAACCCCUUUACAGUCAAAGGAUUAAAUGGGGUAGUCAUCUCUGCUGCGCAUACGUCCAUUCUCUCUCCUUCAUGACAUUAUUCUCUUCUGGCUUUCCUUCAAACUCCACUUGGUGAAUGGCAGCUUUGCUCUUAUAGAAAAGAGGCACCUUAGAUGAGUGCUUUACUUACUAUUCCUCCAGCAACAGCCUCUCAUACUUGUUGGUCGCAAUCACUAACUCAUUCAGCUCAUUGAAUUGUACAUCAUAAAACUUCUUCAUCAAAGACAAUCUUAACGCCCUCUGAGCAAUGGAUAUGAGAUGUGCAUGAUUUAUGGGGAACCGUCACCUCAUCCUCGUCUUCCUAAACCUCAUCAUGAAGUCUUCUGUAGACUCAUGCUCGUACUGCUUCGCCUUCACAAGGUCAUUGAUAACCAUCUCAGGUUUAACCCUGUAAAACUGCUCAUGGAAUGCCAUCUCCAUUUGCCCCCCAAUUGGCAAUAGAAUUAGAGGGCAACAAAGAAUACCACUGAGAUGCUAAGCCCACCAAGGAGUUCCCAAACAAUCUCAACUUGUAGUUGGGAUUGUCUUCAAAUGCCACACAGUGAUUAAAGAACUUGAAAAUAUGAUCUCUAGAAGACACAUUGCCAUCUUCUCCGCUGAAUGUUGGGAAUGCGGGCAUCUUGAAGUUGACUAGAAAAAGGUUUUGCUCGUCAACGUACUCAGGAUAAGGCUUCUGAUAAGUGCUCCUAAACAGCGGGCGAGCUUGUGGCUGAUCAUUCCGGGCCACCAUCCUCCUCAACUCGGCUAACUCAUCCCUGAGCUGUUAGUGAGUUGUAUUAUCAGGAAGAGUAUGAAGAGGUUCCUAUUUCGGGCUACGAUCAUUGCCCGAGAACGUCUUUUUUCUUGGCUCAGGCUUUCUCCACCUAGCAUCCCCUCCCUUACUGGCUAAUGACGAGGGCCUAUAAGGAAGAGGCUUGUCUGGCUUGGUAGGCUUGCCUUUUCCACUGGAUUUCCCAAUCAACUGGGGCCUCCCAUACUUCGUUCUUUCUUGCUCGCUCUACCCCUACUAUUAAGUGGAAAUAGUGAAGGGUCGGGCAACUCCACUUCUAGGAUUUCCUCCAAAACUGGCCCACUAGUGCCAGAUUCAUCAUUGUUUUUAUGUUUACCAUUCUUCCCCCUGACUUCUCAGAUGAGGUUGGGCUUCUCAAAACAGUUGGUCCUUGUAAAGAGGGAACGUUCUCUAGGCGGUCUGCCAUGUUUGAUUUUGGUAGUUAUUGGGGUAGCUUGUACUCUGUGUUCCACCUGAAGGUUUUCUCCUUCCUUCUUCUUCUUGACAUACAAGACUAAUGUGAUCUCACCGGGCAUGCCAAAACUAUGUUUGGGCGAAGAUUUCUUCGGAGAUGGCUCAUUGGCUCUCAGCACAGCUCCCCAAGGGAUUGGCACUUUGGAUAUGUAGUCGGGCUCUUGCUUGUAAGAAGAGGAUAGAGUUAGUUUUGAAAGGUGCCUUUGUAGGGCCUUACGUGUAAAACUUAAGGCUCGCAAUCAAAACUAACUAAAUGCUAGACGUGCCACUGUUAUCUCAAUAUAGCAGAUGUAGAACAAAUGUGUUUUAGUCGAUUACUUGCGCCCCAAGUUACUCGGACUUCUUGUUAUUAAAGGAUUGUCGUGGAUGGGUUAAAUCCACAUUAAGUUCUUUUUCUUGCCUUGUGACCAAGCACUUUCAGUUCAGUUUUGUAUAUUCAAGUAAGGGAAGUCCAAAUCUCCUUAAGUCAUCUACUCGGUUCUUGAUUGGUUUUUAAUGAAGGCAUAUUCAUUUAGGUAACCAGAUCCGGCACAAAUGAGACUCUUAAAGUAGGAAAACAGAUUGAUAUGACUUGAAUACAUGCUGGAGAAUACAUUAAGCAACAUAUCUAUUAACUUAUAAAACAAAGAAAGAGUUUUGAGCAAGAUUUCACCUUGUCGGGCAAGGUUGAACUUCUUGCAAUCACUUCUCUUUUGAGUUUACAAGGUUUAUAUGCUAAGAAGGGUUGGAUGGUAAACAAGUUUACAUGAGAGAAUCGAUACUACGCCACUAGGGGUGAUAGGGCUGAUUACAGCUUUUAGAUGCAAAUCUGGCUUGAGAGAAGAGUUUGUAUGUUUGUUUGUUUGAUUGGUUGAGUGUCAUUGUCUCUAAGGCAUCUUCCUCAUUUUAUAGGCAGAUUAGCCCGACUGUUGUAGCUUUGCUCUUGCCCGAAAGUAAUUGAAGGGUAGUGAGUCAUCAACUUUUUACUUGUAUUGCCACUGAAAAGUGCAUUUUGGCUGAUUAUGGGUUAGUCCCCAUCACUUGACACUUAAAUCAUAGGCACAUGGCCUAUGCAUUAAUGAGAAGGCGCCAAUUUGUCUCUGGGAUUGAUGCUAGGCUUCGGGCAACUCUUCCUUUAAUUGGUGUUUUUGAGCUUCCACACACUUGCAGCCCAAAGUUCAAAUAUUAACCCAAACACACUGUCUCACAGAUCAAGUCAGAUUGGGCAUGAGAAGGGCUGAAGGUCCAUCAGGAAAAAAAAAAAACCCCUUCAUCUCUGUGUGUUUGCUACAAGUCUGUCUGUAUGUCGUCAAGUCCAAUAAAAUGUUCAUCUUUUCCUGUAAAGAAACAGUGAAGAUGCCAAGCUUGAUGAGGGUUUUAACUUUGGGAAAAAUAAUCAUUAUUAUAAUAUUAUGACAUGGACACACUAGAUCUAUAGACUCUAGCAAACCACCAAUUAAAACACGACAUCUAAUUUGAGGUGCUAUUUCGGUUUCGGUGCGAUUUUCAAAAGCCAAAACCAAAACCAAAACCAAACUGUUUCCUACACUGCGGUUCGGUUUCCAAACCACAACCGUUUCAAAACUGCAAAACCGAACCAUUUGGUGCGGUCCGAUUUGGUUCAUGUUUGGGUUUUGGUUUUCGGUUUCAAGUGCCCACCCCUAGUACUAAGUGGCUUAUCACAUAAGUUUUAUGUAAAGUGAUUAAACAAUUUAGCAUGUGUCAGUUUACUAGAGAUUCUUUCGAAGGACUAUGAGAGAUACAACUCACGAUCCAGGAAGGAAGUCGAAUCUAAGACAGUGAAGAGGAAUAUUACUAGACCAUAUUAAGUGGCAUCAUAUCUUCUGAAUUUUUUAAAAUCGACUUUACUAGAAACAACAAACUCACUCAUAGUUUUGGCCUAUCAAUUACAUUCUUCAAUGUACAACCCCUCACUCCAACUUUCUCAGAAACCUGUUUGUAGCCUAACAGGGGUUCCUUCAGAAAAUCUGAAUUCAAAGGAAGGACAUUGCACCACUGCCCCGUCAACGUUUUUGAUGAUUCAAAUAUCCCUUAAAUUUUAGGGGUCCAUAUUUUUUUAUGGUCAACGUUAGGCGUCCAGAUGAUGGGCAAUUUAUCAAUUUGGAUAUCAUUGAGGACUGAAUUCGGAUGCAUAAGGUCUAAGCAAGAAGUACAGACAAAUCAUUCCAAUGCAAUUUACACUCAUUAAACAAAUACAGUUGAAUCUGAUUCUCACGGAUGCAUGGUUAAUUACCUUAACGCCUUUCAAGCAUUUCACUCAGAAAAAAGAAACAACUAUCAAAAUUGUGCAUGACGUCGAUUAAGAUAAGAUACAUGAGUUAAGAAAAGACACGUCCUAUUUGCAUAGUUCAUUUACCAGGUAAAGAAAGUACCUCAUCUCAUAACCGGUUUCCAGCUUCCUUGGAUAAACGGAUGUUCUUUGAGACUGCAUCGCACUCACUGGAGUUGCUUGUUUUUGCUUGUUUCCUCUAGAUGAAAGGAUAGUCAAAUUCAUGAUUGCACACAAGCGAUGUUUGGUCAAUAAGGUUGCUUUAAUCCAACCAAAUCUCUCUCGUAGAUGAGACGCACCCCACACCUCUUCACCUCCAAACCAGGGCCUAAGGUUUUAAAUGUAAACUCAAGGUGAUGACAACUGUCUUGCCAUGUUGUACCAAAGUAUUCACCAGAUACAACGGAUAGCCAAAUGUGCUCUUUCUCAAUUUGCCCUAAUUCUUCGCUGCAGGCGAAGGAAGGACACCAGCCACCUACACCCAAAUUCCCAGGCUUAACUUCGCAACGAAGACCAUGUGCAGUGGUAUGGGUUCCGUAGUUCCAUUUGCCAAGCAGAUUAGGUGGGAGUCGUCGACGGAGAGUGAAACAGCACACAAUGCAUAUCCCAUCCACUCGUUCUUGUACCAGUGUUGAGGGAGCUCCACGCUUACCACAGGCCUCUCACUUCGAUAACUAAACCACUCAGAAAUUUCACUGCCAGGAUAUAUAGCUUCAAAUUUAUUCCCUACGUAAGGGAUUCCCUAUAUAAUACAAAAUUACAAAUAGUGAAGUCAAACAAUUGAUACGACCGUCUUAUAAAUAAGUACAAAAUGCUUUUAGUUUAUUUUAUUUUUUCUGUGUGUGUGAGAGAGAGAGAGAGAGAGAACCUCAAGAAUAAAUCGCAAUAGGAGAACAAUAACUCUGUAGAAUACAAAACCCAACUAUUAGGUAGUAAAUCACCCCUGUUAGUAGCAGUAAGCAAAGAAAGACAUAAUGAAUUCCAAUAACUAGAAGGAAUAGAAUUAAAAGUAACCAUAGGUUCAUAAAUGCAAACCAAUCCGAAUGAUGGGAAAGGCAAACAUUGGAAAGCUCCAUAUGCGUAUCUGUUUGGGCCCAAAAUAAUAGUUUGGGCUGAGGGUAGGAUCACUCUCGGCCCAGGAGGCCGUGCGGCGAAAGGGCCAUGGAUCGUUCAGCUCAUGGGCUUCCAAGCCUAGGUCGGUUAAAUCAGAACGCAAGCCGAGUCCUAGUACAAUAGGGACUCUCGACAGGAUCAGUAAUCCAGAAAGCGAAUCCGGCUCAGUUAAGGACUAGAUUCGUAGUCCUAGUGGAGAUAGGAUUGGUCGAGGUGAUGUUGAUCCAGGGAGGGAAACCUAGUCCGAAUAGGAUUGUAACUCGGGCUCGAGGACCAGCACUAUAAAUAGAGGAAGCUGUGCAUUAAGGAAGGACCCCUGCAAAUCAAUACAAAAUUGCCCUGCGCAAAUUCUCACAACUUGUGAUUUUUCUUUUUCCUUUUUCGCUGACACAUCUUCCGUUGGCAUCAACAGCACUGUGGAAGCAACCGGUGAUAUCUUAAGUCGGCAUAGAUAGCUCUGUCACCGUAGAAUCAAUCGGUCUCGCAGUAUCUACCGUUGGCAUCAACAGCACUGCGGCGAGAACGGUUGAUUACCUAUCCAAGUCUCGGUCGAGAAGGGUUUCUGAACCCUUAUUGGUCGAGGUCAUCUCAUCAGCCUUCUCGGCGAAGUGAGGUGUUACACGUUAUUACAUUCAGCAUAUUGAAAGCCGAAUUUGAUAUUGAACUUCGUAAGAAUAGUAACCUUGUCUUCAGGUUCGAGAGCCCAAGAGGCCGAGACGUGUUCCUUUCUCGGCCGCAAUCGCAAGACGUAGAAGUCAGCCGCGCACCCAACGCAACAUCAACAAAUUUACUCCUCGGCCGAGCUCGGCUGACGAGUUGGCACGCCCCGCAUUCACCGAAGGACGUAGUUAGCUCAUUAAUUACUCGACCUGCGCGCCACGUAGGCUUUGUAGUUUUUAGGGUCAAUAUUUUGGCACGCCCAGUGGGACCCAGUGCUAAACUACGAAGUUCAUGCCAAUUGAAACAUGAUCGGUAAAAAAGAAAACAACUAUGGGAAAGUCGACAGCCGAUUUGCCGAAUCAAAGCCUGGGACAAAGUGUGCUGCAGGCGCAGAAUCCCCUUAGCGCUGUGACACCUGAGUCCAUGAGCGCGACUCGCCGAGAGAGAGAAGUUAAUCUCGGCAGUCAACUACGCGGUCUAGAAAUCCCUAACAGGAACACUUGCGUUCUCACUGAAGGGAUAGUAGAGGAGUGCGACGAGGAUGGUGGUGAAGGAUCUGAUCCACCAACAAGGUCGUUUCUUCGAAAACGACUAGACGAGCAGUCUCGGUCAGUCGAGCAGACGUUUAGUCGAGGCAUUGACAAGCUGCAUGAGGUGAUACUCAGUUCCAAUGAGCGACAAACCAGGCUGCUCGAGAUGUUGGUUAGUAAAGUCAGUGGCAGCAAGCCUUUUGACCUUCUUCAGCAUUCCACCAGGGAACAAUCCGAUACCAAUUGUACCGACCGAGCCUAUUCCUGCUCAGCUCAAACCAAUUGACUUGGAAAAAGAAGGAGGGUCGAAUAGUAGGUCAGACGGAACCGACCAGAGGGUCGAAGCAACACCUGUUGAUAUGACCGAAGUUCAGCGGAUGAUCGACUCGGCCAUGAAGAAAGGGCCGAAGUUUCCUAAGUUUAUUCAUCCGUACUCGGCUUACAUGGAAACGUUUGGAUACCCGAAAGGUUUCAAGAUCCCAGAUUUUAGUCUUUUUGCCGGUGAGUCGUCCCUGUCUUCGUUGGAACACGUGGCUCGUUUCACCGCGCAAUGCGGAGACGUUAAUAGUGAUUUCCAUAAAUUACGGUUGUUCAACUUUUCAUUGACCGGCUCAGCGUUUGCCUGGUAUAUCAAUCUCCCUCCUAAUUCCGUCCAAAACUGGGAGGAGUUGGUAGAGAAAUUCCACGAGCAGUUUUAUCGGCCAGGGAUGGAGAUGUCAGUUUCUUCGCUAGCACGGAUGGCUCAGGCAUCUGAUGAGUCACCAAUGGAUUAUCUUACCAGGUUUAAAUCGGCCAGGAAUUGGUGCCGGGUGUGAUAGGAGCAUUUUUAUGCAACUUAAUUGGCUUGUUCUCAUGCAUUUAUGUUGUUUUUCCUUAGUUAGUUUAGUGUUUAAAGUCAUUUCGUGCAAUUUCAGGUUUUAUUGUCAAAGUAUGCAAAAAUGAGCAUUUUGGAGCUUUUAGGAGCAAAAUUGGGCUUGGAAUGAAGUGCAUAUGCAUGGAGCAAGGAGUUUGGACGAAUUUGAAGUCAAAACAUCAAAUAAACAUGCUAAAAAUCUGGUGAAACAAAUACAAGUUGCAAGAAGGGAUAGGUUUCUAGAAGGAUUGACCAAAAUUCCACUCAAAACCAUGUUCACACCCCAGAAAUUCAUCUUUGCCGUGCAUCCUUGACUCACUUCCACCAGAUUUUUGAGUGGAUGAUUCAACACCUACUCUUUAUUGCUUUUACUUUGCCAUAUUUGCCAUGUUUGCUAGUUGUGUUAUUUGCUUGUUUUUAUGUGAGUCUAUGUUUGAAACAUUGAGGACAAUGUUUGGUUUAAGUGUGGGGGGGUGAACAAAGUGUUUUUGUUGCAAAAUUCGUGGGAUUUUACCACCUAACAUUUCAAAGGUUGUUUUUCAUUGUUUUUUUUAGUGUUUUUAGAAUGUUUUGAUGUGUUUUUAUGUGGCUUUACCAGAAAAUACGAAAAUUCAAGAAAAAAUUAGAAAAAUUUUGAAAAAACCCAAAAAGAGUUGUUUUUGUGUGUUUGUUUGUGUCUUAGGGUACCUUCCAACACAAUGAUGAGGAUUUGGUUUUUAAUUGCAUGACUGUUAAAGAGAGUUAUAAGCAUGGAUGAAAGUUUGAUUUACUCUUGGUUUAUGCUUGGUUGUGGUUAUAACUUAUGAAUUCACAUGCAAUCUUAAAGGAAAAAUCAGUUUUUGUUUGUAACAUGCUUGAAGGAAGCAACUCAAAUUAACACUACAACCUUGUGAGACUUGAGCCUAAACGUUUAUUUGGAGAGUUAUUAAUCUGUGCAUUCUUGUUUUCUAAAGUCGUUGCAUGAUCUCAUUAUUCUUUGCUUGGUUGCUACUUAGAAUGCGUUUCAUCACUUUAGUUCCAAAUGCUAGAACUCAUGCCAAUUUCAUUCAAAACAUGUUAUUGAAUUGCAUAACACAUAACAAGAUGAAGUUGUUUAGUAGUUACCACCAUAGCCAAAAAGCCUUCAUUCCAUACAUUUGUUUUUGUAGGUUUAACCCCGUUGAGCCUUAUUUAGCCUAUAUUGUUUGUUAACCCACGUUAUCCUUACCUAGCCUAGAUUAGGAUCAUCCAUACCCUUGUUCUUAAAGCAUAGUAAGCAUGACGUAAAAUGAAUUCCUUUUGAUUGAGGGUGUGCAGAAAACAAGUGUGGGGGAAGUGUUUUUCAUGAAGAAUUGUGUGCCAUAGGCACGGGUAGAAAGAAAGAAAGAAGAAAAGAAAAAUGUUGUGAAAAGUGAGAAAAAGAGUUGAAAGAGCAUGAAAAUGAGUUCUAAGGUGUGGAUUGUUGAAGAAGGGGUCCAAAACAUUGAAUUUGACCCUAAGUGUUGCAUGAAUUUCCCCUUUGAGUUUAAAAGUUGAUUCUUGCACCCAAAAGUGAAUUCUAAGUGUCAAUUUCAAUGCUUUGCUUACUAUUGUUUUAAGAACGUUUGUUUAUCCUUCACCUUUCUUAGCCAAUAUCCCAAGCCCCGUUACAACCCUCAACUUCUAUCUUGAGUGUUGUGUAUUUCAAUUUGUGGAGUUUGGGAUUGGUAUGAGCAUAUGGUGUCACUGGUUCUCGCGUCUAAGUAGUAGCAUUCUUUUCAUGUGAUCAUAUACAUUCUUAUCAAAUUCAGAAAAAACUUUCCUUGUUAUAACAUAUGUGAGCAUUCGUUUUCAUAUCUACAUCAAUCCUCUCACAUAUAACUAGCAUAGGGUGUGUAGUCAGAAAAUCUGUGCGAAAAUUGAGUGCAUAUCUAGUAAGGAAUUGAGCAAAUUCUCUAAGGCAUGUUGCUACAUUCAAAAUCAUGUUUUAAUUGGUUAGAUGCGAACGAGUACGUAGUGACUAUAAUUAAGUAUGUGCUUAAGUGUAAAGAUGGCUAAAAUCUGUGGGAAUGAUGAUCUUUAACAUGUUAUGUGCAUUGGAAAUCCCUAAGGCAAACGUUGGAAGGUUUAGGUUGUUUUUGUUUGUUUGGUUUCGUUUUGUUUUUCUUUUGUUUCUUUGUUUUGCUCGAGGACUAGCAAAAGCUAAGUGUGGGGGAAUUUGAUAGGAGCAUUUUUAUGCGACUUAAUUGGCUUGUUCUCAUGCAUUUAUGUUGUUUUUCCUUAGUUAGUUUAGUGUUUAAAGUCAUUUUCGUGCAAUUUCAGGUUUUAUUAUCAAAGUAUGCAAAAGGAGCAUUUUGGAGCUUUUAGGAGCAAAAUUGGGCUUGGAAUGAAGUGCAUAUGCAUGGAGCAAGGAGUUUGGACGAAUUUGAAGUCAAAACAUCAAAUAAACAUGCUAAAAAUCUGGUGAAACAAAUACAAGUUGCAAGAAAGGAUAGGUUUCUAGAAGGAUUGACCAAAAUUCCACUCAAAACCAUGUUCACACCCCAGAAAUUCAUCUUUGCCGUGCAUCCUUGACUCACUUCCACCAGAUUUUUGAGUGGAUGAUUCAACACCUAACAUCCACUUCUUGCUGUGCAUUCUUGAUUGUUUUCCCACCAGAAAAUUGAAUUAAACAAGUCCAUCCUCUCCCUAUAAAUACCCAUGGCAGCAACCUUAUUGAGGACAUCCAGAAAUUAACCAUUCUCCAAGCCUUGCCUUGCCUCUCCCUACAUAUCCAAACUCCUUCCCAUCCAUUCCUCCACCACAGCCGUGCCUUCCCACCACCAUCACCACCUUAUGCAGCCACCAUUGGAGGAGAAAGAAGUAGUGCCAUGCAGUCCAAAGGAGGAAGACACCUUGCACAUGCAAUCUGCCAUUAGUGGAGUGUUUGGAGUUCUUUCUUUUCUUGUUUCUGUUUUCAUGUUUAAUUUAACUUGCUUUCCAAUUAUGUUAAACAUGUGGAACUAAUUUCUUUUUAGUUAGAGGUGAAUUUGAAGCCAUGGACAUAUGUUGGUUAUGAUUUGAUUUACUCCAGUUAUGAAUUCAUGAACUUUAAAUGUGGUUUACUUUUCUGUUUUGAUUAAGAACUUGUUUAUGUAUGUAGGUUGAGGGUCGACACUUAAUUUGCAUGCCUAAACUUGAUACUAGGAUAUAAGGGAAUUUCACCUAAUCGUUAUGAACUUAUAUUCAUAAGUAGUAAAGAUCGCUAGUCACGAUUGUGUUAAGUAAACCCUAGGUUGGAUUAACAUGCGUAUUCCAUAGUUAUGAAUGCCUAGUCGAUGUUUAUGAUUUCCGUUGAACUUAAUGAUCUUUGUUGAAUGUCUCUAUCAUGCGUAUUCCAUAGUUAGGGAUUUUGAUGAGGAAUAAUUUGGUUGCGAUGCGUAUUCCAUUCAAUCCAAUGAAUCUAGGGAAAUCGGAAAGUUAAUUUAAGCGGACCUAAUUAACUUGGAGCAUUGUCAUUCAUCGUUUGUUGAAGUCAUAACUGGGAGUCAAAUUGUAUGCAUAUGUUCAUGUGUGGAUAAGGAACCCUCUAACUAGCUUCUCACCAUUCUAUUUAAUCAAAAUCUGUUUUAGUUUGCUUUGAUUUGCAAUUUGUUUAGUUUUAAUUCAAUUUCGUCAAAAAUCAAUCCCCCAUUUAUUUUAAAGUAUUAAAUUAGUUAGAAAUCAAUUUAGUGUUAGGUACUCAAAACUGCCCAGAAAGUGCUUUGAGUCAAGUUAUAGUCCAAAUUCGUCCAAAUUAGUGUUAGGUACUCAAAACUGCCCAGAAAGUGGUUUUAAGGCAGUUUUGAGCCUUUUAGUUGCUGUUUUGAGUUUUUAGUUUGUUUAGGUGUUUUAAACUCUAGUUUUACAUUAAUUAAGUCUAGUUUAGUGUUCUACAUUAUAUUUUUUAUGUUCUUGAGUCAGUUUUACAUUGAUUAGCAUCCCUAGUUAAUCCCCGGUCUAGAACGAUCCCUAUUUGCUCAUAUACUACAAUUGUCAUCCAUAGGGUUUAAUUUGUGUGUCAAGUUAAUUUUCACAUCAGGGUGCCUUUACCCGAAGUCGAAUUUGUCAGGCUUGCUUUGAACAGCCUCAACGUCGAAUACAAAAAGAAAUUCUUGGGGGCGAACUUUCGGGAUAUGUACGAAUUAGCCCAACAUGUCGAACAUUAUGAUUAUUUGCUCCGCGAGGAAAAGACUUCGAAAGCUCCAACUCGGGGGACGAUUUACAAGAAUCCUACUGUCAAUUAUGCAUCAGCCGAGGAUGAAUGUGUUAGUGUGGAUGCAGCUGAGAUAGUGAUCGAUAAGCCAUACGUUUGCAAGGCAUUGACUCAGGUUGAUUCUAGAAAAGCCAAAAGUCCCUCGGCCACUGAAGGAACAUCAAAAUCGUUAAAGGUUUACACUUUUGAUAUUACCAAGGCGGACGCAAUUUUUGACCAACUGUUAUCAGCAAGAAUCAUCAAGCUUCGGCCUGGUCACGACAUUUCUAAGGCCGAAGAACUUAAAGGAAAGGUAUAUUGCAAAUACCACAAUUCGAGCAAACAUACGACAAACAAUUGCGUCGUAUUUCGCGACAACGUCCAAAGCUGGAUUGAUAAUGGCAAACUGAAGUUUCCCGAGAAGAAGAUGAGUGUUGAAACUGAUUCGUUCCCCACGGCAACAGUAAAUAUGGUCGAUGCGUACCUACCCAAGGACAAAGGGAAAGGCAAGGCCGAAGUGGUUGAACGCCUGCGGAAUCAGAAUUCUCGGCCACGGUUCAUGGCCGAUUUUCGUUCAAACAAACCACCCACGGCUUUAACGGGGCCCGCUAUUGUCAAACCUAUGAUGGAUUAUAGCACCGAUGAAGACAGUGGAACGGUGGUUUUGUGCAGGAAAUGUAGAGAAAAGGUCGACAGUGAACCAGAGGAGAAGCCCUCUUCGCAACCUGUGGCCGCAACCCGGCAAAAGGUAGCCAAUAAAGGCCAACAUCAUGGGGUCUUUGAGAGGCUCGGUCCUAAAGUACAGAUGGAAGAGACACCCCCAGUCAGACGGCGCCUCGAUUUUGAUGCUUCAUUCUAUGACGAUGAUUACUAUAAGCGUAAUUCUAGCAGUUCAGAAUCAUUGCGGAGCAAAAAGACCUUCAAGCCUCCCGAGCCUAGAGAUCAACGUUGGUAUACAUAUCAUUCUUCGAGGGGGGUCUACAUCGCGUUGUCCAAAUCUCAGAAACACCGGCAUCAAAGGAUAGAUUGCAUGGCCCGUCGACGAGCAGCCCAAGAAACUUUGGCCCCGAAGUGGCGGUCGAAGAACAUAGUUGCCACUGAUGAUGAGCGACCACCUCCAGCAAUUAUGACAGAGUUGGCUCAAGGGAAACGGCUGGUCGACCAAGAUGUCGAGACCACGUUUGAAGAGGCUGAUAAAUGGAUCAAACUUCUUCUUCGACCAGGGGAGAUGAAGGCACGCCUCGAGCAUUUCAAGCAAGAGGCCGAAAGAAAAUUUCCUCCGCCAGCUAUACAAGAACCUUUGAUCAGAAUUCGACGGAAUUUGCAUCCACCAUUUCUUGGGGAGGCUUUAGAAUAUAUGCGAGAAUUUCAUAAGAAACAUUCGGCCAACGAUCUGUAUGGUUUGCCGAAGGCAUGCCAGGACACCAUUGAUCUAGUCCUGACUUGUCCGGAUGCCGAGCGAAUCAUUCAGAAGACCUCAGAUCCAGGAUUGAAAGUAAGGUUCUAGCAUAUACGAAAAGCUCGUGUCCUUGGAUUUGAAGUUGACCCGUACACCGAUAUCGAUGCAGCCGACCUUCCUUUCUCAACGGAUGACCUUCAGUAUUUACGAUAUCACUUCGAAGUAUUUUCAGCUGUUUCUCUCUUCGGCCUUACGGCCGAUGAAAUCGCACGUGUUGCACGUUUCGACGCUUAUCUCAACACCAGGGAUGCCCGAUUACAAUACCAAGAGCAGGUUCAGGUUCUGAUCCCAAGUGCACCGUCAAUCUCAACCUUACCUGAGGCGGUCACGCAGGACCAACAAAUCGUCGAUGCAGCACCGCCGAAUGAAGCCAUCAAAGAAGGAACAGAAGCGUCUCGUUGUCCGACUCUGACGGCAACGGAGUCCGUAAUCGCUGACCAACCGAGCGAGGAGGGUAUUGACCCAAUGGGCCCGUCAGUCCUGGAUAAUAUGGAAAUCAGUAUGGUCCAUGUGUUACCUGCCAAUUUUCAAUCAAGCACGGCUCAACCAAAUUUCCUCGACGAAGAUGUGGUGGCCGAAGAGGCCGGCCAUGUUGAUUUUGUAUUUGUUGCUGAAGUUGAGUUAGCAACAAAAGCUGACAAUCUAAAGGCGGCUUUGGCUGAAUUGUUUCCUCGUUCAUCAUCGGCCAAACUUCGCCAUUUAAAGCCUUUGUAUGUGACGGCCCAUAUCGAGGGGUAUCCAGUUUCUAAAGUUUUCGUCGACUGUGGAGCUACCGUCAAUAUCAUGCCUCUGAACAUCAUGAAGGCCUUACGUCGCUCGACUGACGAGCUUAUUCCUUCAGGGAUCACAAUGAGUAGUUUUGUCGGCGACAAAUCCCAAACCAAAGGUGUGCUUCCGUUAACUGUAAACAUUGCCGGUCGCACCGCCUUUUUCGUGGUUGAUUCCAGAACCGAGUAUAAUGCACUGCUCGGUCGAGACUGGAUUCAUCAAACCAACUGUAUUCCUUCAUCAUUGUAUCAAGUGCUUGUCUUUUGGGACGGUAACUCGGUCACUGUUCACCCGGCCGAUAGCCAGCCUUUCGAAGCUAACAUGAUCCAAGCACGGUAUUAUAAUGACCAUGUCGGCUACAUUACAUUGCAAGGCUUCAAUGAAGAAGGACGACCGACUCGGAUUUCGGUUCAUAAAGCUAUCGAGGUUGGCGCCGAAACUGUCCAGCAGGAUUCGGCGAGACUCGGAUUAGCCAAUUUCCUCCCCGAAGCUGAUGUUUGACACCGAUCGGGAAACACGUAGGGCCGCGGUUUCAUCUACUAUGGAACGACUGCUGGCCCAUUGGUAUACUAUAUCCAAACAACCAAAUUCGGGCGUUAACCUCGUCGAGUUCCUUGCCGAAGAAGAUAAUGGUCCUGUUUUGUCUCUUGAUAAAAUUCAAGCCGCCCCGGCCGAACUCGAAGAUCAUCGGCCCCAAGUUAAGGACCCCUUGGAAGAGAUUAAUGUUGGGACGGCCGAUGAUCCACGACCUUUGUUUGUUAGUGCGUUACUUCCCCAACAAAUGAAUGACGAGUUUCGUGCCUUGCUUACGGAGUUCAAAGAUUGUUUUGCUUGGAGCUAUCAUGAAAUGCCCGGCUUAGAGCGCACUCUGGUCGAGCAUGAAUUACAUAUUAAGCCCGGAUGCAAACCUUUCCGUCAGCCACCUCGUCGAUUCUCGACCGAAGUGCAACUCGGCAUCAAGGACGAAUUGGUUCGGCUUUUGAAAGCCGGGUUCAUUCGGACAGCUCGAUAUGUUGAAUGGUUGGCAAAUAUCGUGCCUGUUUUAAAGAAAAAUGGUGCCCUACACAUCUGUAUCGAUUUCAGAAAUCUGAAUCUGGCAACUCCCAAAGAUGAGUAUCCAAUGCCGAUCUCAGACCUCUUGAUCGAUGCUGCGGUGAGUCAUGCAAUCUUAUCCUUUAUGGAUGGACACGCCGGAUACAACCAAAUAUUCAUUGCCGAAGCCGAUGUGCACAAAACUGCUUUCCGUUGCCCGGGGGCACUCGGGACUUACGAAUGGGUUGUUAUGCCGUUCGGCCUCAAGAAUAACGCCGCCACAUACCAACGGGCGAUGAAUACCAUCUUCCAUGAUUUAAUUGGAACCAUCGUCGAAGUUUAAAUCGACGAUGUUGUCAUCAAAUCUAAACGCCGACAGACACAUCUGGACGAUCUCCGACAGGCUUUCUUCCGCAUGCGUUGGCACAACCUCAAGAUGAAUCCCGCCAAGUGUGCUUUCGACGUAUCGGCCGGAAAUUUUCUUGGCUUCCUCGUGCAUCACCGUGGGAUUGAAGUCGAUGAGAAUAAGGCCCGCGCAAUCAUCAAUGCCCCACCCCCAACAACGAAGAAACAACUCCAGUCCUUACUCGGCCAGAUCAAUUUCCUCCGCCAAUUUAUUGCCAACUCUGCAGGUAAAAUGAAAGCGUUCUCCACGCUUUUGAAACUCAAGGACUCCGAUAAAUUUGUGUGGAACGAUGAGCAUCAGGCGGCGUUUAUGCAAAUCAAAGUCUCCCUCAUGAACCCACAUGUCCUGGUUCCUCCUCGGCGCGGUAAGCCUCUUAAGCUCUACAUCUCGGCGGUCGAAGAGUCCAUCGGCUGCCUCUUUGCACAAGACAGCGACGCCGGCCGAGAACAGGCUAUUUUUUAUCUCAACCGCAAUCUCAGUCAACCGGAGAUCAAUUAUCCAGCCGUCGAGAAGCUGUGUCUGGCCGUGUUUUUCGCCGCUUCCAAGCUUCGGCAUUAUAUGCUCCCAUCGGUCACCCAAGUUAUUGCUCAGACCGACGUCAUCCGCUACAUGCUCACCCGACCAAUCGUAAAAGGCCGCAUUGGGAAAUGGACCAUGGCACUAUCCGAAUUUAGCUUGCAGUAUGUAGCCCAGAAAACUGUCAAGGGCCAGGCACUGGCUGAUUUCCUUGCUCAACAUCCUUCCCCAUACGGGUGUGGGGGCAACGACGUUGAAAUCGGCAUGGUUCAGACGCGCAACAACCACUGGACGAUGUACUUUGACGGCUCCAGUACGUCAUCUUCGGCGGGUGUGGGAAUUGUCAUUCAAUCCCCGAACCACGAUCGCUGGUUAUUUUCGCUUAAGUUGGAUUUCGAAUGCACCAACAAUCAGGCCGAAUACGAAGCCCUAAUUGUCGGCCUUGGAAUCCUUCAUGACCUGCGGGCGACCCGCGCCCUCGUCCUCGGCAACUCCGAACUUGUGAUUAACCAACUCAAUGGUUCUUUUCGUUGCAUGAGUUGUACCCUGGCGCCUUACCACACGAUCGCCAGCUAUUUGGCCAAGUCCUUCGACGGUAUUACAUUUAAACAUAUUUCCCGGAGUCAUAAUACCGACGCAGACGAAUUGGCUCAAAUUGCCUUCGGCGCACAUCUCUUGGGGGGCAAGCUAGGCCGAGAAAUACCCAUGUUGUGACAGCUAUACCCAGCCUUGGUUAACCAACAAGUCCUCCAGCGCGACAACGUGAUACGUACAAGAGUCAUGUCCUUACCUUCGUUGUUAGAUCGAGACGACCCUGUGGAGAUUUGCACGACCGAGGCAAUACCAGAUGAUUGGAGAAAGCCCAUUAUGCAGUACCUCGACAAUCCCAAUGGUAAAUAUGAUCGCAAGACAAGAGUUCACACCACGAACUAUGUCAUGUAUCAGAACGAGUUAUACCGAAAAGGCGAAGAUGAUUUAUUAUUACUAUGCCUCGGCCCCCAAGAGAGUGCUCAGGCGAUUACAAAAGUCCAUGAAGGGAUAUGCGGAGCUCAUCAAUCUGGACGGAAAAUGCGAUGGCUACUUCGACGGCACGACUAUUUUUGGCCAAGGAUACUAAAGGAUUGUAUCGAGUUUGCACAAGGAUGUGUACAAUGCCAAAUCCACGGGCCUAUACAAAGGGUCCCGGCCGAAUCUUUGCAUUCGGUCAUAAAGCCAUGGCCAUUUAAAGGAUGGGCCAUGGACGUAAUCGGCAAAAUCACGCCGUCUUCUGGAGCUGCUAAGCACGCAUGGGUAAUAGUCGCAACCGAUUACUUUACUAAGUGGGUCGAAGCGAAAUCAUAUGUCGAACUAACAUCUAAAGAAGUUUGAGAUUUCGUGGAGGAACACAUCGUGACCAGAUUUGGUGUACCAGAAAUGAUCAUAACUGACAAUGGAACAAUCUUCACAGCCGAGAGGUUUAAAGAGUAUACGGCAAAUUUAAAAAUUCAGCUUGAACAGUCUACACCGUAUUAUCCACAGGCGAAUGGGCAGGCCGAGGCAAGUAAUAAAGUGUUGAUCGGCAUCCUUGAAAAAAUGAUAAAAGAAAGGCCUGGCAUGUGGCAUUUGAAGUUGAACGAGGCAUUAUGGGCAUACCGAACGACGCCCCGGUCGGCGACCACGACAACCCCAUACGCAUUAACCUACAGACACGAUGCAAUGUUACCAGUCGAGUUAAGCAUAAAUUCGUUGCGAUUAAUUGAACAAAGUAGUUUGUUUAGCGCCGAAUACAAUCAGUCCAUGAGACAAGAAUUAGAAGAUUUGGAAGAAGUGCGACUUGACGCUUAUAACUUACUGGUGGCACAGAAACGGAUUGCCGAACGAGCAUACAAUCAAAAGGUGCGACGGAAAACAUUCGGUGAAGGCGAAUUGGUUUGGCAAACGGUGUUACCCGUAGGACUAAAAGACCCUAGGUUCGGCAAGUGGUCGCCAAAUUGGGAAGGACCGUUCGUUGUACAUAAGGUAUACGAAAAAGGGGCGUAUCAUCUUCAAGACCGGACCGGUUCAGUUCACAAAUUACCAAUCAACGGGAAGUUUUUUAAAAAGUACUACCCGGUAACGUGGGAAAUGUGAGAAUAAACAAAACCAUCUCAUUAAGAUUGAUGAGCAUGUACAAGCUAAGUAAGUCAUUCAGGUUAAAACUAAGUACAUUCAAGGGGAAGAAGGUAAGAGGGUGCCGAGAAGGGCCUUCAAUUCCAACCACCGCACCUCGGCCAUGAUAACUUCAGCUUGCCGAUUCUUCUUGUCCAGCUUCAACCGCUCGACCCGCUUUGUUGUCGCUGCGUACUCAGUUAGGCGAUCCUUUCCACCCGACUCGAAGUCUCUAGCAAGCUCGGACGCGAUGGCCGAUCGACGUUUUGCUAGUUCAGCCAUCUGACGGUCGAGCUCGGCUAAUACUUCUCCUUUUGCCCUUAGAGCGUCGAUUUUCGGACGGAGAGUGUCUUGAACGGCCGUGGCAGCUUGCAGGUCCUGUUUGGCCUUUAGAGCGGUCUGGAAGACACUAAAUGUCUCCUGAACCCGCUCCAAAGCAGACGAUGCCCAAACGAUGGCAUUUCCGCUCAGGCGACCGUCGGCCCCAAGAUCGUUCAGACACACGCCAAGCAGAUCAAGACCGUUGCGCUCGAGUACUUGCGGUGCUGAAAGCGACAGAACUUCUCGCAACUGGGUUAGAGCGGUUGGAUCGGCAGCCUCAAUCGGAGCAGCCGAAGGCCCGGACUCGGCAGUUGUGCUGGAGAUGAGGGCUUUGAAUUCGACCUCCCACGAAGCAUGGACAUAUAAAUCAGUUUAGGCUUAAAGGAAGGCAGUGCAAGAAUAGCAAGAAGGUUUCAUUUUUUAACCUGCCGAGAGGAGACCUCGGCCAUGUCCCCAAGAUCGUUGCUCGAACCUAAAGAACUCAACGGCCGAGCCCAGUGUCUCAGAUUGCUUCUCAGUUCACGCGGUCGAUGGAGGUUAUCUACGUUUGAUGGCCACUGAGGCGGCCAAGAAAUAUAGAUAACGCCCUUCGGCGCGUAGAAUUGUCGGUGAAAAGAAUGUACAGGCACCUGACAUUUAGUAUUUUCCUCGUUUAGAAUUCUAAAGCGGAAAAGCAAUCAAGGAAAGACGGUGGAAGAUACUUACGAAGGCCGAAGUAGCCUCCUGCGGAGGAAUGUGGAAGCCCUGGUCUUGAGGAUGAACGAGCGAUUCCGCCGUUGCCUCGGGUUCCUCGACUGGUCGUUUGCCACGGUCGGCUGUGGAGGGGCCGACCGGGACAGCUGCUUCUGAGGAAGGAACACCCUGGUCCUAAGAAGGAGCAAGGGGUUCGGACACCGCCGUUGGUUCCUCGACCGGACGCUUGUCACGAUCGACCGUGGAGGGGCCGGCUUGAACUGCCAUCUCGGACACUGGAGGAGGUUGUCGGCGAGUAUGAGGACGAUGUGCCAGCGGGACCUCGUCGCUCCCCUCACUCUCUUUCAGAACGAAGACCGAGGGCUUUGGAUUUUUGGGAGAGGUGCCCUCGGUCGCAGAAACCGCCUUCUGUGGGACAGGUGCCUCCUCGACGGAGGGAGGCAUGACUGGUGUGCCGGCCCCAGAGACAGGCUGCGCUUGAACUAUCUCUGCGACCGAAGCUGGCGGUUUCUCGACCAAGGAAUGGCCGACGGCGGGAGAAGGGGAAGCACUGGGAGUCGUCAUCCCCGUAGUAUGACUGGAGAUGACGUGGAUGUCUCGUGCACCUUUCUUCGCCAGUGUUUUUACCCGCUUGCAGGCGGGGGAGACUCGACAGCCGGCUCGACCUCUGGGCAAGGCCGUUUGAUCAGCACGGCCCGACCAGCAGUUUUGUUCUUCUUGGCCACGACCGAUUUUUUCUCGGCCGUAGCAGCGGCAACUGCAUCCGUUUUUCUUGAAGGCCGACUACCUGAGAAGAUAAAAGCAAUUCAGCAAGGCAAAUCAGUAUGCAGAGUUGAAAGAAAAGAGGAGAAAUGAACAAUUACCUUGAGAUUGGGGGGCCGAGGCCUUCUUCGGUCGGUCACCGAAGAGUUUGUUCAGCACCUCUUCGACCGGAGCACCAAAGAACUCUUGGGUCUAAUUUUCCCACCAUUCACCGAAGGUGUCGGUGCAAAGGGUUUCUGGGGUGGCCGGUCGAAGGCGGAAUUUUUUGCAGUACUCUUGGAACUCCCUCGCGACAGUUUUACAUUCCUUCUCCGAGGAACGAGGUUCACGUCCACGGCUUAGGACUGUUCGGGAGGAGAGAAGGGGAACAGGGCAGCCCUGAAGAUAGCCGAGCUGUCGGGCAAGGAAGUUCGGAUGGUACACUUCCCAACCCGACCAUUUCCCAUCGCAGCCAAGAGGGAGGUCGCGAGCGAGCACAAACGACCCCCAAGUCUGACGAAGCUCGGCAUCCUCCUCCGCGCCCCACACAGAGGUAGGUAGUCUGAUGGAGGAAGGAUAGUCCCGAUGACGACAUAUCAAGAAUUCAUCGUUGGAGAGAUCAUCAAGAGCGAAGAGGUACCGAAAUACCUCUUCGGCUUGGUGAGGAGGUGUCGGUCGGGAGGCCAGCUGAGGUCCAAGAGCCUCCGUUGGCGAGAAGUCAGCUAUGGCCGGCCGAAGGGAGGCGAAGUACACUUGUAACCAGAGCUGGAAGACCCAGAGGGGACCAUUCUGGUGUGGGUCGACCUUGUGGAGGGUCGUCUCGGCCAGGCAACGGAAGAGAUGGGCGAGAAUGUUGGAACUCAGUGCCAGGACGUGACCACUAGCCAGGGCUUCGGCUACCAGCAUGUUCUCGACCAAACACUUGUUCGACUUGGUACAACAAAUGUAUUUGUUGUACCAAUAGAAGAGGAAGGCUUCAUGCUCUUCCUCUCGCAGGUCCUCUUCUCAUCGGCCGGCGAAAUGAAGAUAGAGGGUGUUGUAAUUAAAGAAGUUCUUGUGGAGCUUCUGAAUGUCUUCCUUCGACGGGAUUUGACCGUCACGGUUCAAGGUCUCGAAGGCUCGUCGAUCGAAAAGCGUCUUCAGAUCAAUAUUCGAUGGGUGCCCAGAGAGGGCCGCGUCGAUAGGGAUCCCGGUUGCCGAAGUCCCCAGAAUGGCGGUGACAUCAAGGAUGGUAGGACCGAGGGGACCAAGAGGAAGAACCAGGGUGUUGGUGGCCGAGCACCAGAAGCACAAGGCGGCUAGGAGAAGCUCCUUGUCGAGAAUGACAUCCAUUGACGAGAGAAUGAUGGCGUCGUAAAUGCCGAGGGCUCUCCAUUGCUCGCCGAAGAACCAUUCCAGGCUGCCCAGGUUGUGGUCGUCGAGGGCCAGGAGCCUUGGGGUUUCGCCGCAUCCCAUCUUGACCAUUCAAACCCUUGGAACAAGGGUGUUAGGCAGUGCUCCUGGAGAAGGCCAGUAAUGGUCGACGGUAUUGCAGCCUUGAAGAGAGGACCCAAGAUUUGGUGGACAGUGCUCAUGUCACUUUCAAACCGUAUGGUUUUGAUCGAGCUCCGAUCAAGGAUUUUCUGGUGCUGUUCACAUUCCCUGGAAAGCUUGGAGAUGAAAGACGCCAUUAUAGGAAGGAAGCACGGCGUAAAAGGUUUUCUGGGUUGGGGGAUUUGAAGAUGAAGACCUGGAACAAGAAAUGUGCUGGAGAAGAAGGGCAAGAGAUUUCAGAAAAUUUUGAGAGCAUAAAGUGCAAAUGAGAGAAUUCGGUAUUUAUAGAGUUGUGGAGGGAAGAGCAAUCGUUCGAAAUUCAAAACAAAGGGCAAAAUCAACCGAAGGAAUCGUUGAUCAUGAUGAACAUUUGGGAAAUGCAGUUGAGAAGACCGAAGGUUUCAGGUUUUGGGGGCGCACGAUCGCGUGUGAUGGCGAAAUUAAUGGCAGAAGACAUUUCGACGCUUGCACGAUGACAGGUGGACUCACGGAUUGAGAAAGCGGCUCGUGAAUUGAGGUAAUGGUUAAGUUGACGGUUCAGGUAGCCGCACGCCUUAGACGUCAUCAUUGGGGUUGGCCGUGUUGGAGAACGCCACGUGGCGAGUUUGGUUAGCAGGAUCAAGAUCGUGCAAUCAUGUUCAAUAAAUGCGCCUUGGAACUUGGGCAUUAGGGUUCUGAGUGGUAGAUUCGCUUCUUCAAGGCCGAAACUCGGCCAAAGAAUUCAGGCCGAGGACCUCAGAAGCGAGGGGGCAAUGUUUGGGCCCAAAAUAAUAGUUUGGGCCGAGGGUAGGAUCACUCUCGGCUCAAGAGGCCGUGCGGCGAAAGGGCCAUGGAUCGUUCAGCUCAUGGGCUUCCAAGCCUAGGUUGGUUAAAUCAGAACGCAAGCCGAGUCCUAGUACAAUAGGGACUCUCGACAGGAUCAGUAAUCCAGAAAGAGAAUCCAGCUCAGUUAAGGACUAGAUUCGUAGUCCUAGUGGAGAUAGGAUUGGUCGAGGUGAUGUUGAUCUAGGGAGGGAAACCUAGUCCGAAUAGGAUUGUAACUCGGGCUCGAGGACCAGCGCUAUAAAUAGGGGAAGUUGUGCAUUAACGAAGGACCCCUGCAAAUCAAUACAAAAUUGCCCUUCGCAAAUUCUCACAACUUGUGAUUUUUCUUUUUCCUUUUUCGCUGACACAUCUUCCGUUGGCAUCAACAGCACUGUGGAAGCAACCGGUGAUAUCUUAAGUCGGCAUAGAUAGCUCUGUCACCGUAGAAUCAAUCGGUCUCGCAGUAUCUUCCGUUGGCAUCAACAGCACUGCGGUGAGAACGGUUGAUUACCUAUCCAAGUCUCGGUCGAGAAGGGUUUCUGAACCCUUAUUGGUCAAGGUUAUCUCAUCAGCCUUCUCGGCGAAGUGAGGUGUUACACGUUAUUACGUUCGGCAUAUUGAAAGCCGAAUUUGAUAUUGAACUUCGUAAGAAUAGUAACCUUGUCUUCAGGUUCAAGAGCCCAAGAGGCCGAGACGUGUUCCUUUCUCGACCGCAAUCGCAAGACGCAGAAGUCAGCCGCGCACCCAACGCAACAUCAACAAAUUUACUCCUCGGUCGAGCUCGGCCGACGAGUUGGCAAGCCCCGCAUUCACCGAAUGACGUAGUUAGCUCAUUAAUUACUCGGCCUGCGUGCCACAUAGGCUUUGUAGUUUUUAGGGUCAACAGUAUCAGAAUUAACAAUACCGCGAAAUAUUCCAGUAAACUAGCUUCAUUUGGAGGUUGAAAUAACUUGUCUUCCUGCCCUAGUAACAUAGGGUUCUUCUUGCCUAUCUGCGUUAGCUAAGCUUUCCCAUAACUGUAGGAUUACAUCAAGGCUCAUCCUUAAGUCCUUACCUUUUUGCGUUGGUAAUGGAUGACUUAACAGGACAUAUUCAAGAUGAUAUUCCUUGGUGUAUGUUUCGCAAACGAUAUAGUGUUGAUAGAUGAAACUCAGGAAGGGGUAAAUGCAAAGCUUAACCUUUGGAGAGAAGUGUUGGAAUCUAAAGGUCUUCGCCAAAGCCGAUCAAAGACAGAAUAUAUGGAGUGCAAGUUCAGUGCAAAUGGAGGCCAAAACGAAUUAGGGGUGAGGAUCGGAGAUCAAGAAAUACCAAAGAGCGACCGUUUUCGUUACCUAGGAUCUAUCUUGCAAAAGAACGGAGAAUUAGAUGGAGAUCUCAACCAUAGAAUACAAGCUGGAUGGAUGAAGUGGAAGAGUGCAUCCGGCGUGUUGUGUGACCGCCGUAUGCCACUGAAGCUCAAGGGAAAAUUUUAUAGGACGGCAAUAAGGUCGGCGAUGCUGUAUGGCACAGAAUGUUGGGCAGUGAAGCAUCAACACGUACACAAAAUGGGUGUAGUGGAGAUGGGGAUGCUUCGUUGGAUGUGUGGGCACACGAGAAAGGAUAAGAUUAGGAAUGAGGAUAUCCGGGGUAAAGUAGGAGUAGCUGAAAUUGAAGGAAAGAUGAGAGAAAAUCGGUUACGAUGGUUUGGACAUGUGCAAAGAAGGCCUACUGACGCUCCGAUUAGAAGAUACGACUAUGGGACAAAGGUUCAGGGCCGAAGGGGUAGAGGAAGACCUAGGAAAACUUUGGAAGAGACCCUAAGAAAAGACUUAGAGUACUUGGAUCUAACGGAGGACAUGACAAAUGACAGAACAUAAUGGCGUUCUAAGAUUCAUAUAGCCGAUCCCACUCAAUGACUUGGAUUUUCCAAGUCUCCAACCGAGAAGUUUUCCUCACUCGGGAAAUUAAGGGAACACUACCUCAACCUACAUGCUCCACUCACAAAGCUUCAACAUGCAAGUUUUAACAAAAGAAAAUUCAAAGAACUUAGCGAAGAAAGCUUUGGUGUAUUUAACACAAUACGUUGAAAUGAAGGAAAACUUAUUUAUUGAUAUCCCCGAUAAGUUACAAAUAUGUACAUAUACAUGAGUCAAAAUAAACAAACAAGAGGGAGCCUUCACAAAGGUUGUUUAGGAGAAGUCUCAGCAGUCGGUAGAGCCCCAGAAAGAGAAGGCACCGGAGGGGGAUCAUUCGGAGCCUCAGUACUGGACAGAACCCUAGAAGGAUGAGGCAUCAGAGGUUGAUCAUUUGGAGCUUCAUUACGCGGUACAACCCUAGAAGACGAAGGCAAUAAAUGCCUUUGGAACAAACCCACAAAUCUCUGAUGAUCAAGUAAAACCUGACCAUCAGAUUCCUUCAUUACGCGCCAUAUGUUGUCUGGAGAAGGCGGGGCUGCCUCUUCAACAAGGUUCAAGUCAAAACGACAGUCGGAGGGGCCAGACAUUUUCAAAGGUGUUGAAGAGAGAAGAGGUCGGACAAAGCAAGAUCUUAGAAGUGCAAGAAUGGAACUUCUACUGGUGGAGAUUCAAGUGUGUUUUGGAACUUAAUGCCAGCCCUAUAAAAAUCUGCACUCGACGAAGCUUCAAAAAUCGAAGAGGCGUCUGCUCAGAAAUCGAAGAGGCGUUUGCUUUCUCAAAAGAUGGGCUGCUCAAAGACCACGAAGGCCGAUCUCAGAAAUCGAAGAGGCUUGCUUUCUCAAAAGCUGGGCUGCUCAGAGACCACGAGGGCCGAUCUCAGAAAUCGAAGAGGCACAUACUUUUCCAGCCUUGUCAGCACUUGUCACACGCACACUCAGCUUUGCGGAAAUUAUGAGCAUUCUGUCGAAGAUUUCUGGUGAAGUAGAAAUCACAUGAAUCGUACUGUUUAAUCACCCACUUCCCACACGCAACAGUAGCUCAUGGGUACCACAGAUAACUUUGCCAAAGUUCUCUGACAAAGUUGAGACACGUGAAGCUUGCAGCUCCCACUACCUUGCUCUGACCAAGAAGGGUAAAAGAAUAGCAAAGAAACAACACUAACAAAGUUUAGACACGUAAAUUUUCAAGGUCUAGCUACCAUAUUAUUACCCACAAGGGUAAAGGAACAGUACCACUGUUGGAUAAUUGGAAGGUCCCGGUGUGUCAACCUCUGUACUUCGUGGCAAGGUAGACUAGCAAACAUGCCCAACCUUUACUCACAUUCGAGAAAAUACUCCCAACAAGAUUGCUUGCUCCAAAAUUGAAGAGGCACCGUCUUCCAAAUCUCGAGAGCCAGACUCCCAACAUGAUUACUUUCUCAAAAUCGAAGAGAGGGUAAAGGAACAGUACCACUGCUGGAUAAUUGGAAAGUCCCUGUGUGUCAACCUCUGUGCUUCGUGGCAAGGUAGACUAGCAAACAUGCCCAACCUUUACUCACAUUCGAGAAAACACUCCCAACAAGAUUGCUUGCUCCAAAAUCGAAGAGGCACCGCCCUCCGAAUCUCGAGAGCCAGACUCCCAACAUGAUUACUUUCUCAAAAUCGAAGAGAGGGUAAAGGAUCAGUACCACUGCUGGAUAAUUGGAAAGUCCCUGUGUGUCAACCUCUGUGCUUCGUGGCAAUGUAGACUAGCAAACUUGCCCAACCUUUACUCACAUUCAAGAAAACACUCCCAACAAGAUUGCUUGCUCCAAAAUCGAAGAGGCACCGCCCUCCAAAUCUCGAGAGCCAGACUCCCAACAUGAUUACUUUCUGAAAAAUCGAAGAGACGCCGCUCUCCGAAUCUCGAGAGCCAGACCCCCAGCAGGAUUGCUUUCUCAAAAAAAUCGAAGAGGCAUCGUUCUCCGAAUCUCGAGAGCCAGAUCCCCGACAGGAUUGCUUGUUCGAAAACCGAAGAGGCACCACUUUCCCAACUUCAAGAGCUGAAUCUCCUUGGAUAAAGCUUGUCUGUAAUCUUCACAUGCAACAUCAGCUUUCCAGAUACCACAUACCACUUUUUCAAAGUGCUCUGACAGAGUUAAAACAUGUGAAGCUGGCAGCUCCCACUACCGUGCUAUGACCAAGCAGGGUAAAGGAAUAGCAUUAUUACUUGAUGUUAGGGAAACUUCUAUAUAUGUCGACCUUCAUCCCCAACGGACAGGCAGACCUGUAAAAAUGCUCAACCCUUCCUCUUAUCUGAAAGGGACGAAGCCUUUCGAAAUAUUCAGCUUUCUUUCCCCCCGAUAAUACCUCUGCAAACAAGCUAUACUAGAGCAAGAAUAUCUCAUAUCAUCAGGGUUAAAAGCAAGAGUAUCCCAUAUCAUGCUUUUUCCCUGUCUUUUCCUUUGGCCUUGUUCUUACCUGCAAGACAAUGAGAAAGAGAGCAAUCAGUCAGCACUUGGAAUCAAGCUUCCAGCCAGGAACUGACUGCCUGGAACCCCUUACCUGAGUACUUACCUGGCAUUGCUCUCGAGUACUCAUCUUCAACAUCUUAUGCUUCCAGGGAAGAUACCGCAUCUGCCUGAGGAACAGAUAGGGCAAGUGAGAAGGAUACAAAGAAGCAUGUGGAGACAAGCGUAACAGCACACGUGCCGAUACAUCCACUACUCUGUCAAAAGCAAAAGUAUCCCAUAUCAGCAGGGUCGAACGUACUCUAGAUUUGAUGGACUUGUUUUUACCCUCAAAUUCUUCAGUCGGCCUUAUACUCUGGAGGAAACCAGAAAACCCUCCAGCCCAGUUCAAGAAUAAGCAUGUGGAAAGUUAUUUAUUCAAAAGCAAAAGUAUCCCAUAUCAUCUCUUCUCAUUUUUCUUCUCUUUAUCCUUCAUGCUGCCUGCAAGAUAGGGAGAAUGUGAACAAUCAGCCAGAGCUCUGGUUGCUUACCUUGUCUGUCACCUCUUUCAACAGAUCCCCUAGCUCGGCGACUUGGGGGACUCCUACUACAUGGUUUGUAUCGCGCUUGAUCAAGCCUGAAAUUGAUACAUUACCUUGUGCAUCUCCACCAGUUAAAGAUACCACCCCUGGAUGGAGGAAGAGUACUUCCAGAGAAGAUGCCACAUCUACCUAUGAGACAGAUAAGGCAAGUCAAGACGAUACCACACUCCGGUACUUAGAAGUUUCGUGAUUACGAGAUCAUUCUCCCAAAAUAUUUCCUAAUGUCAUUUGUACUAAAUCAUUCACUUGUACUCACUAAAGGAGAGCUUGAACCUAUGUACUUGUGUAAACCCUUCACAAUUAAUGAGAACUCCUCUAUUCCGUGGACGUAGCCAAUCUGGGUGAACCACGUACAUCUUGUGUUUGCUUCCCUAUCUCUAUCCAUUUAUAUACUUAUCCACACUAAUGACUGGAGCAAUCUAGCGAAGAUCACAAAAAGCGACCGUUUUCGCUACCUAGGAUCUAUCUUGCAAGAGAACGGAGAAUUAGAUGGAGAUCUCAACCAUAGAAUACAAGCUGGAUGGAUGAAGUGUAAAAGUGCAUCCGGCGUGUUGUGUGACCGUCGUAGGCCACUGAAGCUCAAGGGAAAAUUUUAUAGGACGGCAAUAAGGCCAGCGAUGUUGUAUGGCACAGAAUUGUUGGGGUGUGAAGCAUCAACACGUACACAAAAUGGGGUGUGGCGGAGAUGAGGAUGCUUCGUGGGAUGUGUGGGCACACGAGAAAGGAUAAGAUUGGGAAUGAGGAUAUCCGAGGUAAAGUAGGAGUAGUCGAAAUUGAAGGAAAUAUGAGAGAAAAUCAGUUCCGGUGGUUUGGACAUGUGGCAAAGAAGGCCUAAGACUCUGACGCCCGGUUCGAAAAUGUGACUAGGGGACAGAGGUUCAGGGCCGAAGGGGUAAAGGAAAAGACCUAGGAAAAAACUUUGGAAAGAGACCCUAAGAAAAGACUUGAGUACUUGGAUCUAACGGAGGACAUGACACAAAACCGAGCGCAAUGGCGUUCUAGGAUUCAUAUAGCCGACCCCACUUAGUGGGAAAAGGCUUUGUUGUUGUUUGUUUGUUUGUUGAGAUUUACUAAGAACGAGAGUAAAGUCAUUGGAUCCUACAUGCAUCCACAACAUUGACCUCUUUCGUCGUGCCAAAACUAGGUGGGACAUCCUCAUCAUCAUCAUAUUCAACAUACGUAUUACCUUUUCCGAUGUAGUUUUGAAGCCAAAACCGAAAUGAAACCAAACCAUUUGGUUUGGUUCGGUGCCGUUUCAAACGGUUUUGGUUCGGUUUUAGAAAAGAAAAAAAUUUACAAUUUAAAAUUUAUACCUAUAUACGCAUAACACGGUCUCAUUUUUCACACAAUAUAUUAAUUAAUCAACCCAUAUGAGAAUUCUUUUCUUUACUGCUCUCUCUAUUCUCUAAUGUACAUUUGAUCACAACAAGAAAAUGGUACGGGAGAAUGAUAUAUAAACAACUAGCUUAGCAUAGCUAGCUAAUUGCACGAAUGAUGGACUCUGUGACUGAGCAGGAAAAAGCACCCAAAUGGAGUGAUGUGGCUAGGGAUGGGCAAAAUACCAUGGAUUUGGGUAACCGCGGUUACCCAUCCAUUUAAAGUUCACGGUUACGGUUAUGGGUAACCGUUUAGACGAACAAACGGUUAUGGGUAUAAACGUUUAUCCAUGAAAUUUAAAUGGGCGGUUAUGGGUAUUAUCCAUGGUUAUAACGGGUAUCCAUCGAUUAUGGGUAUUACUAGCGGUUAUAACAGGUAUCCAUUUACCCAUUUAAUUUAAUAUAUGUAAAAUUUAAAAAAAAAAUUUAAAUCCUAAAUUUUCAAUCACUCCGCCAAACUCAGAGUCUUAAACGCCUUGUCCCCCGCUCAUCUCUCCCUCCUCACUGCCCUUUGUCUCAUCUUCGCCAUUGUGAGGCGAAAACAAUUCAAGUAAACAGUUAAGUGCUAAAUCACCUUGUCCAUGUAACGAUUGAUGAGAGCAGGGAUAUCCGAUUUAGGUUCGAGUCCUCCAAAUAAGGAUCCCAUGAGGGUUUUGCCGCUGUGAAGGAUAUCAUGAAAGGGAAGGCUCGCCUUUGAGGCUCUGACCCUGGCUUGUCGACACCUACCAUAACUGUCUCUCCCCAACCCUGAAGUUCAAAAGAACGAUAAUAUUUCAAUGCGUAGUGCAGACAAAUUAUAGUUGCCUAGGUUCAUCAUGAUGGUUGAUCAGUACGAUGCAGAGCAUAUUCUUGUUUUGUAAUUUUCAAGUUGUUAAAAAAAAACAUGUAGAUGGAUGAAAAAAAUGGGUAAAUAGGUAAAAAAAAGAUAAACAGAUUCAAAAACGGAUAAAUAGUUAUGGUUAAAUGGGUAAACGGUUAUGGUUAAAUGGGUACACAGUUAUGGGUAUGGUUAACCGUUUAUAAACGGUUAUGGGUAUGGGUAUAACCGUUUAUGCAAUUACCCAACGGGUAAACAGUUAUGCGAGUAUGAACAUAAACGGUUAUGGGUAAAUAACUGCAGUUACCCAUCCGCUAUAAUCGUUGCCCAUCCCUAGAUGUGGCUUAUUAUUUGAUCAGAGAUUGGUCUUUGUAUCUCUCAUUUUGUGACUAACUCUUACUUGAAAAUUAGGAUUCUGAGGUGCUUUUACUGGUAAUAAAAUGUUCAUCUUUUCCUGUAAAGAAACAGUGAAGAUGCCAAGCUUGAUAAGGGUUAUAACUUUGGGAAAAAUAAUCAUUAUUAUGAAAUGUAAACACUAGAUCUAUGGACUCUAACAAACCACCAAUUAAAACACGACAUCUAAUUUGAGGUGCGAUUUCGGUUUCGGUGCGAUUUUCAAAAGCCAAAACCGAAACCAAACCGUUUCAUACACUGCAGUUCGGUUUCAAAACCACAACCAUUUCAAAACCGCAAAACCAAACCAUUCAGUGCGGUUCAAUUUGGUUCAUGUUUGGGUUUCGGUUUUGGGUUUCAAGUGCCCACCCCUAGCACUAAGUGGCUUAUCACACAAGUUUUAUGUAAAGUGAUUAAACAACUUAGCAUGAGUCAAUUUACUAGAGAUUCUUGCGAAGGACAAUGAGAGAUACAACUCACCGUCUAGCAAGGAAGUCGAAUCUAAAAUAGUGAAGAGGAAUAUUACUGGACCAUAUUAAGUGGCAUCAUAUCUUCUGAAUCUUUUAAAAUCGCCUUGACUAGAAACAACAAACUCACUCAUAGUUUUAGCCUAUCAAUUACAUUCUUCAAUGUACAACCCCUCACUCCAACUUUCUCAGAAACCUGUUUGUAGCCUAACAUGGGUUCCUUCAGAAAAUCUGAAUUAAAAGGAAGGACAUUGCACCACUGCCCCGUCAAAGUUUUUGAUGAUUCAAAUACCCCUUAAAUUUUGGGGUCAAUAUUUUUUUAUGGUCAACGUUAGGCGUCCAGAUGAUGGGCAAUUUAUCAAUUUGGAUAUCAUUGAGGACUGAAUUCGGAUGCAUAAGGUCUAAGCAAGAAGUACAGACAGAUCAUUCCAAUGCAUUUUACACUCGUUAAUCAAAUACAGUUGAAUCUGAUUCUCACGGAUGCAUUGUUAAUUACCAUAACGCCUUUCAAGCAUUUCACUCAGAAAAAAGAAACUAUAAUAAAAUUGUGCAUGACGUCGAUCAAGAUAAUAUAAGGAUUCGACGUAAUCAUGGAGUGCCGGCUGUCGACUACCUGACGUCCUCCCCCUCCUCCUUUAUCCGGGCUUGGGACCGGCAAUGUAAGAUAAACUUACACGGCGGAGUUCAUUUACCAGGUAAAGAAAGUACCUCAUCUCAUAACCGGUUUCCAGCUUCCUUGAAUAAACAGAUGUUCUUUGAGACUGCAUCGUACUCACUGGAGUUGCUUGUUUUGCUUGUUUCCUCUAGAUGAAGGUUGCUUUAAUCCAACCAAAUCACUCUCGUAGAUGAGACGGACUCCGCACCUCUUCACCUCCAAACCAGAGCCUAAGGUUUAAAUGUAAACUCAAGGUGAUGACAACUGUCUUGCCAUGUUGUACCAAAGUAUUCACCAGAUACAAAGGAUAGCCAAAUGUGCUCUUUCUCAAUUUGCCCUAAUUCUUCGCUGCAGGCGAAGGAAGGACACCAGCCACCUACACCCAAAUUCCCAGGCUUAACUUCGCAACGAAGACCAUGUGCAGUGGUAUGGGUUCCGUAGUUCCAUUUACCAAGCAGAUUAGGUGGGAGUCGUCGACGGAGAGUGAAAACAGCACACAAUGCAUAUCCCAUCCACUCGUUCUUAUACCAGUGUUGAGGGAGCUCCACGCUUACCACAGGCCUCUCACUUCGAUAACCAAACCACUCAGAAAUUUCACUGCCAGGAUAUAUAGCUUCAAAAUUAUUCCCUACGUAAGGGAUUCCCUAUAUGAUACAAAAUUACAAAUAGUGAAGUUAAACAAUUGAUACGUCCGUCUUGUAAAUAAGUACAAAAUGCUUCUUUUUUUUUUCUUUUUUUUUUCUUUUUCUGUGUGUGUGUGUAAGAGAGAGAGAGAGAGAACCUCAAGGAAUCUCCUUAACGCUGCAAAUGCUACAUUGUUGCAGCCUUGGUCGUCAACCACUUCAAAGCAAUUAAUAAAACUGAAACAUGAUGACAGCCUUUCCCGUGAAAAACUGCCUUUUCCCUCAACACUCAAGUUCAAUUCUGCUGAAAGGUCCGGCAAUUUUUUAAGACACUUACAACCACCCAAAUUCAAAAUCUGAAGCUUAGACAGCUCUGUGAUGCUCUUGGGAAGACUAACAAAACUGUUUUUACUUAGAUUAAGCGAUACUAUUGAGGACAAGCAGCCAAGAUUUUCCAGGAUUGUUACCUCCUCAAGAUUACAGUCACUGAGAUUCAGCACUGUCAAAGAAAGCAAACCAGAAUCUGUGGUCGGCAACAGCAAACUCAGUAGACUUGUCUUCUUUCUUCGCAUCGAUUUGCAACCACAAAUGGAUAACAAUUCAAGAUUUUCCAGGCGGGAAAUGGAGGAUGGUAGAUCAUUAAUAGAGGUACCGCCCACAUCAAGCUCCUUCAAACAAACCAUAUUUCCCAAGUUUUUUGGCAGUUCUUCAAGCUUUGAGCAUCCACUGAGAUUGAGACUUUUGAGGGAACGCAACUGGCAAGUACUGCUUGCAAGGGAACUGAGAUUUCUGCAAUCUCUCAGGUUUAAUAAAGUAAGGCCAGUCAGACAUUCGAUCGAAGAAGGUAAUUCUUCUACAGCAGUCUUAUCUAAAUAAAGUUCCAACAAGUUUUCCAUAGGUCUCACAAAUUCUGGAACUUUAUUAAUUUUUGAACAACCAGAAAGAAUAAGAAUUUGAAGACUUUCCAUUUCAAAACAUUUGGGAAGGCGUUUAAGACUUCUGCAGUCCUUAAGAUUUAAGAAAAUAAGCCUUUUGAGCUCAGCAAUGGAUGGGUCGAUCAUCACCAAGUUUGUACAGCCUUCAAGAAUUAAUCUAUGAAGAUUUGGAGUAACAGUAAAGUCCGGGGUCCUGGUCAGGUUCUGGGAGUAGCUAACAUUAACGAAUUUCAGAUUGCCUAAGCACUGUUCAAAACAUUAAAGCACAAAAUUUAGUACUUUAUAUAAAAAAAAAAAAACCCAACUUUUUAUGUGCUACCCAUAAUCUGACCUUUGUUCUAUUCCAAAGUUGUCCAAUGCUGCUAUGGGACAAGUUAACUUCACAAAGUUGCUCAAGUUCAAAUUCUCGUGGGAGAAAUUUUGAAGGAUACCCACUCCAUUCAAGAAACUUUAAGGCAUUAGAAAGUUUUUUUGGGCCUUGGGUCAUUCGCAGAUUAUGAAUUUGGAGAAAUCUGAGAUUAUGCAUCGUCGAGAAGGCCUCCAAGUCCCAACAUGCCUCUUUCAAUUUAGGGAAGUCUAAGGCUAUACCUUCAACUGCAUUUGUACCCUGAUAACAGAGAAUUCAGAAUAAGUUCAUUAGACAGUAUAAUUAAGUUUAGAAGUACUUACUAAAUUAGUAUACUCCAUCUUCCUUCAAAACCACUUACCGUAUUAUUCCUCAAUACAUGAAUGACAUCAUCAUGAAGCCACAACCUGCUUUGCUCUCCAGGAUCCUCAACAGCAUCUCUGCGUACCAAUUGUCGUCCCAAUUCUUGUAUCAACCCAUGCAUCAACACUUUGUUAUUUGAAAUAGUUAUGAGAGAUUUCUCAAAGAGAGCUUCCAUCCCAUCCUUCGGAUUAAAUCCAAAACAAUCUAGUAUCUCUACCACUCGUUCCUUGUCCAUUCCUUGAAAGAAACAAGCAAUAUCUAGAAACAUUCUUUUCUCAUUGUCCGCCAGUCCAUGAUAACUUAUUUCAAGUGCUUGAGAAACAUUUUUAUCAGGAACAUGCUUCAGCUUUUCCAAUGCAUUACGCCACUCUCCCGGACUUCUGUGGAACAGAGAGGAUCCCAAAACCUUGAUUGCUAAAGGAACGCCUCCAGCAUAAUGAACCACCCGUUUAGACAGAUCCAAAUAAUAUUCUCGGGGUUCAUCACUUUUAAAGGCGUGAAUAUUGAAGAGCUGACGCGACUCACCCUCACUUAAUCCCUUAACUUCAAAUAUGCUUUCUACACCAUGCUCUCUUAGCAAAUUCUCAUUUCUAGUUGUAAUGAUGACUCUGCUCCCCAAACCAAACCAUUCUUUGUUUCCACCCAAUGAUUUCAGUUGGUCUAAGUCGAAAACAUCGUCUAAAAUGAGAAGAACCUUUCUCUUACAUAGAAUGUUCUUUAUCAUUAUGGCUCCCUCGUUAACAUUUGGAACAUCUAUGCCUUGCCCCAAAGCCUCAUAAAGAAGUUUCUUUUGCAAUUGCAGAUGACCCAGUGUUUCGCUUAGCCCACAAGUAAUCCAGGUGAAAAUUUCAAAUUCAUUGGAAAUGUUGUCAAAAACCACUCUGGCGAUAGUUGUCUUGCCCAUCCACCAAUUCCGCAUAUCCCUAUGAAGCGAACAUCAUUAGAUUUGAUGUCCAAAAGCCUAUUUAGUUCCUCUACUCUUGAGUCAAUUCCCACUAGGUCCUCAAGAUAAGAUGGCAGAGUUUGCAAUGUAUUCAAAACCCAUUGAACAAUUCGUUGGAUAAAUUGUGCCUCAUACCUAUGCAGAAGAAAAUAAAUGUCAAUCAUUCGGAAAUAUUUGAAAGAAUCCCGAUUGUAGUGUAAGCCUUUUGUUUAAGAACAAAAAUGUAUGACAAUAACCUAUCGUUCUCUCAUGAGAGAACUAAUAGAAAAGCUAGCAAGCAACGAAAAUUCAUCUCUUUGGACAGCUUAACAUAUGUUAUCAUAAAUUACAGCAGGAAAGAAUACAAGCAUACAUAUUACAUAGCAAAAACUGAAAUAAAAUAAAAUUUAUUUGCUACUGAAAGGAACUACCCACCCAUCCUCGUCCUUGUAUAGGUCAAAUCCAGACAGAUUGGCUAAUUGACGAAGAGCAUCCCUCCAGGCGCGCACUUUGUCGAUAUUGUCAUUGAAACGUCCUUCAUGCUCGGCAAAAAAGUCACCGAAAUCGCCUGUCUGUUUUCGUACCUCGGAUGGGCUCACAUCAUAGAAGACAGGCAAAACUAUCUGGCGAGCCACUUCCUUGCAUUCCAUAAUUUGCUGAAGCUCAUCCAAGCACCAUGUUGACCUGGCAUACUUUCUUGAAAGAAUGACAAUUGAAAUUUUUGAACUUUUAAUUCCCCGAUAAAGUUCAUCAUCUCCAAAUACGACGACUCCUCGGUUACUCAGAGCAGCACGUAGUUGGUCUGCGAAAUUCCUGCGAGUGUCUUCGCCACUGAAACUGAGGAAGACAUCGUAAUCAGUUGUUUGCGCAGUCGCCGUGGAUCCCAUCGGAAUACUCGGCUUUCUUCUUUUUCUUGAUUGCGUGGUGGCGAUGGAUCCCAACGGAAAUCUCUGCUCUCUUCUUCCUUAAUGGAACCCCAGACCGAUCAAAUCCAGAUCUCUCGGUCUUCUAGCAUAGGAAUGGAAUAUGAAAUGUCAACGGCCAAUUGCAACCGUCCGAUGCGGAGCAGCAAAUCUCACCCGUCUAAUAAGUUCCAGUCGCCAUCCACUGUUGCUCUAGUUUCUCUCGUUUUAUUUUUAUUUUAUUUGUGUGGGGUCCAUUAUUAUUAUUAUUAUUAUUAUUAUUAUUAUUUUAUAGGAAAAAUAAUGUAUUAAAUAGAACAACCCCUUACACAACCAGUGUCAUUACCGUCGAAAAGAAAAGCCAUAUUAGCUUCCAUUGGGAGAAAAACAUCCCAAAUGCAAAGCUCCUUUCUCUUCAGCCCAACAGACGCUAUGGCAUUUGUAACAAAAUUUGCUUUCUUAAAAAUAUACCUCCACUUGAUAUCAUGAAAAUUUGUUUGAAGCACACCACCUGGGAUCCAUUAUUUUGAAUUAAGCACUUUGUCAUAUUUACGAUACAGCGUUUUUCACGGACAAACUUACCAUCUAAUCUUAAUUUCAAGCACACCCAUCAGUGUCAUCACCAUUUUCCAUUCAGAGCGGAUUCAGGUAAAUCCAUCCAUCUAUCACGAAAGUGAGAAAUUCAUUCUCAGAGUGAAGUGAAUUGACUAUUGAAGUUCGUUUCUUCUUUUCUAUAUUUCCUUUUUUUUUUUAGGUCAAAGUUUUAUUUGAACUUGUGAAAUUGUGAUUAGAUGGUGGGUAGUGAAAUGAAAUUGUAAUUAGAUACAGUUUCUCUCUUAAUCGAAAUUGUGAAAUGAUGGAAUUAAACUCGGAAAAUUAAAGCCCACUUUUCAUGAAUUUUUCCGCGCGGCAAUUGUUGAUUUCUGCGCGUCAAGUAGCCAAGCACAUCAAAUCCAAUUCACAUCCCUCAAUUCCUGACUUGUUUUUUCCACACACAGACAUACUAUAAAAUCAGUUUCUAGUUAAAUACACUUUUCUUUUUCUUUUUUUAUAGAAAAUCUCGACGGUACGAAGAGAAUUUAUUGAUAUCGAAAGAAAAAAAAACACCUAAUUAGGGAGACAUAAACCUAACCUCUCAUAAUACAAGAAAAAAUGAUAAAAGAUACAUGAAAAAAGGAAGACAUAAACUUUACCCUUCUAGAAACAAAAACAACAAAGAUACAAGCAACAUCACAAGGUUAAGAAGAAAGAUAAGAAGGUGAGACAAACUUGUAUGCCUAGAUGCACAUUUAUUUGAGAAGCGGAAGUCAGGAAAGCCAACAUAGUCUGAAGAACCGUCAUAGGAUUUGAAUCAUGCCAUACCAAAGUUGGAGAAGACAAGACCAUGUUAGCAAAAGUGUCUGCAACCACAUUUCCUUCACGAUAUAUGUGAGAGGAUAGAAUGUCAUCUUUCGAAUGCAGUCCAAACAAAUAGACCAUUGCGUACGAAGAGGCUAAUGAGGAUCAAAAUUAGUCGAUUGGAGAGUAGAAACAACACUAGAAGAGUCAUUUUCCAGCCAAAGACAAUGUCGACCCCACUUAUAAGCAAACUCUACGCCAAUAAUAACUAUUGAUAGUUCUGCAAAAAAAAAAAGAGUUGCGAUGACAAUUCCUUGGCAGAAACCACCAUGAAACUGACCAUGCCAAUCUCGAAAGACUCAUUCACAAGCAAGAGCAAUGGAUCGAUACUAAGCAAUGGUAGCAGCCAUGGACGAAGGGAGGUAAGUCCUGGGGGGGUUUUAAACACCCCUUCUCCCUUUUUUUUCCCUCACGUACUAAUGUUUAAACCUUGCUGAGUUACAUGUAUUUGAUUAAUUAGUACGAAUGAGCAUUAGAUUUCCAAUACAACAAUUAAAAACAAAAUUAGACAAUAGGGUAAUAAAAUUAGUCAUUUGUAAAAAAAAAAAAAAAAAAAAAAAAAAAAAAAAAAAAAAAAAAAAAAAAAACUAGCUUUAUUUGUCCAAAAAAUGAGCUGAAAUUUUUAAGGUGCCCCCUCUUAGUUAAAUUUAUGGCUUCGUCCCUGGUAGCAACCCUUUCUACUUUAGGGGAUAAGGACCACAAAGUUGCAAUUAAUAUUUAGAUAAAGUCAGCCCCGCUUAAAAAAAUCUUGUACAAAUGCAAUAACAUCUAAAUCAACAAAUCCAAGCAUGAUUGAUAGAAAGAAGCAGGAAAAGAAUCACAUCCCGGAGCACUUGAGGGAUCCAUAGAAAAAAAAUGGCUUUUUUGAGUUCAUUAGCACAAGGUAAACAAGAAAGAGCAAGAUUUUCCUCUUCUUUAACCAUAGGUGGAAUUACACCACAAACAUCCUCAAUUCCAUUUGAAGUGAACAAAGAGUUAUAUAAAGAUUGAUAAAAGUUUACCACAUGACUAGCAAUAUCAACAAGGGAAGAUGGCACAUUAUCACCAUCCAAUAGAGUAACAAUCCUGAAAGAAGAAAGCCUACCUCGAGCAUAAGUAUGGAAAAAAACAAUAUUACGAUCACCUUUAGUAAGCCAAAAAGUUUCUCACAUAUGAAGAGCAUCUAGGACAGUUGUCUUAGCCACAGCUUCCUCAUUAAACCUCUCUUGAAAAUUCCCAUUAGAAAAACAGUAUUUUGGAUAUUAUGAAGUUUGUCCUUAGCAAUAGUGAUAUUUCUAUGGACAUUAGCAAAAACAUAACAAACAUGGGACACCCGUAUGCAAUAGUUGACUGCCAGCACUUAGCAACCAAAUUAGAAAAGCUUGAAUGUAAAGUCCACAUGGAUUGAAAUCGAAAAGGUCGGGGAUCCUCCAAGAAGAGUAGCAAAAGCUGAGAAAACAAGACAAUUAUGACCAGAAACUACCCUUGGCAAAGUUGAACAAUUUGUAUGAGGUCAAGACUGUAACUAGCGUGUGUUACAAAGAGAGCGGUCAAGAAGCCUCUCCAUGUAACCACAGACACUCCAACCAUUAGUCCAAGUAUAAAAAGCACAAGUAGUAUCCAUAUGAGUAAAUUCACAAAGCUCAAUAGCAGUACGAAAGUCCUCACACGAAAUUCGAGCAAGCGACUCCUCAUUUGUUCAUGAGCUCCAACAAUAGCAUUAAAGUCACCAAUUGCCAUCCAAGGUAUUGUAGUAUUAGAAUGAAUACUUAAAAGAUCACAUCAUAAAGCACGACGAAGACUCGAUGUAGUAGCCGCAUAAAAAAAAAAAAAGUAAACCGAGAAAGAACACCAUCAAAAGAAGCCUGAAAAGUAAUUUGUUGUCCUGAAGAAGAAAUCACAAUAGGAGAACAAUAACUCGUAGAAUACAAAACCCAAUUAUUAGGUAGUAAAUCACCCCUGUUAGUAGCAGUAAGCAAAGAAAGACCUAAUGAAUUCCAAUGACUAGAGGGAAUAGAAUUAAAAGUAACCAUAGGUUCAUAAAUGCAAACCAAUCCGAAUGAUGGGAAUGACAAACAUUGGAAAGCUCCGUAUGCUUAUCAGAAUUAACAAUACUACGAAAUAUUCCAGUAAACUAGCUUCAUUUGGAGGUUGAAAUAACUUGUCUUCUUGCCCUAGUAACAUAGGGUUCUUCUUGCCUAGCUGCAUUAGCUUUUUAUUUUUUUUAUUUUAUUUCUUUGCUGAGAUUUACUAAGAACGAGAGUAAAGUCAUUGGAUCCUACAUGCAUCCACAACAUUGACCUCUUUCGUCGUGCCAAAACCAGGUGGGACAUCCUCAUCAUCAUCAUAUUCAACAUGGGUAUUACCUUGGUUGGUUGUAACUCAAGAAGCAAUCCGUCUGCAUUUGUCUCUAACUGUCCAUGAUGCACUGCAAACGAAUCAAUUACCCUAUCAGUCAACAUACUUAACUCAUUAUUCACAACACUCAUUAGUAUUUGAUUUGCAAAACCGUUAACUUGGUCAGCAUGACGUUGCUCAAGAGAGCUACACAAUGGAAUCUCCAUGCCAUUAUGAAGUUCAAAAGUAUGUUCUUUGUGAAUAAUUUCAACUGAAGGAGAACGUCCCUUGUGAAUAGUAUCAACUGAAGGAGAAACAGUCUUAGUAGACGGUUUUGAACGAUAAACCUGAUGAGUUUUUGAUCAUCUGCGAUGAUGAAUCUCAACAUUUGGUUGCAUCCCAUCUUAGUGAUUACAAGCAUUUAACUGUCGAAUUUUACUCGUGUUAUGGCCAAUUACACCACAAGUUGGAGGCAAAUUCUCAUAAAUAAUAUCAGCAUAGAAACCAUGUUGUUCCCGCUCAACCGUAAUAGAUGAAGGCAAAUCAGCAGAGAGAUCCACAUCCACCAGAACUUUAGCAUAGUAGGCAUAUAAAUUUCACGUGUAGCAUGAUCCAACUGAAGUGGAAUACCCACACCAUGAGAAAUUUCCAUAAGAAUGCAAGGGUUCAAUAUUCUUGACUUGACCCAUAUAUUUUGAUCAAGACAUGUGCAUGAGUUUGGGGAAGCAUGUCACCAGGCUUGAAAUCCGGUUGCUAUUGAGACAACCUAAAAAUACCGAAUUGAAGUGUACAUGUUCCACCAACCCACACUUUUCUAAUGUCUUCUUCGGUGGAAAAGUGAAGAUCAAAAUAUCCCUUACCUAAUGAUACCAGUAGCCAAGGAUUGUGAAUCUUUCAUGGGUGCUUUUUUUUAAGCACCUCACUCCCAAACCACCCCUCAGUCUUCAUUGGCAUGGUACUUUUCUUUAACAAAAGUUUACCAAUGAGGUUUGUCCAGAAUGAGCACAGUUGUCUUGAUAAAGGCCCACUAAUUUGACAUCAGUCGCAUCUCUCUGAAUUAGGAGCAGGAAGUUGACUUAAAUUAACUGAACUUUCCUUACUAUUUGAGACAAUGGCAGCAAAGGUCCGUGCUUUCCAUACUAGUUGAGGAAGCCCCGGGCAUGAAGCACUUAGGUGACUUGUUCAUGAAAACCUCAACCUAGUCUACCUAGAACAAAAUUCAUUCCAAAAUAAUGUACAAAAAAAUAAGAAUAUAAAAUAGAAAAUUAUAACCUGAUCAAAGUGCAGCAGUUUUGAGAAAAGUGUUAAAAGUGUUCCAAAUCGUAGGACUCAAUGGAACUUAAUGCAGAAAGACCAAAUGCCUCCAAAAGCUGCAGCAAGUUUGAGUACAAAUCGCAGAACGAGCAAAUUGUAGAAAAUCACAAACCGCCCUAAGUUGCGAAUGAAACGACCGACGCAUCGCGUUCCUUUCUCCAAAAAACACAUAAACCACCCUCUAAAGACGCAAGACGAGAAGAGGGCAAUAAGCAGAUCAACCUGUUCAGAACAGUAAAGGACGAAGCGAUGUGGACAGAUGCGGGGAACGAUAAGCGGCUUCCCUUUUUUUGUCUUCUAGUUGAUAUCUUACAGCCAUUUCUUAAAUCAGUGUUAACGAAAAAGGUUUGGGCUAACUUUUAUUUAAUGAAAAACUACCUUAAACUAUUAUUUAAUAAAAAUGACUUAAGAUUUAAUCAUAAGGACACAAACUUAUAUCUCAAGUCCUACAAAAACUAAAACACACAGGUUCAACAAAAAGCCCAAACCAGAUAACAAUUAAUAUUCCAAAAUUACCCCUAACGGAACCUAACCCAACUUGUUGAGCCAAAAAUAAUCACAAAGCGACCCGAGGAUUUUUGGAAAAAAUAUGACAAAAAUACCCUUGAGGCAUACCAGGAUUCCUACGCGCGAACAGCAGGCAAUCAUCGCUCAAUCAAGUGAAAAGUGUCCAAAAUAAGUAACAAUUCAAAGCCUAUUGUAUCCAUCCUCAUCAAAUCCUAUUUCACCCAUAUGGGUUUGCUCUCGAGUGCGAGUGCGAGAGGAUAAACUAAUUAUUCUCUAGUGCAAGAGGUAAACCAAUUCCUAGACACCCAUAUGGGUUUGCUCUCGAGUACGAGAGAAUAAACUAAUUGCUCUCCAGUGCCAGAGGGUAAACUAAUUCCCCGACACCCAUCUGUGUAAGCUCUCCAGCGCAAGAAUGCUACAUAGCUCAAAAUAUCAAAUGCUUGAAUAUCAGCUAGGCAGCAAAUGGUCAGGGGGCAGCAGCCACUUUUGCACUUAACACACUACAAAAAAAUGAGCACUGUGCACAAUAAAUUAUCUAUGCCCUUUGAGGCCAAAAAGCACCAACAAGUGUGCUCAUAGACCAAUAGCAACAGUGUAGCUACUAUCUUUGUGUUUGUGCCCUCUAUGGGCGUCACCAUUGGGCACAAUACUGAGUUCUGUGCUCAUGAUGUCAGCACAAAUAAAGGGUGUUUUGUGCCUAACAAAGUUGUCAGACUACCAUUUCCAGCCAUGUUGGCACUUAAAAUGUAAUUGUGCCUGCAUGAAUUAAAUAUUAAAAAAAUUCAUAAUUUGAAAAAUUGAAACUGAAAUUGAGGUUUUUUUUUUUCAUAAAAUGUAGAAAGCCUACAAUACAUUCUCAAUCUCACAAACAUAUAUUGUAAUGUUACAUAUUUCAUCUCUGUUUGUACCAUACUUGACCAAUCCCGAAACUACCGAGCACCGGCCAACGCUAUACUGUCAAGGACCCAGAAGAGUUCCCCUCCGACCAGGAGGCUAAUCACUACUCGACACGUGUCAAGAUUAGAAGCCAAUCAGAGCGCAGCACGUGUCAACAUCAAGAACCAAUCAUAACAUGACACAUGUCAAUGUGACAAAGCUACAAGUUUUUCUAUAAAUAGGGGUCAUUCCCCCACAAUAUUGCCGAAUGCCAUUUGUGUUAAAUCAUUCACAAGAACUCACUAAAUUGAGAACUUGAUCCUUUGUACUUGUGUAAGCCCUUCACUACUAAUAAGAACUCCUCUACUCCGUGGACGUAGCCAAUCUGGGUGAACCACGUACAUCCUGUGUUUGCUUCUCUGUCUCUAUUCAUUUACGUACUUAUCCUCACUAGUGACCGAAGCAACCAAGCGAAGGUCAUAAAACCUGACACUUUCUGUUGUACCAAAGUCUUCGCUGAUUUUGUGCAUCAACAUUUGGCGCCGUCUGUGGGAAACGACACUUAUUCCUACUCUCUUCAGCUGUGUCAAGCUGGUUUCUAUCAUUCGUACACUUUCUUUUGAUCAGGCAUCCUUCUCCAGCAUAGGAAGCGAAGGAAGCCACAGCACACAGAAUGACACCCCCCUUGCACAUAGUGCGAAACAACGAAAGAAGGAAGGAAAACGAGUUCUUCUUCAAGCUAAAGUCGAUGAGUUGGAAGCUCAGAACAACAAGAUAGCAAUGAGGAAUGAGGUCCUCCAGGAGCAAUAUGAGAAGCUCUUCGAGACACUUCACGAAGCUAGGCAAGCUCAGACACGCGAGCUUGUUGCCCCCGUGGAAGUCAACCAUCAACUGGGUGCCCUCCAACAUGGAGGGUCACAUGCAUUCGACAUAGAUAUCCCUGAUAGGGAACAAAUUACCCCUCGAUUUGAUAAUCAACAUGAGGCUUCUCUUAACCCAGUUGCUUCGACCCGAACCAUGAGAAGCGGAGGGAGACACCUCUUUGCUGAAGGGGCAGAAGGAUCGAAAGCCGUCUUUCGCGAUUGUCGGGAUUUCCUGAAGCAACGUCGAGAGAAUUCCAUCCAUAUAAGCUCAAAGAUCAAUGACCCAAGGAUUUCUGAGAGACUCGGUCCCCUGCCACGGCCCGAGCCGGCCACCAACUUUGGGGAAGGGGCAACAAGUCCUAGAGAGACAUGAGGGUACAGGGGACUCAGAGGUGUUCCGACAGACAUACCCUGGAAGCCAGUACAGCGAGUCCAGGGAAAAAUCACAUGCCCUUGAUCAAACCUUCCUAAUUCCAAGAGGAGAUGGAGAUUUACGAAAGAAAGCUCCAGUGGCACAUAACUCCGCUCAGGACCCCCUUGUCCUACAACUUCUUGAGGAAGUAAACAAGUUGAAGGCUGAACGUCAGGCUGAAAUACCUGACUGGAACCAACCCAGGCCUGGCCCUCUUACAAGGAGGAUCCUCAACACCCCCUUCAAGCAAAGACAAAGCAGAAGCUUGGCUUGCAACUUUAUACUGGGAAAGAGGACCCGAUUGAGCACCUUAACCUCUUUGAGUCCACCAUGGCAUACCGGAUGCACACCGACGAAGAGUGAUGUCUUCUCUUCCCCUCCACCCUCUCUGGCGGAGCUCUAAAUUGGUAUUGUCGUCUUACACCUGAGACGGUAGACUCAUUUGAGGAAUUGAGGAAACUAUUUGUUUCCCAACACAUUUUCCAAACCGAUCGCUUGCAAUCUGCAGAUGACCUGUACACUAUCCACCAGAAGCCAGACGAGUCAUUACGUAUGUAUGCUGGCCGCUUCAGCCAUGAAUACUCCCGGUGUGCCGAGGCAGACGACAAGACUGCCCUCAAAGCCUUCACGGCAGGCCUACGUGAUUGUUUCUUUAAAUACAUGAUCAAUGCCAAUACUUGGAAGACUUACUCUGAGGUGAUGGCGCAGGCUUAUAACCAUGCCUCCGCCGAGGCAAAGACAUAUCAGGAGAAACCCCCUACAACCAUCCUUUAUCAACAAGUGGGAGGUGGAAGCCAGACUCACCUAAAUGAGAAGACCUCGACUUUCCAAACAGCAGUGGCACCUCCCCAUGCCUUGCAUAAUGCUUCACCGAAUCAACAGACAUAUCAAUUUCAAGGCAAGAGGAAGGAUUUCCAUCCUCACCACUCUCCUUUCAGUAAAAAGAGUAAGGGACACUAUCCCGAUAACCAAGGGUAUCGCCACAAUAACGCUCGCCCCCAGGCAGUCAAUGCAGUGGGUCAAACCCGCGUCAAGAUACCCCCUACCCCAAGGUAUGAGACAUACACGCCCUUGAAUGCCACAUGCGCGGCCAUUUACCCCAGCAUAGCUCACCUGAUACCAAAGCCAAAGCCGAGGCACCCAGAUUACACGCCCCCGAAUAACGCGGGCAUGUUUUGUUGCUACCAUGAGCAUAACGGCCAUGAUAGCGAGAAAUGUAUCAUCCUCCGUGAUCGUAUUGAAGCUUUGGCACGAGAAGGAAAAUUUGAUCAAUUCCUUCUUCACCCUCAAAGGGAUAACCGUAACCAACGCCAGGUGAAUGUCAUAUAUUCCAUAAGCGGCGGCACACCCAUAUCUGAAUCUUCCAAUAGGGCCAUGAAAAACAGUGAACGAAGUCUGAGGCCUGGUCACCAAGUGUUUCACGUGGAAGACAUCAGGGGAGGGAAGUAUCAAAAACCUAACUGGGAUCCGAUAUGUUUCUACCCUGAGGAAGAAAGAGGCAUCAUCUACCCUCAUAACGACCCAUUGAUCGUGGAGGCUCACAUAGCCAACUUUGAUGUUCGACGAAUCCUCGUAGACACAGGGGCUUCGGUCAAUAUCAUGUUUGCCGAAGCUUUCAAGGGCACUCAGUGUAGCUGAACACUUGCUCGAUCGCUCGAUUUCUCCUCUGAUAAGCUUCUCCGGUGAUAUCGUGCAACCCUUAGGGAGCAUACAUUUACCCUUUACUAUUGGUACAGGCCCUUACACGGCUACCAUUACCACUAACUUCCUAGUGGUUGACUGCCCAACGGCAUACAAUGUCAUCUUUGGGCGCACAGGCAUCAAUGAUCUCAAGGCUAUGGUAUCCACGCAUAUGCUGUUGAUGAAAUUUCCAACCCCCCAUGGCAACGGCUACAUCAGAGGAGAUCAGCUUAGUGCACGAUCAUGUUACAACACUUCAGUUAAGCAACAACACUUGCCCGGACCCAAGGAAACCCUGUCUGUACAUGACCAAGUCACAAAGACCAGCCUAGAUGAAGCGAACUUGGAUCUUCCUGAUAGCAACAAUCAACCCGAUGAUGAUCCUCGAGAUGACUCUUUCACCCAGCAAGCCCAACCUGCUGAAGAGUUGGAGAAGGUACCUAUCUCAAGAGAUUAUCCAGAUCGCAUGGUGAAGAUUGGCACCACAUUGUCACCACCCCUUCGGUUAGCAUUGAUAUCUUUUUUGAAAGAGAACACUGAAGUCUUCGCCUGGUCAUACGAGGACAUGCCAGGCAUCUCUCCCGAUGUCAUCUGUCAUCGUUUGAGUAUUGACCCCAAGAUCAAGCCGGUGAGACAGAAGCGAAGAUCUUUAUGACGCUGAACGAUACGAGGCAAUGAAAGCAGAAGUUGAAAAACUCAAAGGCAUAGGCUUUGUCCGCGAAGUCAAUUACCCGACAUGGGUAGCAAAUGUGGUCCUUGUUAGGAAAAAUCCGACCAAAGAAAGUCUUUCGCUUCAAAAGGUCUUGUGGAGGAUGUGUGUUGACUACACCGACCUAAACAAAGGGUGUCCGAAAGAUAGUUUCCCUCUUCCUCUUAUUGACAGGCUUAUAGACUCUACGGCAGGGUGUGAGCUCUUGAGCUUUAUGGACGCUUAUUCAGGAUACAACCAAAUCCUCAUGAACCCCUCAGACCAAGAACACACGGCCUUCACUACUGACAGGGGACUAUAUUGCUAUAAAGUCAUGCCUUUCGGCCUAAAGAAUGCAGGAGCAACUUAUCAGAGACUGGUCAAUUCAAUGUUCGCCGAACAAAUUGGGAAGAACAUGGAAGUUUACGUUGAUGAUAUGCUAGUCAAAAGCAAACAUGCUGACCAACACAUCACCAACCUAUCUGAAACUUUCACCAUUCUAAAGAGGUAUCGAAUGAGGUUGAACCCCAACAAAUGUGCCUUCGGCGUGGGCUCUGGCAAAUUCUUAGGCUUCAUGAUUAGCCAACGAGGCAUUGAAGCUAACCCUGAAAAGAUCAAAGCAAUCCUCGACAUGAAAGAGCCAAUAACUUCAAAAGACAUCCAAAGCCUUACUGGCAAGGUGGCAGCCUUAACCAGAUUCAUCUCUAAGGCCACAGACAGAUGUGCUCCUUUCUUCAAAGCACUCAAGGGAAAUAAGAAGUACAUUACAUGGACGGAGGAAUGUGCCAAGGCAUUCAGGAACCUCAAAGAGUACAUGAGUAAAGCCCCUCUGCUCUCCAAACCAGAAGUUGGUGACACUCUCAUCAUCUAUCUAUAUCGGUUUCGGCUUCAGCAGUCAGUUCUGUUCUUAUUCGAAUGGACAGUGGUGUCGAACGGCCCGUCUACUACGCUAGCAAGGCCCUACAAGAUGCGGAGACACGAUACUCCAACAUUGAGAAAUUAGCUCUAGCAUUGGUCAUGUCUGCUCGGAAACUUCGCCCUUAUUUCCAAGCACACGCCAUCAUCGUGCUUACCAAUCACCCUCUUCGACAGAUACUCCAGAGUCCUGACACGUCUGGACGAAUGAUCAAAUGGGCGAUAGCAUUGGUUGAGUUUGACAUCUCCUACCAACCAAAACCAGCCGAAAAAGGUCAAGCAGUAGCAGAUUUCAUCGCCGACUUCACAUAUCCUGUUGACAUUGCUUCUACACCUGAAGCAGUAGCUUCAUUACCAUCGGAAGCUCAGAAAGUAGAAUCAACGACCUCAGCAUGGAGUCUGUAUGUUGAUGGCUCAUCCAACCAACAGGGCUGUGGAGCAGGACUAGUCUUGACUACGCCCGACAAAGUAGCAAUGGAGUAUGCUCUUCGUUUCAAAUUCAAGGCAUCAAACAAUGAGGCCGAGUAUGAAGCCCUUCUAGCAGGAUUACGUUUGGCCAAACACAUCGGGGUUAAACAAAUUGAUAUUUUCAGUGACUCCCAAUUAGUGGUCAACCAGGUUACCAACAACUUUGAUGCUAGGGACAGCUCCAUGGCAGCAUAUCUUGCGCAAACACAACUUUUGCUCAAGCACUUCCACUACCAGAUCACCCAAGUUCCUCGAGCGGCAAACAGUCAUGCAGACGCCCUGGCUCGCCUCGCCUCAGCUGUGGAAGACAAGAUUGGAAGAAAAAUUCAUGUCGAACUGUUGGCCAAGCACCAUGGUCGCAGAAGUAUGCAACUUACAACAGGGGGAUAGUUGGAUCACCCCGAUCUAUACUUUCCUUGCUCAUGGCACCCUCCCAAAUGAUAAAGUCCAGGCUAAGCAAAUUCGAUACAAGUCUACCCGCUACCUAAUCAUCAAUGAUCAACUCUAUAAGCGAGGUUUUAGCCUGCCAUACUUAAGGUGUCUUACGCCUGCCGAGGCGGAAAUCGUCUUUCGGGAAAUACAUGAGGGAGUCUGUGGAGAUCAUGCUGGAUCUCGGUCCCUAGCACACAAGACUUUUCGCCAAGGAUAUUACUGGCCAACACUCCACCAGGAUGCCAUCAAAGUAUCCCGCUCAUGUGACAAAUGUCAACGAUAUGCAACUAUUCCUCAUUCCCCUCCAGAGCCUCUUACUCCUAUGAUCAGCCCUUGGCCCUUCGCCCAGUGGGGACUUGAUUUGAUCGGCCCAAUGCCGGCAGGGAAGGGCAAAGUCUGUUACGCAGUCGUUGCAGUGGACUACUUCACAAAGUGGGCCGAAGUAGAACCCUUGGCAACCAUUACUGAGGCAAAGAUAGAAGACUUCGUGUGGAAGAACAUCCUUUGUAGAUUCGGCAUUCCCAAUGCGAUAGUCACUGACAAUGGGCGACAGUUUGACAACAAGAAGUUUAGGUUGUUCUGCUCUAAGUUCAACAUCAACUUAUGCUUUGCCUCUCCAGCUCAUCCCCAGUCUAAUGGACAAGUUGAGGCCAUCAACAAAAUAAUCAAGCGCACUUUGAAAACCAGCUUGGACAAAGCUAAAGGCUGUUGGCCAGAAUUUGUACCCCAAGUUCUUUGGUCAUAUCGCACUUCAUAUCGGACUUCAACAGGAGAAACUCCAUUCUCACUUGCCUUUGGCACAGAGGCGGUUGUCCCUGUUGAGCUCGAGCAAGCAACAUUCCGAGUCCAGAACUACAUUCAAAGUGAAAAUGACAAACAACUCACCCUCAACUUGGAUUUAGUCGAGGAACACAGAAACCAAGCUCACUUGAGGAAUGUCGCCUACAAGCAGCGCAUCUCGAACUAUUAUGACUCUAGGGUCAAGCCUCGUUCUUUCAAAAUAGGAGACUGGGUCUUAAAAAAAAGAUUACUCUGCGACAGAGUCCCGAGUGAAGGCACACUUAGUCCAAACUGGGAUGGACCGUAUGAAGUCAUUGGCAUCAGUCGCCCUGGCUCUUACACACUUAGAAGCUCCGAUGGCAAGACCCUUGGCCAUCCAUGGAACGCUGAUCACUUGAAGUACUACUACAAAUAGACUCACGAUGUACAAAUGUUGAGCUAUAGCCGUUCGGCAUCCUAUGUAAUGAAGGCCAUUUGGCAAUGAAUUCAAUAAAGAGGUAAUUUAGCCAACUCAGCCCUCACUCUUUUACAUUCAUAGCAAGCGAUGCCGGAACCCUUCUCAAUCAGAAAGCAAUCCGUCUUCCACAGUCACUACAAAACAAGCAAAUGAAGACCGUGUCAAGCGCAAAAAAAAAAAAAAAAAAAAAAAAAAAAAAAAAACAGCUUCAUCCAAAAAGCUUCACCCGAAAAGCUUCACCUCCAAAGCUUCACCCACAAAGCUUCACCUAAAAAGCUUCACCCAAAAAGCUUCACCCGAAAAGCUUCACCUAAAAAGCUUCACCCAACAAGCUUCACCCGAAAAGCUUCACCUCCAAAGCUUCACCCACAAAGCUUCACCUAAAAAGCUUCACCCACAAAGCUUCACCAAAAAAAAAACUUCACCCGAAAAGCUUCACUUAAAAAAGCUUCACCUACAAAGCUUCACCUAAAAAAUCUUCACCUAGAAAGCUCCCUCUACAUACUUUCACCAUCAAAGCUUCACCAUCAAAGCUUCACCUAGAAAGCUUCAACACCAAAGCUUCACCUACAAAGCUUCAACACAAAACCUUGCUCCAAAUAAACAAAUUUUGUUCACAAAACCCAAGAUGCCCUUGAACUUGUACAAAAACAUUUGGGUAAACAUAAACAUUUUUUGUUUUACACCCACAAGGGCCCAAAAUUUUCCUUCUUAUUUAUUCACUUAUAUAUGUUCCCAAACAUAUUAUAAUAGAUCCAACAACAAGCCAAAGUCCCAAGUUUCAUAAUGGACAAAAGUACAAGCAAUUCAUCAAUAAUGAAGGUGCUACAAAAAUUGGAAUCUGCCCCAAAAUAGAAAUCCAACCCAAGAGACUUUUUCUCUCUCUCCCUCUUCCGCCUCCUUUCAUCUAUCAAAUUUCUGCAACCUCUGCUCUUCUCCAAUGGAGCUGAAUUUUGGACACCCUAUAGUUCUUGAGCAUAUGAACAACUUUCAAGAAGGAACCAUUUCUGUUUGAGCGACGGAAAUUAAAGUGUUGAAGCUCCAAACAUGAUAGUCGGCUUCUUGCAGAUUUCGAAGCUGUUGUGAUGUUUCGAAGAUCUGGAAAUAUUUAACCGUUAUUUCAUCCUGAAUUUUUGAUAUGUUAUGAAAGAGUCGAUGAGGAACAACUUCAAUGAAGAAAGCAUACCGAUCUGAACAAGAGAAAAUGGAGUUUCGAAGCUCACAACAAAUCUGACGGGUUGACAGAAAAAUAAUAACCCGUCAUUCAUCAUACCUGGAUUUCUGGAGUUAUACUGCUCCGAGGGAUCUCAAAUUUGGAUAUGUUGUAGUUCACAAGCUGAGGAACAACUUCAAUGAAGAAAGCAUGCUGAUCGGAGCAAGAGAAAAUAGAGUUUCAAAGCUCACAACAAAUCUGACGGGUUGACAGACAAAUGAUAAACAGUCACUCAUCAUACCUGGAUUUCUGGAGUUAUACUGCUCCGAGGGACCUCAAAUUUGGAUAUGUUGUAGUUCACAAGUUAAGGAACAACUUCGAUGAAGAAAGUAUGUUGAUCUGAACAAGAGAAAAUGGAGUUUCGAAGCUCACAACAAGUCUGACGGAUUAACAGAACAUUGAUGAACAGUUACUCAUCAUACUUGAAUUUCUGAAGUUGUACUACUCCGAUGGAUCUCAAAUUUGGAUAUGUUGUAGUUCACAAGAUAAGGAAAAACUUUCAUGAAGACGACUUUGCAAUCUGAGCUAUAGAGAAAGGUGUUAUCUUGCAUCCACUCAGGCUGAUUAGUGGAAACGAAAAGCAAUUCCACCAAAGAAAAGAUGAAAAAGAGAGAAAAGCCACUAAUUGCACUUGAUCUUGUCUAGUCAAUAGCAUGCAACAUCAAACACACAAAAGUUGGAAAUAUUUUUAGAUAAAGCAUAUACGAAUGUGUGACAUCGAAACAAGAAUUCGUUACUUUGACAAAUUAGUAACACGCGAGACACCUCAUUCGGCAACUCUCUUCGCCUGAAGACUUGGGGGACUCCCACCAUAUGCUACUGCACCUUGAUACUCGGCAGUCUCACAACCACUCAGUGACUUGGAUUUUUCAAGUCUCCAACCGAGAAGUUUUCCUCACUCGGGAAAUUAAGGGAACACUACCUCAAACUACAUGCUUCACUCACAAAGCUUCAACAAUACAGGUUUCAACAAAAGCAAAAAUUCAAAGAACUUUAUGAAGAAGGCUUUGGUGUAUUUAACACAAUAUGUUGAAAUGAAGCAAAGCUUAUUUAUUAAUAUUUUCGAUAAGCCACAAAUAUGUACAUAUACAUGAGUCAAAAUAAACAAACAAAAGGGAGCCUUCACAAAGGUUGCUUAGGGGAAGUCUCAGCAGUCGGUAGAGCCCCAGAAAGAGAAAGCACCAGAGGGUGGUUAUCCGGAGCCUCAGUACUUGACAAAACCCCAAAAGGAGGAGGCAUUGGAGGUUCAUCAUUUGAAGCUUCAUUACCAGGUACAGCCCCAGAGGACGAAGGCAAUAAAUGCCUUUGGAACAAACCCACAAACCGCUGAUGAUCAAGUAAAACCUUACCAUCAGAUUCCUUCAUCUGGUCAAGCUUCCUCUUCAUGUUUGUAGCAUAGUCAUGGGCGAGCCGGUGCAACUGCUUAUUCUCAUGCUUGAGCCCUCUAAUCUCCUGUUUGAGACUCAUCACUUCAGCAGCCAAUGAUUCAACUUGGCGGGUUCUAGCAAAUAGGCGUUGGGCCAUAUUAGACACAGAAUCUGCACACUGAACACUAAGAGCCAAAGAGUCCUUAACAGCCAACUCAUCAGACCGUUUGGAAAGUAGUCUGUUAUCUUUGGGAGUGAGAAGGUUCCUGGCCACCACUGCAGCGGUCAUAUCAUUCUUCAUCACAGAAUCCCCAACGGUAAGAGGACCAGUAGGGGAUAUGAAGGAUGGGCGCCAUAUGUUGUCUGGAGAAGGCGUGGCUGUCUCUUCUCCAAGGUUCAAGUCAAAACGACUGUCGGAGGGUCCAGACAUUUUCAAAUGUGUUGAAGAGGGAAGAGGUCAGACAAAUCAAGAUCUUAGAAGUGCAAGAAAUGAGCUUCUACUGGUAGAGAUUCAAGUGUGCUGUGGAACUUAAUGCCAGCCUCUAUAAAAAUCUGCACUCGACGGAGCUUCAGAAAUCGAAGAGGCGUUUGCUUUCUCAAAAGCUGGACUGCUCAGAGACCACGAGGGCCGAUCUCAGAAAUCGAAGAGGCGUUUGCUUUCUCAAAAGCUGGGCUGCUCAGAGACCACGAGGGCCGAUCUCAGAAAUCGAAGAAGCACCUGCUUUUUCAGCCUCGUCAGCACCUGUCACAUGCACAAUCAGCUUUGCGGAAAUUACGGGCACUCUGUUGAAGAUUUCUGGUGAAGUAGAAAGCACGUGAAUCUUACUGAUCAAUCAUCGCUCUCCAUAUGCACCAUCAACUCCUCGGGUACCACAUAUAACUUUGUCAAAGAUCUCUGACAAAGUUUAGGCACGAGAAUUUCGAAGUUCCAGCUACCCUACUAUUACCCAUAAGGGUAAAGGAACAGCACCACUGCUUGACAACUGGAAAGUCCCUAUGUGUGUCGACCUCCGUGUUUUGCGGCAGGACAGGUUGGCAAGAACGUCCAACCUUUACUCACAUUCGAGAAAAGACUCCCAACAUAAUUACUUUCUCAAAAACCGGAGUAGCACCGCUUUCCGAAUCUCGAGAGUCAGAUCCUCGACGGGAUUGCUUGUUCGAAAACCGAAGAGGCACAACUCUCAGAACUUCGAGAGCCAGAUUUCCUUAGAUAAAGCUUGUCUGUAAUCUCCACACGUAAUAUAUCAGCUUUCCAGAUACCACAUACCACUUUUUCAAAGUGCUCUGACAAAAUUAAAACACGUGAAGCUGGCAGCUCCCACUACAUUGCUGUGACCAAGAAGGGUAAAGGAAUAGCAUUACUACUUGUUAUUGGGAAAUCCCUAUAUACAUUGACCUCCCUCCUCAACGGACAGGCAAACCUGCAAAAAUGCUCAACCCUUUCUCGCAUUCGAAAAGGCACCCUCAACAUAACCUCUCGAAAUACUCAGCUUUAUUUCCCCCCGAUAAUACCUCAGCAAAUAAGCCACACCAAGAACAAGAGUAUCUCAUAUCAUCAGGGUCGAAAGCAAGAGUAUCCCAUAUCAUGCUUUCUCCCUGUCUUUGUCUUUGUCCUUGUCCACACCUGCAGGACAAGGAGAAAGAGAGCAGUCAGUCGGAACCUGAAAUCAAACCUCCAAUUUGGAACUGACUGCCUGGAGCCUUUGCCUGGUUGCUUACUUAGCAUUGCUCUCGAGUACUCAUCCUCAACUGCUGUCAAGGUCACGAAUUCCACCGGCAAAUACCUCAUGACAGUUGAUCAGAUAUUGGCUCUUUACACUGAAGCUGCCAAGCGUGGAUGAGUCACUAUGAAGGAAUGUUCUGAAGGACCAUUUAAAUGCAAAGGUUGCACACCACUUCUGCCAUGCAAAAGAUUGAAGCAGAAGGUUCAACGGUGAGCUGAAACAGAUCACUACAGCACGACACAUUUCCAUACCACAUUCAUUAUUCCGUCAACAGCAAAAGUAUCCCAUAUCAUCAAGGUCGAACGUACUCUAGAUUUGAUGGACUUGUUUUGACCCUCAAAUUUUUGAGUCGGCCUUAUACUCUGAAGGGCACCAGAAAACCCUCCAGCACAGUUCAAGAAUAAGCCUGUGGAAAGUUACUUCUUCAAAAGCAAAAGUAUCUCAUAUCAUCUCUUAUCCAUUUGCUUCUCCUUAUCCUGGCAGUUGAAUGAGAGACAAGGAGAAUGAGAACAAUCAACCGGAAGCCGAAGUCAAACCUCUGAUCCUGGGUUGCUUACUUGGAAGUUUGACUGCUUACCUUGUCUGUCACCUCUUUCGGCAGAUCUCCUAGCUCGGCGACUUGGGGGACUCCUACUAUAGGGUUUGUAUCACACUUGACUAAGCCCGAAACUACAACUAAGCUUCAAGUGAAAUUGAUACAUUACCUUGUGCGUCAACAUCAGCUAAAUACACCAUUCCCGGAUGAAGGAAAGGUACUUCCAGAGAAGGGCAGAUGAAGAUCAGACCACACUUCGGUACUUAGAAGUUUCGUGAUUACUCAAGGGAUUGGAUCUUGCAAGUCCCCAACCGAGGAGUUUCCCUCACUCGGGAACUUAGGGGAGCACUGUUUGUACCAUACUUGACCAAUCCCGAAACUACCGAGCACCGGCCAACGCUAUACUGUCAAGGACCCAGAAGAGUUCCCCUCCGACCAGGAGGCCAAUCACUACUGACACGUGUUAAGAUUAGAAGCCAAUCAGAGUGCAGCACGUGUCAACAUCAAGAACCAAUCAUAACAUGACACAUGUCAAUGUGACAAAGCUACAAGUUUUUCUAUAAAUAGGGGUCAUUCCCCCACAAUAUUGUCGAAUGCCAUUUGUGUUAAAUCAUUCACAAGAACUCACUAAAUUGAGAGCUUGAUCCUUUGUACUUGUGUAAGCCCUUCACUACUAAUAAGAACUCCUCUACUCCGUGGACGUAGCCAAUCUGGGUGAACCACGUACAUCCUGUGUUUGCUUCUCUGUCUCUAUUCAUUUACGUACUUAUCCUCACUAGUGACCGAAGCAACCAAGCGAAGGUCAUAAAACCUGACACUUUCUGUUGUACCAAAGUCUUCGCUGAUUUUGUGCAUCAACAAUCUCUAAUGCAAAAAGAACUUGAAAGCAGACAUUUUUGGACAGAUGCAUCUUCCCCAGCAAGCCUUGCACCUCAUCAAAUCUCUGCUGCUCCAUAAAUGAAUUAAUGAAGAUGAUCAUCAAGAGAAGAUCUUCCAUUUCUGUUUAAGUAUUCCUUCAAAUAGUUUUUCCCUAUCCUCCUACACAACAACAUUAGUAAACUCAAUAAUUUAAUGAUUAUAGUAAUGUAAAACAAGAUAAUUUUAAUACAUAAGAAUAGAACCUCCAACAAUAUGCAAUUGAAAUAUAAGUUUUUCCACUAUAAGAACAUCACCGUACCUUGAAAUUCUGGACAUCAGUAAGUGGAUAAGCAAGACAAAAGUUGGUACUUACAACAACAAAAGUUGAUAAUUAUCCUAAAUAAUGUCAUUUUGGCCUACAAGAGAUCGCAAACCAAGUCACAUUUUCACCAAGGAUGGGAAGUUCAUGAGUUGGAGGGCAAACAUAUUUCAUAGUGGUCAGAGAAAGUAAACUUCAGAAAGAAAAAGAAAUGUGCAAGGUUUUGAGAGGAUAGAUGUACACAUGUCUCACCUGGCUUGCAACAAGGAGAACUGCAUUGGCAUUUUCUUUCUUGUAAUUUAUCUAAAUGUGUUUUUGUCACCAUUGCAACCCGAUCAAUGUAUGGCUCGGUAUAUUUCUUAGCUUCCUGCAAUAACACAGAAAUGCCAUAAGAAAGAAUUCCAUCCACCAAAUCCAUAUAUUUAAAAAGUUCGCUUGAGGGGCUCACCUGAAUGUAAGGAUCUGCCAUAUUUUGUGCCUUGAAAACAAGUGGUCAUAUAGAACUCUUUGAUGAACGAUAUACAUCAACAGUUUUUGUAGUGACUAAUCAAAUGUUUGGUUCAAGAUAGGCUUUGAAUUCCAAAGACUGUUUCUUCAACCUUGGGAUCCAGUUCUUCAAAUUAAAAGAGGAAGAAUUAGAAAGGUUGCCAACUUGGUUCAAUAUCUCAAAUAGAAAAGUUGAAUGUACACUAAUUGUUCAGAAAAGAGGAAGAUGUCAAACACCAAAGCUGAGUCUAAUGACUUCAGAAUUUAUUAGUAAGAUAGGCUCUUGCUGCUUUAUGUUCCUCUUCAGAACUCGAGUUUUGAAACUCAAAUUUUGCCACUUAAUCCCAUAAAACGCAACUUGUGUCUCACUUUGUAUUUUGUAUUAUAUGAAGAAGAGUUGGGGAUAACAUAUUGUUCUGAUUCUUUCAACGAUGAUCCCAGCCCAACCCUUACCAUGAGCUUUCAUUUUUAAGGCCUGAGGACAAACAAAUAAAUGAAUACUUGGCUAUUCCAGUUUAUUCACCUGGCAAGUGAACAUCUUUAUUGGAGAAGUUUAACGAAUAAAGUUUGGAAUAUCAGACACACCUUUUCAAUUCCCAGAUUGAAGGCUGGUCUUCCAAGCUCAUUCCAGUAAGUCACAAUGUACGUCUGCACAUAAAUAUUGUGUCAUGAAAUUAGACUGACAUUGUUAUCCAACUAAUCUGCGUGGAUUUACCUGAAAAUAAUCUACAUGAACUCCAAAUGUAUGUGGAAGCCAUCCUCCAUGGACCUGAUCAUGGGUCAUAGCAGGAUUUAACUAUUGGCAGUAUGGUGAACUUAAUUUUAAAGUACUUGUAAAUGGUAACAAGAACAUGAUACGCUUCACUGUUAUUCAAGCUUAAAAGUUUGCAUAUGAUUAAUAAGAGAUGGGGCCAUAACAGAAUCCACCUUUAGGCAAUUGAUAAAUUUACUAAUUGACUAGUCUCACUAAACGAGGUAAAGACACAAGAAUUAAACCUAAAGUGAUAACAACAACGUUACCAACAACAGCAGGCAUUAGAAAAUUAUAGCAUUACCAUUUCCUUACCUUAGUCAAAUCUUCAAAUAUCGAAGAAAUCCCAAACUUCUCCUUCACCAUUUCUUUCUGAGAUAUCAAAAAAAUUAAUACCAUAUAGCAAUUGAUAGUUUCAGGUAGCAAAUAAACGGACAACAAACCUCUGCAACUUGAAGAUCAUGUUCAGUUUUCCGAAUUCCAGUCUUUUGUUCAUCAUUUACUUUUCAAAGCUGAAAAAGAAUAGAAAGAGAGAUUAAAUUGGCCAAUUAAAUUACACUAAAGUCUGCUUUUACAAAGAAAUUUUGCACCCAUGGAAAAUUAAACUUGAUUACAGAUUGUCUAGUUGUAUACACCAUGUAGGACCUUGACCGCAGAACUCCACAAUGAAGGGAUAUCUGAUCUACAACUCCAUAGAUAUUUAAAAGCUUUCAGAACUAAUCAAAACAAUUCAAAAUAACAUCAAAUCCUACGAGAAAACAGCUUCUCUUAAAAACACGCGAUUACUAAAAGAAAUAAUAUUGUAUAUCCAUGGCACCUGAACAACCAACACAUGUUUACAAGUAUACAAUUGUACUUUAAAAAUGAAAGGAGAUAAAGAUGAAAGCACUAAUCAUCCUCUUCCUCUUCUCUUACCUCUCAUUCUCUCCCUCCUCAUUCCAAGUCGCCGACUCCCAAUUCGAAGGCUACGGGACGAAAUAAAUGAGGACAACGACGACUACUCCUCACUCCCUCUUUCAACUCGCACCCGCCUUUUCCUCACCACCGCCUCCCAACCCGACUCACCUUCUGAUCUCUCCCUACCAGACCCGAUUCCCAACCUGAUUCCCGAUUCCCGAUUCGGACUCACCAUGUAUCCAUCUUCCCAAACCUUCCUUCACCAGCUUCGUGUAUUGGGAUGAAGAUGAGUUCGAAUGCCUCCCACUCCAACCCUAGAAAAUGCCCCUCAAUGACCCUGCAGUUACCAAAACUGCGAUUACCUCCUCCGAUUCCGAUUAUGAUUCCAAACUCUCCACCGAUCCCAACACCCCGCCGCUCCGAGAUCCUUUCUUGUGGAGAUCGUGUGCGGAGGGUUCCUACCAAGGUUUUCUGGCAACGAUGGAACUCAAGAGCCUCCACGAUUUGAUCUGGGGAAGGUAGUGAGAGAAAGGAGGUUGGAGAGAGAGAGAGAGUCUAAGGGAGGCAGAGAGAGAGAUGAGAGAACGGGAAGGAAGGGGUGCGGUGUGGGUGGGUUUAGGGGAGAGAGAGAAAAUGGGGUCUGGGGCCACAAGUAUAUGACAAAUAAUAAAAAACAAAUAAUUGUGCCUAGACCUGGCAGUUUUUGACACGACACAGUGACACGAUACGAAAAUAACAUGAAAAUAACGGGUUUCGGGUCAACACGAUAACUUAUUAGGUCAUUAUCGGGUGACCCGUUAAGAACCCAUUAAUAACGGGUUCUUAACAGGUAUACAUGCGAGUAACACGUGGGUAACCAGUUUCGACCCGUUAAGAAAAAAAUUAUUUUAAUAAUUUUAAAGUUUAAUUACUAAAAGAUUUAUUAUAAAAUACAAUAGUCAUAUUAAUAUAUACAAUAUAUUCUAUAUUAAAUAUAUAGUUUUGUAUUAUUGUUCUAUAUAAAUUAUAAAAAAAUUUAAAAAAAAGUUUUAGUCAUUAUUUAUUUUUAUUAUGAGAGUUCCUUAUUAUCAUUACUAAGAUAAAUUUUACAUACCAUAUUCUUGUCCAAAAUUAAAAUAUACUAGUAUAGUAUUUGUAUAUGCAAGAACUAAGAAGACAUACAUACAAGUAUGAAAAAUGUGAAAGAAUAUAUAAACACUCGUGAUUUAUCAUCAUUCCUCCACGAAUAGAUCAUUGUUACACUUAUAUUAUCGUUUAGAUUUUUAAAAUCCUUCAAACCCUCAUGAAUAAUGUUUUUUAUUUGAGGGAAAAAUUAAUAAAAUUAAUAAUAAUUAUUGUAGAAGUGUAAAAAAUGUAAAAAUAUAUAUAUACAAUCACUCAUAUAUAAAAAAAAUGUAAAUGCUUUAAAUUAAAGAUCAAAUUUAUUCAUUACAUUCUUAUAAGGUCGAGGAGUGUAUAUGUACAAAAUCAUCAAAAUCGAAGCUAAAAUAACCGUUAAAUUGUGAUUUUUCGUUUAUAACCGUCAACAACUUUUGUUCCGUUACGUAAUCUCUGAAUGUUUGUUUUUUACAAUUUUUUACGUUUGCAAUCUCGGAAUGUGUACAAAUAAGUUUGACGGUUUGAUCGUUGAAAAAAGUUUCGUAGAAUGCAUAUUGCAUCAAAACGGUAUAUUAAACAAACACUUAGGGUUAAUAUUAUACUUCUAUUAAGUAUAAAAUAAGUUUUUGUGGUAUCCACUAGUGUAAAUACUUUAAAUUAAAGAUCAAUUUAUUCAUUACAUUCUUAUAGGGUCGAGGAGUGUAUUUGUAAAAAAUCAUCAAAAUCGGAGCUUAAAUAACCGUUAAAUUGUGAUUUUUCGUUUAUAACCGUCAAAAUCUUUUGUUCCGUUACGUAAUCUCUGAAUGUUUGUUUUUUAUGAUUUUUUACGUAUGCGAUCUCGGAAUGUCUACAAAUAAGUUUGACGGUUGGAUCGUUGAAAAAAGUUUUGUAGAAUGCAUAUUGCGUCAAAACAGUAGAUUAAACAAACACUUAGAGUUAAUUUUAUACUUCUAUUAAGUAUAAAAUAAGUUUUUGUGGUAUCCACUAGUGUAAAUACUUUAAAUUAAAGAUCAAAUGUAUUCAUUACAUUCUUAUAUGGUCGAGGAGUGUAUCUGUAAAAAAAUCAUCAAAAUCGGAGUUAAAAUAACCGUUAAAUUGUGAUUUUUCGUUUAUAACCGUCGAAAACUUUUGUUCCGUUACAUAAUCUCUGAAUGUUUGUUUUUUACGAUUUUUUACGUGUGCAAUCUCGAAAUGUGUACAAAUAAGUUUGAGAGUUGGAUCGUUGAAAAAAGUUUCGUAGAAUGCAUAUUGAGUCAAAAUAGUAGAUUAAACAAACACUUAAAGUUAAUAUUAUACUUCAAUUAAGUAUAAAAAAACACUAGUGUAAAUACUUUAAAUUAAAGAUCAAAUUUAUUCAUUACAUUCUUAUAGGGUCAAGGAGUGUAUCUGUAAAAAAAUCAUCAAAAUCGGAGCUCAAAUAAUCGUUAAAUUUUGAUUUUUCGUUUAUAAUCGUCGAAAACUUUUGUUCCGUUACGUAAUCUCUGAAUGUUUGUUUUUUAUGAUUUUUUACGUAUGCGAUCUCAGAAUGUGUAAAAAUAAGUUUGACGGUUGGAUCGUUGAAAAAAGUUUUGUAGAAUGCAUAUUGCGUCAAAACAGUAGAUUAAACAAACACUUAAGAGUUAAUUAAUCUAUUAAGUAUAAAAUAAGUUUUUGUGGUAUCCACUAGUGUAAAUACUUUAAAUUAAAGAUCAAAUUUAUUCAUUACAUUCUUAUAGGUCGAGGAGUCUAUCUGUAAAAAAUCAUCAAAAUCGGAGAUAAAAUAACCGUUAAAUUGUGAUUUUUCGUUUAUAACCGUCAAAAACUUUUGUGCCAUUACGUAAUCUCUGAAUGUUUGUUUUUUACGAUUUUUUACGUAUGUGAUCUCGAAAUGUGUACAAAAAGUUUGACGGUUGGAUCAUUAAAAAAAGUUUCGUAGAAUCCAUAUUGCAUCAAAACGGUAGAUUAAACAAACACUUAGAGUUAAUAUUAUACUUCUAUUAAGUAUAAAAUAAGUUUUGUGGUAUCCAUAGUGUAAAUACUUUAAAUUAAAGAUCAAAUUUAUUCAUUACAUUCUUAUAGGGUCGAGGAGUGUAUAUGUAAAAAAUCAUCAAAAUUGGAGCUCAAAUAACCGUUAAAUUAUGAUUUUUCGUUUAUAACCGUCAACAACUUUUGUUACGUUACGUAAUCUCUGAAUGUUUGUUUUUUAUGAUUUUUUACGUAUGCGAUCUCGGAAUGUGUACAAAUAAGUUUGACGGUUGGAUCAUUGAAAAAAGUUUUGUAGAAUGCAUAUUGCGUCAAAACAGUAGAUUAAACAAACACUUAGAGUUAAUAUUAUAUUUCUAUUAAGUAUAAAAUAAGUUUUUGUGGUAUCCACUAGUGUAAAUACUUUAAAUUAAAUAUCAAAUUUAUUCAUUACAUUCUUAUAGGUCGAGGAGUCUAUCUGUAAAAAAUCAUCAAAAUCGGAGAUAAAAUAACCGUUAAAUUAUGAUUUUUCGUUUACAACCGUCGAAAACUUUUGUUCCGUUACGUAAUCUCUGAAUGUUUGUUUUUUACGGUAUUUUACGUAUGCGAUCUCGGAAUGUGUACAAAUAAGUUUGACAGUUGGAUCGUUGAAAAAAGUUUCGUAGAAUGCAUAUUGCGUCAAAACGGUAGAUUAAACAAACACUUAGAGUUAAUAUUAUACUUCUAUUAAGUAUAAAAUAAGUUUUUGUGGUAUCCACUAGUGUAAAUACUUUAAAUUAAAGAUCAAAUUUAUUCAUUACAUUCUUAUAGGGUCGAGGAGUGUAUCUGUAAAAAAUCAUCAAAAUCGAAGCUAAAAUAACCGUUAAAUUGUGAUUUUUCGUUUAUAACCGUCGAUAACUUUUGUUCCGUUACGUAAUCUCUGAAUGUUUUUUUUUUACAAUUUUUUACGUAUGCAAUCUUGGAAUGUGUACAAAUACGUUUGACGGUUGGAUCGUUGAAAGAAGUUUUUGGACAGCCAGCAAUAGAUAAUUUUGUAGUAGUGAAACCUUAAAUUUAGUUAACCGUCGAUUGUCAUUUACGCUUUAUUCUUAUUACUGAAUUUCAUUUUUAAAAUUUUAUUUUUAGAAAACAUGAUCAUCUGCGCGGAUGUAAGAAGAUGAUAUCACGUUUCGAUAUUUACGGUUAACUGAAAUAUGAGUCAAUGUCAUAUAAUUUGUAGAAACUUUAUAAACAUCAAGCAAUAUUUUCACUAACCAUAAAACCCUAAAUAUAAUAUCAAUGAUCCAAACCAUUCAUCUACCUGCACCCUCUAAUAGAUCAUGUUUUCAAAAAAGAAAAUCUAAAAAAACGAAAUUUGAUGAGAACAAUGAAGCAUAAAUGUAAACAACAAUCAACGGUUAAAUUUUGAUCUAUGAUUUAUAUGAUUAUAGUGGCGAAUUUCGAAGUUAAGCUCUUCAUGAAAGUUAUAAAACUUGUCAUUACGAGUGUUUAUAUAUUUUUUUCUAUAUUUUUUUACACUUCUACAUUAAUUAAAAAACUAUUAAAGACUUUAGGUAAACGAAAAUAUACUUAAAACAAAAUUGCGUUUUUAUGUUUUUGAUGUGAUAAUAUGGAAUGUAUAUACUUAUUUAGUAUUAUGUUUUCAUUUGAUUAUUUAUUGGUUUAAAAUAUAUUUUCCUUAACGGGUAACGGGUCGGGUCAUAUUACCUGUUAAUAUUAUCGGGUCGAUUUCGGGUCGGGUCAUUUUACCCGUUUAUUUUAACAGGUGUUAUGAUGAGUAGAUUUUAUAUUAUAUAUUUUACCCUAAUCUUUGUAUAUUUUGGUUAAUAUUUUGGAAGAAUUUUGAUACUUUGAAUUGUAUUUUCAAUAUAGGACUUUGGAUUUCCUCUGGAGAAAAACAGGACCAAAUGGACGAAUUUUGGAGUAAUUCUAGUUGGAGAACGUUCAUGAGUCACUUAGCUUAAUCGUAUCAAAAUUUUGGAUUUUUCCACCAAGCGGUUAUUUUCUGGCGAUAAAAUAAAGAAGCAGUGCGCAGUGCUGGAAAAUGGCGUUUUUGGGCUUAAAUUGCAUUUUUGGAGCCCAAGAUGACCUCGAAUGGGUUCGUGGCCUUCUGGAGAAGUGUUCAGAAUAUUCCAAACAUUAAAUCCAGCUAUAUUGGGCCAUUUUUGGAGCAGCUUAUGGGCCAAAACGUGGCUGUUCAGAUUUUAGACGAAUUUUAUCAUUUAAUUUAGGGUUAUGUUUCCUAGGGUUUGUGUGGAGGCUUAGCAGAUAUAUUGCUUGGCCGUCUACAGUUUUUGGGGACAAUAUUUUUUUUAUGCAAUUUUGGAGACAGAGAGAAGUGCUAGGGUUUUGGAGAUUUUCUACUUGAAGGUGUUUUCAAUCCUUUUCUUAAGAAUAUUUUCUAUGAUUUCAAUUAUGAGUAUGCGUAACUAAUUCCUUUUGCUAGGGCGAAGCCUUGAGCCUUAGCAUGAAUAUGUGAUUUUUAUUUAAUUGCUUAUGAUUGAUUGCAUGCAUACUUUGAAUUGUUAAUCACCGGGAUAAAAAGUAUCUAAUUGCUUUAAUGGCUGAUCACCAUUAGGAUCUUUAGAAAAGUAAUUUGAUGCAAUUUUGGUCAGAAGGUUCCCUGAAAUUGACGCUGGCUUCUUGUGAUUAAUAAUUGUAAUUUCGCUUAGGAUGAAUAUCACGUCUUAAGGAUUGCAUGGUUUUUCAAAGGAUUUUCAUAAAGCGUAAUGAGUCUUUCAUGUUCAGAUUUGAUCCGAACGUCCGGACGGGUUGCAUGUUAGAUAUACGUUAUAUGUUGGAGGUUCCAAGUAGAAUAUGAAUUAGGAAAAUCUAACCUUCAAAGUGGCAUGUGUAGAUUAUAAGUAAUUGGUAAAAAUUCAUAGGAUUGCUAGGUGAUGGUGGAACCCUAGUGUUUUCUUAAUUUGAUUCUCCCAAAACUGUUUUCUUCUCUCUAGCUCUAAUAUUGCAGAUUGUUUAUUUUAAUUCAUUAAUUUCGUUUUUAUUUUAAUUAGGUUAUAAAAUCAAUCACCUAAACUUCUACUUUACAAUAAUUAAAUGGAAUCUGAUUAGUUUUGAAUUAUUUAAUAAUCCAUGUGGAGACGACCUUGCGAGAUCCGUUUAUACUACAAUAACUUCGUGAUUCUUGCAAGUAAAAUAGGAGAAUUAAGCCCGUUCACAUGAGUAGUAAAAAUCCUAUCAAGAAAAUGGCGCCGUUGCCGGGGAUCGAACCCGGGUCACCCAAGACAACUAGCUAAAACUCAACCAUGACAAAACUUCCACCUUCAAGUUGGCAAUCCAUAGCAAAUUUAAAAAACUAGAACAUUUUCAAAAGUUCCAACCAAUCCCACCACAGAGUCUAAACCAUUUAGAAUCAAUUAGAAAGGAAUUCACAAACUUCAUUUGGUGUAAAGUGAACCACAUAGUUAAAGGGACUCGACUAAAACCCUUACCUCUAGUCUUUCUUUAUUUCACACAUACUAACUUUAAAUAUAACUCUCUUUCUUUUUUUUCUUUUUCAAUUAUUUUUUCUCUUUUUUUUUCAUAUAUAACAUUUUUUUUUCAAUAACAGUAGUGGUCGUGCAAUGUUGGUUCACUUAAGCUUUCGAUCCAACCCAUGUAGCGAGCUUUAGGUCAAUGACACCCAAACCACUAGGGCUUUAGGGCACUAGGUGUAGAACACCCCUAAGGACUUAUUAACUCGAACUGAAAAGGCUACGAAACCAACUAACCAUCCUGCCCCAUGCCAAAACUCUACCGUUUGACGCGAGAAUCACUGCUGAUUAGGCAGGACUGGCCCGGUUACUAGGCAAAACCUCGGGUGAGACAAUUAUUACUUUAUUCACAAUAAUAACUGACUUUACUUAAAACAAAAAUUAAAAAUAAACUUAGACUAAAAGCAAGUGUUUCAAUCUCACUCCCCACAAACCAUGUUGGUGUGAUGUGCAAAGUUCAAAGUAUAAUUCAUGAAUUAGUGUCUAAGCAACGAUAAAUAGAAAAGACUCUACUGUGGGAUUAAUCUUCACCAUGUCCAUUUGUUCCAACAUUUAAAAUAAUCUAUGGAUAUUAACUUAAGAAGAAUGAAAAUUUUAUCCUGACACAAAAAUUAAAAAAAACUAAAAUUUACUUUCCCACCCCCAAACUUAUUUCACACGUUGUCCUCAAGGGUGUGGAAACAAAAAGAAAACUAAAAAAACAAAAGAAUAAAACACAAAAACUCUAGUGGACACUUUAAAAAAAACGACAACACUAUAAGAAGAAAUAAAAAAAUAACAAAUAAAAUAACAAAUAAAAUAAAAAUCAAAGAAAGAAAAACACCUGGCAAGUAUGUCAGCCCACUCGCAAAGGAACAUUGGAUUCCUUUCUUUGAAAGGCAUGCAAUUGGCAUGCCAUGUGAAAAGUGGCGUGCAGCUGGCAUCAGUCUACUGUCUCUGUCAGUCAUCAAACAUAGAGCCCAAACGGCUCUCUCCCCUCUCUUCAAACCCUGUCCUAGGGAAAGAAAAGGUCCAUAGGAUGCGCCCACUUGUCAUGCAUCAGAAAGAGAAGGUCCAUAGGAUUCUAAAUCAAGGGUUAAGAUCAACCCCAUAUGCCCAUCUAACUCUCUCUAGAAAGUCUAAAAAUGCUUUUACUCUCUCCAUUUCAAAGCAAGUCCUUCUGCCUCCAAUUUAUUUUUUUCGCAUUUCUCUCGGAUCCCAUGUCUCUGCUCUCUCUCCUUCAUGGCUUCUCAGACCCCAUUUCUCUAUAAAAUAAAUAAUACCUUUUCCCCCCACAUUUUUCCCUCAUUUCCACAGUUGCUUCUUCAUAUUCGCUAAACGUGGCAUCCGUGCUGCAACCAACAGCCCAGCUAUCUACACACCUCCGUGUUUCUCGAACACAACCAUGGUGACAGGAGUGGAAAAACUGAUAGGCAGGAAGGUAAAUCCCUGCUCAAAUCUUGUGGAUUUCCUGUUCAGAUUUAUGUGUUUUAGAGAACUGGAACAAAAACUAACACAUGCAUGUGGUUUUAUCAGUGUGACGACCCCUAAUGGUUUCAAAUCCAAGACAACAACACAAGAACACACCCUGAGUCGCCAGCUCUGCUCAACCAAGGAUCUGCAAAUGUUGAGGUAAAACCCGUAACCCUUUCGAUGGAUUGACGCUUAUCUGAUAUUUGAAUAAUAUAACCACUGAUGGGACUGAAAAAUGACACUUAAAUCCAGCGUAUAACCGAGAGAAAACAAGCUUAAGUUGCCGGUCUAAUGGUCCCAGAACGCAAACUAAACGGCAAAUGUCUCGACCGCUGCAAAUCAUGAAGGUAAAGAUCUCGUUCUUUUGCAGUUGCUAAACUCAACAUUUACAUGUUCAACGACAGUUCAUUAUAAUGCCAUAUUUAACCUGUGUGUACUCAUAUUUUCGCUCUUUAUGAAGGGGUAUACGAAUCCAUGAUAGAGCCAAAGAAACAGAAGUAAACACACAAGUUCAAUGGAUGAAAACAGCACAGGCCGCAUGACCCAGAUCGGUGCAUCUGGGAGGUAAAAUUCGAAUCCCUGCAAGUGUAGUUGUUGUAGAUAUGGUAAUAAUAAUAGUUGUACUCAGUUCUGUGGUGUACGGAUCUGUGAUUUAAUUGUGCUUCCUCCAUGCAUCGCAAAACUGAGCUGCAGAAAAUUAACUGCUCUAAAUUAUGUUUCUGUGCUGGAUCUGCAACAAUCUCCCCCAAACUUGCAUCUGUGAAUGUCUUGUUAUGUUGACUGCUUUAAAUUUCCAGCAUAGUGUAGAUGUGGUUGAUGUGAACGUUAGACUUGCUGCUGGGUGCAAGAUUCCAGCAUAGGACGCGCUUUAUUUUCCACGUUCGCAACCUGCAAUUAACCAAUAUGCGUAUAUUAAAAAAGGAGCUAAAAUCAACAUGCGUAAAUGAAGAAAGCGACAUAUUUUUGAAUUUUUCAUGGUCUUUUUAUUUUUUUUGUUUUUGUUUUUGUUUUUGUUUUUUUAGUUUUUUGUUUUUUGAAAACUUAGGUCUAUAUAUAUGCAUCUAGAAUUUAAACUUAUAAUAAAAAAAAUCAAACAAAAAAAAAAAAAUAAGGAAAGAGUUUAGAAAAAUUGGGUUGCCUCCCAACAAGCGCUUUAUUUUAAGUCUGUAACUAGACGUUGCAGAACUCCGGUGGCUAGAUCACUGGUGCCUUCAGAGUCAAAGACUCGCUUUCACCAAAUUUCCCUAUGCAUGGUUUUAGUUGAUAUUUCUUGACCUUGAGCAAACAACCCCUGCCCAAAAUGAUGGGUGUUGUCAAAUCCUCAUCCAUGUCCAACACCAUAAAAUCAGCUGGUAAAUAUAAGUUGUCAACCUUCACAAUAACAUCUUCAAUGACUCCUCUAGGAUAGGUAAUUGAACGGUCAGCCAAUUGAAUAAUACUGGAGGUUGGCUUCAGCUCUCCUUCACCUAAACGUUUAAAAACAGAAUAAGGCAUUAAGUUUACACUUGCACCUAAAUCAGUUAAAGCACUUUUAAAAUCAGAAUUGCCAAUAGUACAAGAGAUAGUAAAACUCCCUGGAUCUUUUUUCUUUGGAGGCAAUUUAUGCAAUAAGACCGCACUGCAUUGUUCUGUUAAAAUUACUUUUUCGGAAUCCACAAGCUUCUUUUUCUUUGUACAAACGUGCUUCAAAAACUUGGCAUAAGAUGGAAUGUUCUUGAUUGCAUCAAUUAAUGGAAGAUUAAUUUGAACUUUAGCCAAAGUCUUCAAGAAAUCUGUCAACUGUUGAUCUUUAGCUUUAGGCUUCAACCUUUCGGGAUAAGGCAUAGGAGGCUCAUAACACGUUCUGCAGUUUUUGUGGUAGCUUAUGCAGUAUUUUCGGAUCUGUCUUGGGGCUGCCCAGAAUCUGCAGAAAUUGCAGAAUCUGCAAAAAUUUCAGAUUUAGUUUGGGGAUGUUCUGCUGCCCGCGAAUUUCCAGCGGAUUUUUCAUUUCUAUUGUAACUUUUGCCAGACCGUAAAGUUCGUAUAGCAUUGCAUUCUUCUCGUCCUCUUAGAUUAGGUACUGUUUGACUAGGAAAUGUACCCGGUGCUCUUUCUGAAACCUGCAAAGCAAUCUGUCCCAUUUGUUUUUCCAUGUUUUUCAUUGCUGCCUGUAUAUUUUGAAUUUCUUGAGUGGUAGUAUUUGCCAAUUUUUCAAUUGCAACCUCCCAAGCAACCUUAGGUGCAGCAGGUUGCUGUUCCUGCUGUUGAAAUUGAGGCCUAGAGUGCUGGUCUUUGUCCCACCUUAGAUUUGGCUAAUCUUUCAAACCUGGGUUGUAGAAAUUAGAAUACGGGUCAUAUCUAGGACGCUGGAAAUUGUUAAAUGAAUUAACCUGCUCCACUAUAAACUCCGGAUAAGCAUCUUUAUGUGGACAACUCAAAAAAUCAUGAUUUGUCAAGCUGCAAAUGCUGCAGGCAGCUUGUAAAGGCUGCUGUACAGCAACCUGUGAACCCGAAAUUCUUUGUAAUAACAUGUCAAAUUUUGCAUCAAAUCUUUCAAGCUUUUUCUCCAUUUUUUCAAUUUGUGCCGACACAUAUGGUGAACCAUUAGACAUCUCAAAAAAGGAUCUAGAUUGUGGCUGCUCAACUGCCCACUGCUGAGUAUCUGCUGCCAUUUUUUCAAAUAACAAAUAAGCCUCUUGUGCAUUUUUAUCUUUGUACGAACCUCUGCAUGAAGCGUUGACAAGAGUUUUUGUAGUCAUAUUCAACCCUCUGAAAAAUAUAUGCAUUUGAUCAGUAGUGUUAAUACCUGAGUGUGGACAUUUUCUAAUCAACUCUUUGAACCGCUCCCACGCAUCAUGAAACUCCUCAUUUGGCUUUUGGGCAAAAGAUAAAAUCUGAGUUCUCAUGUCAAGAGUCUUAGAAGCCGGAUAAUGCUUGUUUAAAAAUUUUUCACUAAGUUGGGCCCAAGUUGUAAUGCUUCCAAAUGGGAGUGUGAGGAGCCAUCUCCUUGCUUGAUCUUUUAGAGUAUAAGGAAAUAAGCGCAGCUUAAUAGAUUCGGCUGAAAAUCUCCUCACCAAAAUGUUUUUGCACCCAUUAAAAAUUCUGCAAUGUGCAUGUUAGGAUCAUCAGAUGAUAACCCAUGAAACGUAGGUAGAAUAUUCAACAUGUGCUGUUUUAUUUCAAAUGCAGUCCCUUCCUCCACUGCCGGAUAAGUAAUGCAACUUGGUAUAUUUGUGGUAUGGGCAAUCAGUGACUCACCCAGAGGCAGACCAGCCUCUGGAAUUACAAAUGCCAUUUUUUCUUUGCUGUGCAGGUCCCCAGAAAAGAAUGAUUGCAGAAAAGUCUCCUGCAGAGGACGAACCCUCUGCAAAGUUUGUGAAGGAUUUAUUUUGAAAAACAUGUUCAUUUGAAUAACAUCUAUAGCAUGCAAUUAACAAAUUAAAGGCGGAAUCAUGCUUGUAUGCAUUCAAAAACAAAACAUUACCCAUGAAAUUCAAAGCCUAGUAGAUUGGUGAACCAAUAAUCAACUCAAAACAAAGUGAGUUGAAAUUAAUACCUUUGUAGAUUCCUCUUUGCAUAAGCAAAGGCUAAUCACCCAAAGAGAUAGGGCCUUCAUUCCUUGCUUCUUAGAUCCAUGGAUUUGGAUGGAAGAAUAGGUUCUCCAAGUUCCCAAAAUUGAGAACCUCUAAGUCUCUUCACCAAGGUUUGAUUGUAGAAGAAAUGAGUGACCUUGGAGUAGUAGGAUUGCUAGAUGUACCCUCCAAGGUGUUGGCCUCUUUAGAGAGAAAAUGGAGAGACAAUUCUCACCCAUUUUCACCCAAAAUAAACCCUUAAUCACAUUAUGAAUAUUUGGCUAUAAAGUCCUUUAUAUAGUCCCUUCAAAUAAGUGACCUAAAGAACAAAAAACCCUAAUUCAUCUACAUGGCCGGCCUACUUUGGGAUUUUUGGGCUUUUGGGCCUUUGUGAAUCUUUAUUCAUUAAGUUGUCAUACAUCUUAAGUCAAUGGGCUUGACAUUCGAAGCCCAUUGGGCCUUAAGGUCCAAAAUUAUCCCGAGGUCUUUAACGAACUUAUUCGUUUGAUUAAUUAACAUAUUAAUUAAUCCUUGCCAUAAAUAAAUGAUUAAACCAUUUAAUCAUUCUUACUCAUUUCCGUUUAAUCUUCAAUCUCCACCUUUUAUGGUGUGCGAUCCAUUAGGUUCCUUUUAGCGAGGCAGUGGGGGGCGAUUAAAACCAUUUUACAUCGAUUGUGAAUUGAAACAAUUUUCAAUUCUCCCUUUAGUGGUUAUACACGUAUAGGGCUUCCACAAACCAUGGUUGACGCCUAGCAGCAUGUCAUGGUUACCCAAGCUAAUCAGAAGAGGUUAGAGAACCUAUUCAGUUCGGGAUUACAAGUGCAAUACGGUCCUUCUCUAAUCUAAUACUCUUGACCACAUUGUUUGGUAUGAUAGUUUAUUUACUCAUGUCUACUAUCCAAUGUGAAUCGUUUGCUUAUAUGAUUUCCUUGAAUGUGAUUUGGAACGCAUUCCCCAAUCUUAUUCAUACUCUGGCCAGAGAUUCCAAAUCAUAUCAUAGAGUAUUCUCCCUCAACUGUUUGAAGGUUAGAGAUCCCUUGUUGCGCAUUCACUUGUCUCCAUAGCUAAGUGGCUUAACCCCAACGAUGCCGUGACACCCCGAGGGGGUGAAUUAGACAUAAUCAAAGAUUAAGGACUUAACCACAAGACAACUGUGAUGCCUCAGGUCAAAGGACAACUUUGCAUUAUCCCAACCAUGAGUUCUCAUGUGACAUGGAAUAUAAGAACUCUUCGUUGAUCACGUUCAGUGAACUCAUUCUCUUAUUUGAGCACCUACGUACUUGUCUUGAUGUCACACACACCAAUGACUCGAGACUAGUCACUCUCCCUGAGAGAAGACACAGUACGUACUGAUCUUAACGGACUGUCAAUGCCCAAUUGGUAAUCCUAUGAUCAGGAACAUUUAGGAUGUGUCUACGAAAGAAUGGUCUCAUUAAUCUAACUUCAUUAGAUUGCAUUCUCCCAAUCACAUAUUCCUUGGACUUUAUCGUUUAAGCAUAUAACAUUUAUAUGAGACGGCUCAAACAAUAAUCUUUGCCCUUUAUAUGUUAAACUAGAUUAGUUUAACAUUUGAAAUGUCCGUAAAGUAUCAUCAUAUGAUUGGUUUUAGGGCACAUUUCCAACAAUCUCCCACUUGCACUAGAGCCAAUCAGCAUUGGUCAUCAGUGAUGAUACCUCUUCUGUAGUCAUUUCAUAAAUGGCUGAAAAGUAGGCCUAGACAAUGGAUAUCUAUAUGUUAUCCAUAGAAGCAACGUUGAGAAUAUCGACUUCACCAUUAUACAUGAUUCUCAAUCAUGAGGUUCAGUCUCUCAUUUGUGUUCGGAUCUUGAUGAGCCCUUGAUUCCCAGGCUUGAGCUAUCGCCCCAUUAGUGUCAUACACUUUCUGGUUGGAACCGUAUAGAGAGUUCAUAAAUGAACUUUCCCAUCCAAACAACAUUGUUGUAAACUUCUAUAUGGCAAUAUAUCUUGCAUUCAUAAUGGAACACACUAAAGUCAUUACUUUAAUGUUUCCAUCCAAAUAUCUCUUUAGUCAUAAUAAAGAGAUAUCUGUUUAUUUCUUCAUUCGUAAUGAAGAAACAUCCAAUGAUGGAUUAGAUUCAUAAUCUAAUACAUUUACGCUUCCAUUACGUUACUCUAAUUCUUCCUCGAUCUUUGAGGAAUUUAUCCUUUAGUAUUUCUUAAAUACUUAAGGACUCACUUGACAGUUGCCAUGGUUCUGAUCCUGGGCUUGUAUUGAUAUCGUCUUGUACCGUUCUCGGUACAACUCAUAUCAAUGUUUUUCAUACAAUAUGAAAUACAUAAAUCCCCUUUCUGUUUACGCAUAAAGGAUUCUAUUUACGCAUUAUUUCUUUGGGAGUCAACAACUUCUUAGUCUUACUAGAAUUGUCCAUUUGAUUGAAGUUUAUCAUCAUAUGAGAAACUUCCCAGCAUCUCUUGUCUAUUAUUGGGGAUUGAUACAAUCCAAUUAUAUCCUAAAAUCUAUCAAUAUAGAUUUCAUUCCCAUGUAUAUAGACUAUAUCUCCCAUAUACAUUCUAUCGUUUAUAGAAUGCUUAAAGUCAUAACUUUAACGAAGAAGAAUUCAUUUCAUUUCCAAAAUUAAUAUAUCAUAUAUAUUUUAAAUUUUAGGAACAUGAUUAACUCCCACUAAUCUUUUGUAAAACUCGUAAACAAAAGAUUCAUUUACAUCUUGAUGAGAAAUCAAACGAUUUGAUUCUUUUUCCUCAUAAAAUGCAAAUAGCUCCCACUAACUUGCUAAGAUCCAUGAUGGAUGGAUCUCUACAACUUACAUGUCUUGUGAUUUAUAGUUUUGGACAUAUAUUAUCAAGACUAUCUUAAUAAUGGUUUCGGAAACCCAUAUUAUGUCAAAACAUUGAAUCACCAUUUUAGUUGUAGCUAGCAAUCUUCGAAUUAAUUGAAACCAAGCCUACCUCAAAGAUGGUUUCUUCAAAGUCAACCAUUCUCUUUGAUUGUAGUUACCUUAAGCUACCAAUUAGCUAUGAAGGUUUUAUUAUUUCGAGUCAAAUGGUACUUUACCAUUUCCUUGAGCAUGUAUCAUAUAUACACUCAAUGUAGUCAUAAGGAUUUUCAUUCUUAUUUCUUUCGAAUUAAGAGGUGCAACUCUAUGACAUAGUCAUAAAGUUCAAACCAUUCAACUGAGACGGUUUAUAAAUCCUUCUUGACUACCUUGGAGCUUAAGGUAUAGGAACUAGGUUGUUAUAUUUGUUGAUUACUUUCUUGUCUCUCAAAGAACCCAUUCUUCGAGUUCUAUCUCUCGUUCAUUUGCUUUUAGGCAAAUCACAUUGUAGAAUUACAAUGAACUACCCAACAAAACAACAUUUGUUAGUUGGUUUAUAGAAGCGAUAUCCAAAAGUUAAUUUAAGGAUAUCCUACAAGAUUGUUAUCAAACAAAUAUUGCUUAUUAGCACACAACCUCAAAUCUUAACAUGCUUAAGAUUUGUCUUUCUUUCCAACUACAUCUUAUGGAGUUAUGAAAAUUUUGGAAGAUCUUCUAAUUGACAAUUAUAUUGUUUUUAGAAGUAUAUAUCCUAUAUAUGGGUAAUAGAUAACAUCUAACGAACUAAAUCUUAUUUGAGUUCGUUCUUCUCCUAAUGGAGAAAUACAUUAUCUUAUGAUGCUAUUUUCCUUGAUAUCUUUCAAGGAAACUCAUCUAAAGUGUUACCUUUCCUUGGAUCAAAUCUAAGGAGGUAAAUACUUUAGAUAUCUUACUCAUCUAUUUACAUUUCUUGAAUUCUUUGAAACCUUUUGCAAAGUAUUCGGACUUGUGUUUAUUCAAAAUAAACUAUAGUCCAACCGAGAGUGAUCUUCGGUGAAUGUCAUAUAACAUGAGUAGUAUUAUGUUGUGGACAAGUGCCACUAACAUCUAAGUGAAUUAACCUCAACAACUUUGUGAUUCUUUCUUCUUUUUCCAAAAGAAUAAAGAUUCGAACAUUUCGCCUCCAUACAAUUUUAACAAGAAGGUAUUGGAUCCGGAUCUAACGAUCCAAAGCGUCCAUCUAUGACCAACUCGUAAUUUAUGUUUUUAGAGGUAUCACAACUUUAGUUGGGAUUAGUCACUACCUUGCAACCUUUUGGGUUUUAAGCAUCAUUAUUUUCUAAACAGUUAACACUACCAUAUUAUCUCUACUAUAGAGACAAUCAAUUAGAUUACUAUAAAUCCAAUUUCUUUGGUAGUUCAUAUGAGGAAGUAAGUACUAUCUGCUUUCGCAGAGAUCUAUAUCUUAUUCACGUUCCGUAUGUGAAGCACCUUUUCUUCUCUCAUAUAUCUUCUACUUCUUAUUAGUCACACUUUUACAACGAUUUGUAAAACAUAGUUACUAAUACGGAAUCAUACAUUCAAGUAGAAGAACCAACUGUUUUGAACUAUUCAAGAACAAUUUACAACACCUUCGAAAGGUGUGUUCUUGACACUUGCAAGACAUUUCUUGCAAAUACCCCUUCCAAUUUCCAUCCUUUCAUAAAGAAAGUUUGUUCCCUUGGAGUUAUUUAUCUUCUUUAUUUGACUUUCACCUUUGACUACAUUAGUCAUGGUCCCUAAACUCCCACUAUCUCUCUUGAAACCCUUUUCAAUUGUGUUAUACACAUCAAACAAUUUGGAGAGUAUGUGGUUAUUGUUCACUACAUAGUUUACCAUAAACUUAGUGAACCAUUAGGAUAGGGAAACAAAGGUAAAGUCCUUGCCUAGUUUCCGUCUCGUUAAGUGGUUUAACACUUCAACACUCAAUGAUUCAAAAUCAUCAUAAGUCCAUGUUAAUGGACUAUUUUUGUCAACCAACCAUUAUGUUCUAAACAUAAUUACAAACUUUCAAGAGUUGUACAAGGCAACUCUCAUUUCUUCAUACAACAUUUGGAAGUGAAGAAUCAUGGCACAUUAAGUGUCCAAGCCUUUGUGCUUUCUUCUCAAGUUCCUUGUUCAUGUAACAAAGAAACAAGCACUAAGUGUUUGCAUUGAUUAAGGGUUGUUCAAAGCAACUCUUAUUUCUUCAUACAACAAUUUGUAAUUGAAGAAUUAUGACAUUAAAAGUGUUGUCCUCUUUAUGAUAGACCUAUUCUAACAUAUUCUUCUAAUGAUACAUUAUCAAUAGGAAGAUUGUGAGGAUGAGACUACUUAGGUACAUUUACAAGCCAUUAAAGACAAUCUAUGGUUUUGUAGUACCAAGUCCGUAAACUAAACGUUCGGCUUUUAUUUGUCAAGUGUUGGAUAACGUUUGCAAAUAUAUUGGUAAACAAAUACAUAACGAAUAUAAAUUGAUUGAUUUUAAGCCAUUUGAUUCGGGUCUUUAAAUCAAAUAGCAUCACCCACUAUUUUUGGCAAAUUCCAUAUCCCUCAUUGGAAUUCGAGAGUUUUGGAUGAAACUCUUAGUAGGUUAUGGGAGGCUCACUAUUACCAAGCCCACCUCAGAAUUAUAUCAUGUUGGCUAGCGUUAAUGAUAAUGAGAGAGUACGCUUACUCAUUUGCAACUAAUGCAAGUACCCAUCUUAUUUGGCCUCUAGAGAAUGAUUGCCUCAGAAUUAUAUCAUGUUGGCUCCAUUGCACUUAGUUAAGUCAUUUCCACCAUGCUUAGUUCAUGUAGGGGUUCAAGCAUAGCCUCAGAAUUAUAUCAUGUUGGCUAAACUCGUUGCCUACACUCACCUCAUCAUAUGCGUAUAGACUCUUCCUGAGUAUAAGCAUGCACUUUGUACUUCCCCAUUAUAGGGUGAAGGCGGUGUACAAGUCAUAAACGAUUGGAGCCUACCACGGUGGAAGGCCACGAAAGAGUGUUCAAAGCACUCUCACGCUUUCAACUUAAUAUUGGGUUGGUUGAGGGUUUUAGGUCUCAUCAUAUAUCAAUAUACAUUUUAAUCUCUAUUAAAACAAUUUUGGUCCUAUUACAACUAUUGGUCCAUAUGAUUGUUUUAGUUGUACAUAAUACUCCCACUAUGCUUUUAAAACGGUUUUUAAAGCAAGAGUAUAUGUUACUACUAACAUAAGGUUUGCAUUCAUUUAAUGGACUAUAUAGUUGCCUUAGGGCCUUAGGAUGACUAUGAACCUUUGUUUAGAUUCAACACGAGCCUUGUGUUGAAUCUCGGUCUAGGGAUGGAGAUUGAUUUUAGUUACGCGUUUAAUCACAUUAAGGCGUGUUGUCUUAGGGGCGUUGGACCCAAUUACUUCAUUUUCAUGCAUAUCAUAUAAAGCAAGAAAGAAAUACUUCAAAGUAAAGGAUGAGCUUAUGCUCAUUACAACAUUUGCAUAAAACAAAUUACCUUAAAGUAAAGAAGGACUUAUGCCCUUUUACAACAUUUGAUUAAAUCAAAUUACAACCAAAAUCUAAUCUACACAUUCCCAUGGUUCAAACAAAUUUGAAACGCCUUUCACAUAGCUCAAUUAUAUUAGGCUUAGGUUCAUAAUCAUCCUUUAAUUAAUUAACGCUUUAACUAAUUAAUUGAAUGCAACAUUUUCAUUUGGUUUUUGUAUCCAUAAAAUUGAUUUAAGUGGAGCUAAACAAAAUGAAAAUCCAAUUCUCAUUUAAAGAGACAAAACAAUUUUGUUCUCAUCCUAUUUGGGCCAUCAUGCAAUAACCACAACUUUUUGGGCCAUAUUGCGAAAACAUAAACUUUUGGGGUCACUUUGUAAAAACACAAAAGUCACUACUUUCAUGUAAAUACAACUAGAACCCAAAAUUUAAAUAAAUUCAAAAACUUCAUUAAAGGAGCAAAACAAUUUGUCCUUUAGCGUUUUUAGGCCUUAACGUCAAAACGUAAACUUUCGGGUCAAAGUACAAAUACACAAAAGUAUCAAAACUUUAUGUAAUUGCAUAAAAGCCCCAAAAAUACCCUAUUUUAUUAGGGUGGCCGGUUUUUAGGGAUAAAAAUGAGUGAUGGGUGUUUUGAUUUAUUAGUUUUGUCAAAAACAAUCAAGUAGUGCUUUCACCUUUCAUAAAAAUAAUAUAUGUUUUGAUGAUUGAUGUUUCCAUCAUCAUUUAUUCAAAUAUUUAACACUUUAAAUACUUUCAUAAAAUUAAUAUAUGUUUUUGAUGAUUGAUGUUUCCAUCAUCAUUUAUUCAAAUAUUUAACACUUUAAAUACAUGAUAAAUCAUUUGAAAAACAUAUAACAUAAACUUUAUGAAAUAUUCAAAACUUUGAAUCAAAACACAAAACCUUUUUGUUCUUGGCAAGAACAUCAAGAACAAUGAAGAACAUCCAUGAAAACCCAUAAGAGCUCCAUGAAUGUUUUCAAGCCAUAAAACUCAAAUUUUCACCAUUCAAAAUGGUGUUAACAUCCUAGGGUACUUAGGGGUUCCAAAAGUCACCUUAAAACAUUUUUAACAAGACAAACAUGAACCCAAAAAAUCACCCUUUGGAUUUGGCCGAAAAUCCCAAAAAUCAUGGCACCAAAUUUUAGCUCCAAUAUUCAUCCUCAUAUGAACUACAUCUACAACAUUUGAGAUGGCAAAUUUUCAAACAAAAUUUACAUUCAAAGAAGCAAGAAUAAAGCUUGUAACAAUUACAACUUUUAAAUCAUAAACUUAUGAACUACAAAACCCAAAAGGAUUCACCAACUACUAGACCUACUAGACCUAGGCUCUGAUACCACUUGAAGGAUUUAUUUUGAAAAACAUGUUCAUUUGAAUAACAUCUAUAGCAUGCAAUUAACAAAUUAAAGGCGGAAUCAUGCUUGUAUGCAUUCAAAAACAAAACAUUACCCAUGAAAUUCAAAGCCUAGUAGAUUGGUGAACCAAUAAUCAACUCAAAACAAAGUGAGUUGAAAUUAAUACCUUUGUAGAUUCCUCUUUGCAUAAGCAAAGGCUAAUCACCCAAAGAGAUAGGGCCUUCAUUCCUUGCUUCUUAGAUCCAUGGAUUUGGAUGGAAGAAUAGGUUCUCCAAGUUCCCAAAAUUGAGAACCUCUAAGUCUCUUCACCAAGGUUUGAUUGUAGAAGAAAUGAGUGACCUUGGAGUAGUAGGAUUGCUAGAUGUACCCUCCAAGGUGUUGGCCUCUUUAGAGAGAAAAAUGGAGAGACAAUUCUCACCCAUUUUCACCCAAAAUAAACCCUUAAUCACAUUAUGAAUAUUUGGCUAUAAAGUCCUUUAUAUAGUCCCUUCAAAUAAGUGACCUAAAGAACAAAAAAAAAACCCUAAUUCAUCUAUAUGGCCGGCCUACUUUGGGAUUUUUGGGCUUUUGGGCCUUUGUGAAUCUUUAUUCAUUAAGUUGUCAUACAUCUUAAGUCAAUGGGCUUGACAUUCGAAGCCCAUUGGGCCUUAAGGUCCAAAAUUAUCCCGAGGUCUUUAACGAACUUAUUCGUUUGAUUAAUUAACAUAUUAAUUAAUCCUUGCCAUAAAUAAAUGAUUAAACCAUUUAAUCAUUCUUACUCAUUUCCGUUUAAUCUUCAAUCUCCACCUUUUAUGGUGUGCGAUCCAUUAGGUUCCUUUUAGCGAGGCAGUGGGGCGAUUAAAACCAUUUUACAUCGAUUGUGAAUUGAAACAAUUUUCAAUUCUCCCUUUAGUGGUUAUACACGUAUAGGGCUUCCACAAACCAUGGUUGACGCCUAGCAGCAUGUCAUGGUUACCCAAGCUAAUCAGAAGAGGUUAGAGAACCUAUUCAGUUCGGGAUUACAAAUGCAAUACGGUCCUUCUCUAAUCUAAUACUCUUGACCACAUUGUUUGGUAUGAUAGUUUAUUUACUCAUGUCUACUAUCCAAUGUGAAUCGUUUGCUUUGCUUAUAUGAUUUCCUUGAAUGUGAUUUGGAACGCAUUCCCCAAUCUUAUUCAUACUCUGGCCAGAGAUUCCAAAUCAUAUCAUAGAGUAUUCUCCCUCAACUGUUUGAAGGUUAGAGAUCCCUUGUUGCGCAUUCACUUGUCUCCAUAGCUAAGUGGCUUAACCCCAACGAUGCCGUGACACCCCGAGGGGGUGAAUUAGACAUAAUCAAAGAUUAAGGACUUAACCACAAGACAACUGUGAUGCCUCAGGUCAAAGGACAACUUUGCAUUAUCCCAACCAUGAGUUCUCAUGUGACAUGGAAUAUAAGAACUCUUCGUUGAUCACGUUCAGUGAACUCAUUCUCUUAUUGAGCACCUACGUACUUGUCUUGAUGUCACACACACACCAAUGACUCGAGACUAGUCACUCUCCCUGAGAGAAGACACAGUACGUACUGAUCUUAACGGACUGUCAAUGCCCAAUUGGUAAUCCUAUGAUCAGGAACAUUUAUGAUGUGUCUACGAAAGAAUGGUCUCAUUAAUCUAACUUCAUUAGAUUGCAUUCUCCCAAUCACAUAUUCCUUGGACUUUAUCGUUUAAGCAUAUAACAUUUAUAUGAGACGGCUCAAACAAUAAUCUUUGCCCUUUAUAUGUUAAACUAGAUUAGUUUAACAUUUGAAAUGUCCGUAAAGUAUCAUCAUAUGAUUGGUUUUAGGGCACAUUUCCAACAGUUUGCUCCCUGCGAUUCCUCCGUAAAUUCUACUCAAGUUCUGGAUCAAGUGGAAUCAAUUUCUGCACUGUUGAACGGGUGCUGACCAUGCACAGAUUUCUGAGAUCUGCACUGCCGUACUGUUGUAAUCUGUAAAAAUAAAAUAAACGAAAAUUAAUUUUUUUUUAUAUGUAUGAACAGCAAUAACUAAUUGAAAAUCUGAUUAGUAUGGAUUAUUUUAAAUAAUCCCCGGCAACGGCGCCAUUUUUUCUGGAGAAGUGUUCAGAAUAUUCUAAACAUUAAAUCCAGCUAUAUUGGGCCAGUUUUGGAGCAGCUUAUGGGCCAAAACGUGGCUGUUCAGAUUUUAGACGAAUUUUAUCAUUUAAUUUAGGGUUAUGUUUCCUAGGGUUUGUGUGGAGGCUUAGCAGAUAUAUUGCUUGGCCGUCUACAGUUUUUGGGGACAACAUUUUUUUUAUGCAAUUUUGGAGACAGAGAGAAGUGCUAGGGUUUUGGAGAUUUUCUACUUGAAGGUGUUUUCAAUCAUUUUCUUAAGAAUAUUUUCUAUGAUUUCAAUUAUGAGUAUGCGUAACUAAUUCCUUUUGCUAGGGCGAAGCCUUGAGCCUUAGCAUGAAUAUGUGAUUUUUAUUUAAUUGUUUAUGAUUGAUUGCAUGCAUACUUUGAAUUGUUAAUCACCGGGAUAAAAAGUAUCUAAUGAUUUUAAUGCCUGAUCACCAUUAGGAUUUUUAGAAAAGUAAUUUGAUGCAAUUUUGGUCGGAAGGUUCCCUGAAAUUGACGCUGGCUUCUUGUGAUUAAUAAUUGUAAUUUCGCUUAGGAUGAAUAUCACGUCUUAAGGAUUGCAUGGUUUUUCAAAGGAUUUUCAUAAAGCGUAAUGAGUCUUUCAUGUUCAGAUUUGAUCCGAACGUCCGGACGGGUUGCAUGUUAGAUAUACGUUAUAUGUUGGAGGUUCCAAGUAGAAUAUGAAUUAGGAAAAUCUAACCUUCAAAGUGGCAUGUGUAGAUUAUAAGUAAUUGAUAAAAAUUCAUAGGAUUGCUAGGUGAUGGUGGAACCCUAGUGUUUUCUUAAUUUGAUUCUCCCAAAACUGUUUUCUUCUCUCUAGCUCUAAUAUUGCAGAUUGUUUAUUUUAAUUCAUUAAUUUCGUUUUUAUUUUAAUUAGGUUAUAAAAUCAAUCACCUAAACUUCUACUUUACAAUAAUUAAAUGGAAUCUGAUUAGUUUUGAAUUAUUUAAUAAUCCCUGUGGAGACGACCUUGCGAGAUCCGUUUAUACUACAAUAACCUUGUGAUUCUUGCAAGUAAAAUAGGAGAUUUAAGCUCGUUCACAUGAGUAGUAAAAAUCCUAUCAUGUUACACGACACGACCCGUUAAGAUAUCGGGUAUGACACAAAAACGACACGAACACGGAAAACACGACACGAAUGCCAGGUCUAUUGUGCCCUUAGAUGUAAAAUAUAGGCACAAUAAUAUAUUUGAGUUCAUCUUUUUAAACAAAGUGGUCAGAAAAUGUGUUUGUGUCCAUUUUUUUUUAUAUUGGGCAUAAUAUGUAGUGUCCUUUAUUGAAUGGGCACUGUUUUAAUCCUUUUGUGUUGAAAGACACACAAUUUUGUCCAUAAUUUUGUGCCCAAAGGCCAUUUUUGUUGUAGUGACAGUUAACUCAUCCGACACUUCAUCUUGAGCAGCUCCGAUCUUGGCAGCUCCAUCCUUGACUACUCCGUCUAUGGCAGCUAAGAAAUCAAACUUAAGCAGUUUCCUUAUUUUUGGCAAACAACCCAUACGUGGCAGCCCAAACCGUUGUCCAUGCCACGCCACUUCCUCGGCCCAUGCCGAGCCAAUCCUUGGCUUUAAUUAAGCCGAGCAGCACAAGUAAUGGCCCCUGCCACACCUCUUCCUUGGGCCAUGCUAAACCGACUCCUGGCCCCUGUCAGUCGAUGUACCGCACCACCCCGACGGCUGCCCCGUGGCAGCACCUCCCACGAAGAAGACAAAGAAAUCAAUGGAAGACGGUUCUUUGCACGGGCAAGCAAAGAAGAGUGCUAGGGGAGGGGGAACAAAUAUCCUCUAGCUUUCUCUCUUUCUUGUAAGGAUAAAUAAUUGCCCUUCAAAGUUGAUUUAAUCCCCUACUUAAGGUAGGAUUAAAUAGGCAUUGGAGGCGAUUUAUUUCCAUUUCCUAAAAGAAUAUAAUUCCAAGUCCUUGAGAAAAUCUACAUCAAAGUUGGAGAUCUCUACACCUGCUGCCCUUUCCUGUGAGCAGCCCAGCAAGUAUGGAGGCAUUUGUGGAGCCCAAAAUAAUCACAAGGCGACACAUGGAUUUUUGGGAAGAAGAAGACAAAAAUACUCUUGAGGCAUACUAGGAUUCUUACGGUCAAGCAGCAGACACUCAUCACUCAACCAAGUCAAAAUUGCCCAAAAUAGGUAACAAUUCAAAGCCUAUUUCAUCCAUCCUCAUCAAAUCAUUUCUACAAGAUAAUUCCCAAAACAUUCCUUUUAAAUUAUGUUAAUUGGCUAAUUAAUAGAUUUAUUACCUAAUUAAUCUAUUAAUAGCCAAUUAAACCACCAAUUACUCCCAAAAAACACACAUAAGGUCGGUCACCUUCUCUCCCAAGGGGGCCGGCCAUGCCUUAUAAUUUCUACCUCAUUUUCCCCUUUCAUUAGCUAAUCAAUUAGGCAAUUAUUCUAUUAAUUGACUAAUUAAUUAGUUAAUUAUUCCAUAACUCCCAAUUUAACACAAAUCAAGAACCUAGCCCACAAAGGGAGCUAGGUGGCCAGUCCUCUCUCAUCCAAGGAGGUCGGCCACUCUCCUAUUUAAACCACAUCAUCCUCCUCAAAGUCCACUUCCAACUCUCUUGUUAAAAUUCUCACACUUUCUCUCUAAAUUUUAACUUUAACAUCAAAGAUUCUCUAGCCAAAGCGCCCCCCCCCCCCGGCGCCAAUUCAUCAUGGGCGUAUGAGGCUCUUGGCCUUGACCAAAGGUGUUAAUUGUUUUGUAGGUGCAAUUUUGUCCAAGAUCAAGGAGGAGGAAAUUUGCAUCCACACAACCCCUUCAAACCGCACCAAAAAAUCAAAACAUCCAUUCGAAACCUCAAUUUUUGAAACCAAUUUCAAGUUCGAUUCAAGUUUUCAAACAAUAAUCAAUACAUCAAAUCCGGAAUUUCUCAACCCAAAAACUUCAUUUGAAGACGAAAAACUGAAAAAAUUCGAGAUAUAUAUUUGCAGAAUCCAAAUCAGAGAAACACAGGUAUGAACCUAGAAAUUCUUAUAUUCUUGAUGAUUUCUUACUUUGAUUUACUACAUAUGUAUAUUUGCAUGUUUGAGAUUCUAAAAAAUAAAUUAUGUUUCCAGUUCAGAGUAUUCUGAUUUGCAUCCAGACGAAAACGAACAAAAAAAAAAGGGGGAAAUAAAAGCAACAUAGAAGAAAUAGAGGUACAUACUACAAAAUUUAUAAUAUUCUCGAUGAUUUUACAGUAAUAUGUAAGUUUGCAUGAUUCGAAUUCAUUGAAUGGGCAAUGUUUCUGCAAAAUGGUAUUUUUUUACUUCACUUUGAUAACGCUUGUUUUCUUAUAACCUUUAAAUAGUCUUUUCUUGACCUCAUAUGUUGGUUACUUUGCUUAAAUAACUUAAAAAUAAUCAACAUUCUAUUACAAUGGUUCCAGAAACAGUAUAGUUUUUUUGUUUCUGUUUGAUUAACAGUAUGGAUCCAUAAUCAAUAUGGUGUUUUAGUUCAUUUUCUUAAAUAACAUGCCCUAGUAUGGAUCCAGAAUCAAUAUAGUGAAAAAGGACAUUUUUGAAGCGUACCAAAAAUACUCUAAGACGAAACUCUUGAAGGACGAAAGCUACUGCUUCAAUUAUAUGUGCGCAUCUCAUCCAAUCCCUCUUAUUUGCAACCUCCAGAACAUACAUCACAUGGAACUUUAUAACAAAUUGUGGGGCAUUUGACCAAAUCAGCAAAUAUAAUUGGGCAAAAGGAGUGAUAGACUACUUGUUCAAGAUGAUUGACAAAUCAAAGAAAAAGAAGAAAAAUGGAGGAUAAUUAGCAAUAACAAGCGGAUGCACUGCUAUUAUUUUGGUAAAAAAAUUAGAACUAUAGUUUUAAAAGCAUGAAUUCUAUCUUAUAAAUUUCACAAGAAACUAAUUCAAAGUUCUUAUUUCAUGCAGUAUUGGAUUUAUCUUCACACCAAUCUAGUGGAGACAAUAAGUUGACGAGAAAACAUGAUUCCUGCAAUUAGAAGAUGGACAUAACCAAGAUAUACAAAGCAAUUCUUGACCUUUCGAUUGCCUUGCGGAUUAGUGAGUUACUGGGUUCUGCCCCAUAACGUACAUCUUUGUGUCUACAUACGACGACUCCGUUUCUACUCAGAGCCGCAUAUAGAUGGCUCGCGAAACUCAUGCGGGUGUCUUGGCCACUGAAACUGAGGUAGACAUCGUACUCAUUUGUAUGCGUGGUGGCCAUGGAUCCCAACGGAAAUCUCUGCUCUCUUCUCUCUCUUCUUCUUAUGGAAACUCAGACCGAUCAAAUCCAGAUCUGAGAGUCUUCUAGCAUAGGAAUGGAUAAUGAAAUGUCAACGGCUAUACAAUCGUCCGAUGCGCAGCAGCAAAUCUCCAUUAGUUUGACUUGAACUACAUAUAAGUAUUGUUUUUUUUUUGUUAGAUACAUAUUAAUAUUGUUCAAAGCUACAUAUUAAUAAAAAAAAAUUGUUCAUUAAAAAUUAGUAAAAAGACUAUUUAGUUUUUUAUCUCAAUAAAAAAAUUAAAGACAGUAACGUAAUUUUACAAAAUAAAAUUUUACUUUUUUGUUUAAACAUCACUUACAAGUACUUUUAACAUUUUUAAUUUUUAAAAAUUGAAAGAAAAAAAAAAUUAAACUCUCCUCGCUCUCGUUCUCUGUCUCUCCUCCAAUUUUAAAAACAAAAAUAAAAACAUUUCACACACAUUUUAUGUAUUGGCAUACUAGUAUUUAUUUACAAUUCACGUUUUUCACAAACAAACUUACCACAUUGAUCUCACAAAAAUAAUUUGGACAGGAUUAUAUAAAAUCAUAAAAGCAAAUUUGUUGAAGAUCUACUUUUGGCGUUUUAAUUACACUUAGUUAAAACCGCAUGUUUAAACUAUUUUGCUAUAUACAACACUAAGGGGUUGUAUUCAAUAUGGAACGGUACCAUAUGUUAAUAUAUAAUUGGGUUUUUUUUUCCUUCGAAUUGUAUAAAAAUAUGUAUUGUACCGUUCCACGUUCCAAGCAAUUUCUCCAUAAUCAGGAUUUUGAGCAAUUUUAAUUCUUUUUACAAAUCCAAGGGAAUUUAAUUAAAAUUUAAGUGAUUUUCUAAAAAUAUAAGUGUAUUCAAUUAUGAUUUUAAAAGAGUUUAACACAUUUCAGCAUUUCAAUUAGAAAUUUAGUUUAAAAUUUGAGGAAUUCGAGUGAAUUUGAGAGGUUUUGUAAUGUAUUUUAAAUAUUCUCAAAUCUCACAUCUCUCCCUAAUUAUUUGUGAGAAUUCACUCAAAAGUUUCGUAAUGUAUUUUAAAUAUUCUCACGUCUCUCCCUAAUAAUUUGUGGAAAUUCAUUCAAAAGUUUACAUGUGAAUAUCUAGAAGUCAAAUAAACUCCAUCAAAAUCCAUCAAAAUCCAUUAAAAUCCCUCGAAAUCUUAAUCGUAAACAACCCAUGAAUAAGAGGAGGCUUGAGAGAGAUUUAUGCGACCAAACCAAUGCUGAAUGUCUACUUACUUGAUGCUGCGUGGUUAGGCUUAGUCGACCUCACUCCAUCUUCAUUGCUUUGCUACUUGAAAUGAGGGAUUCCAAACAUAUUGGCGAAGCCGGCCAAUGUACCCUUCAAUCUACCACUUCCACUAGGUCCUUCUCCGUCACCAUCGCUACUGGAUUGGGUCGCUAUUUCAUCCAACUCUUCCACAGCGCUCUCGUACACAACGUCCAACUCUUCCACAUCACUCUCGUACACCAAACGAGUGCCGCAACUCUUCACCAAGCAGGGGCCUGAGCUUUUGAAAUUAAAUUUUAACUGAUUGCAACUGUUUUGCCACUCUGUACCAAAGCUUAUACCACGAGACACAUAGAGUAGCCAGAUAUGAUCUGACACGGGCUGGACAUCCGAAGAUAGUAGAGGCGCAGGGUACUCUUCCUUUCCAUUGACUUCCAAAACACCAGAGAGCUCCCAUCCGCUCCCACAAACUUUAAAUACAGCGCACAGAGCAUAUCCCAUCCACUUGUUAUCACGCCAUUGCGGAGUUAGGUCGACGGUUACUUCUGGUCCCAUCCUUUGAUGAGUGAACCACCCAGGAAUUUCCUUUCCAGGCAUGACAAUUUCAUAUCUAUCUCCUGCAUAAGGGACUCCCUGUACAGGUGAAACAGUGAUGUCAAGCAUUGAGAGAGAGAGAGAGAGAGAGAGAGAGAGAGAGAGAGAGAGAGCACCUUAAGAUAUCUUUGGAGCAUUGUAAAUGUUAUAUGAUUGUAGCUUUCUUUCUCAAGCAUUCCAAAGCAAUUGAUGAAAUUGAAGCAUGAUGAAUUCAAUCUGUCCAAAUUUGAUGGACAUUCCAGCAUUUUCAGUUUAGUACAACCAUCUGCAGUUACUUGUAAAUCCACAUCUGACGAAAGAACUGGAAGGUGUUGAAGCCUCCAGCAACGACUCAAGUAUAAAUUCUCUAGCUUAGUGAGUUGGCUAAUGCUUGUAGGAAGAUUAACAAAAUCGUUUCCACUUAAGUUCAAUGAUACCAAAGACGAUAAGCAGCCAAUAUCACUGGGGAUGUCUCCUUUACCAAGACUGUGACCACUUAAGUCUAAUUCCAUUAAAGAACAAAGGCCUGAUAGAGGAGGCAAGAACAAACUGAUGGAAUGAUGAAGGCUCCCUGUUGGCAUUAAUCUAAAAGGGAGCAACAUAUGCCAUGGUUGUUGUGAUGGCCCUUCCAUUCCACGAAAAAUCAAUGCUUUAAGGUUUUUCAGAAGGGCAAUGGAAGAUGGGAAUUCUUUUAUAGCAGUUCCACUUAAAUUAAUCUUCUCCACAAACUCUAAUUUCCCGAGGGUUUCUGGCAAUUUGGCAAGAUUUGAGCAUCCAGAAACAUCAAGACUUUUAAUAGCCGUCAAAUUUCCAAUGGUACGAGGAAGACAUUUCAGAUUUUUGCAAUCUCUCAAGUCCAACAAAGAAAGGCUGGUUAGAUGUUCAAUUGAUGAAGGUAUACAUUCAAUACCGGUCCCAUCUAAAGAAAGCUUCCAUAAAUGCUCCAUAGGUUCCACAAAAUUCGGUAUCUUUUUAACGCUUGAGCAGCCAGAAAGAACUAGAACUUCAAGGUGCUCCAUUUCAAUCUCAUCCGGAAGAAGCUCGAGACUUUUGCAGUCUUUAAGAGUCAAGAAAGUGAGCUUUUUGAGAGUUCUUAUGGAAAAGUGAAUCUCAACUAGACUUUCGCAUCCUUCAAGAUCUAAUCUCUCAAGAUUCUGAAUCCCUUCAAAAUCAGGGGUUCCAGUCAAACUUUUGGAAUGACUAACUUUAAUGAUUUUCAACUUGUCAAAUUUCUGCAAUGUUUACAAGAAAUGAAGAAUAAUUAGAUCCAGAAAACUCAAAUCAGGUAAUGAAGUAUAUUCUACAUCAAGCAAGGUAAUAAUAUUAUAGAUGUAGCCAUAUACCUUUUCUCCAUUCCAGAGCUGUUUAAUUCUACUAUGACACAUAAUAAGUUCAACAAGCUCUGCCGGGUGGAAUCCUAAUGGGAGAUAUUGUAGAGGAUAACCUCUCCAUUCAAGAAAUCUCAAGGAAUUAGGGAGACGGUUUAGGCCUUCAGGAAGGCGCACGUUAUGGACUUUGAGCAAUCUAAGAUUAACCAUCUGAGAAAAAACUUCAGGAGGGCAUUCGACCUCUUCUGAGGUAAGCAAGUCUAGGACAAUACCUUCAACCGUCGAUGUCCCCUGAUAACCAAGAAUAAAUAAAAAAACAAGUGAAUUGCAGUAUAGUCUGCACAUUAUAAGUAAAGGAAGAUAAGUAAAACUAAUAGGUUUUUUUUUUUUGUGCUUUUAAUUGUUGGAUUAAUUUAUAUUUGAUGUAUUAGGUAAGCUCUUACCGUAUUUUCCUUCAAAACACGAAAGAUGUCCUUAGAAAGCCAUAAUCUGCUCCGUUCACCAGGUUCUUUAGAUUGUUGACCAACAAUUGCUUGACCCAUUUUUUGUAACAAAUCAUGCAUCAACACCAUGUUAUCUGAAAUUGUUAUCAGAGACUUCUUCACAAGGACAUCUAUGCCAAUACCUGGAUUAAAACCACAACCAUCUAGUAUUUCAACUACUCGAUCUUUGUACUCUCCUUUAAAGAAACAUGCGAUGUCAAGGAAAAUAUCUUUCUCUUGUGGAUCUAAACCCUCGUAACUUAUUAUAAGUGUCUUCAUAAUUUUUUCAUUAAAUAUUAAAUCAUCCCCUAGUUUACUUAAUUGACCUCUCCAUGCAUCUAGACCUCUUCCAUUCAAAAAUAACCCCAAGACUUCAAGAGCUAAUGGAAGGCCUUUGGCAUAACUCACAAAACUUAUAGACAGAUCCAUAUGACUUUUAGGCGGAUUGUCCCUUUUAAGGGCUCUCAAGCUAAACAGUUUAAGAGCGCCAACAUCACUCAACAACGGCACCUCAAAUCUUCUUUCUACACCAUGUGAAAUUAGAACCUGUUUAUCCUUAGUCGUAAUAAUGACUCUACUCCCUUGACCAAACCAAGCUGGGUUUCCACAUAGCUUUUCUAACUGAAUACUAUCGUCCACGUCAUCAAGAAUGAUGAGAACCUUUUUGUCACGUACGAAGUAUCUCAUUUUGGCGGCUUCACUGGGACUCCAGUCUUGUAUAUUUCUAUUCAUAAGGCUAUUGGAGAGCUUCCUCUGUAUACCGUCCAGACCGUGUGCCUUAAAAUCCUCGCUAACUCUGUCAUGAAAGCUUUUGACUUGAAAUUUAUGAAGAAUCCUCUGAUAAAAUGCUUUGGCAAUGGUUGUCUUACCUAUCCCACUCAUCCCCCAUAUUCCUAUAGAGAGAACAUCAUUUGACUCUUGUUCUAAAAGCACAUCAAGUUGCUCCAGUUUCGACUCCAUUUCAACCAGGUUUUCUGCAGGCUCCAAUGAUAUAGGACCUACUUCAGUUCGUACCUUUUCAACGAUUUCCUUGAUGAGCUCUGGUUCUUUCCUACAAGAAAAAUAUACAAUGUUCAAGAUAUGACCUAAUACACAUAGAAAUAAAAAAGUUAGAGACUAUUUUUGUUUUCGUCCACCUGAAGUCCUAGUAUCAAGUGGUCUCUGUGUCCAUUUAAUAAGAGGGUAGUUUGGUAUUGGACCAAAUUAGGGACGGUUUCGGAAUAGGGGAGGAUUAAAAAGCGCAGCAGUGUUGGAUUUAAAAGACAUGAAUUCUUAACCGGAGCAAUUUUUUCCCCUUAGAUUCUCAAAUGGACCAAAUAUAUGGUAAAAACAAAAGGUCCUCUAGGAUGGAACCGUAAGAAUAAAGUUAAACAAAGUCUACAAGGCCUAAAUGCUUCCUCAUUAAUUAGUUGUGCUGUCAUGGGAUUAAGUAGUUAUCAAGCACCUUCGUUACUGUCGUCGUACCCAGUGCACAAGGCUCCCGCUUUACGCAGGGUCUGGGAGAGGUGAAUGUCGGCUAGCCUUACCCCCAUUUAUGGAGAGGCUGCUCCCAAUGUGUGGGGGAUGCAACACGAGGACUUCCCAGGAGGUCACCCAUCCUAGUACUACUCUCGCCCAAACUCGCUUAACCUUCGUUACUGUGCAAAAAGUAAAUUAUAUGAAUUCUUCGAUUUUCCUAAAACUUAUCAGAUAUUCUUCAUGCAUCAGGAUUUGGCAGAAUUGUAUUGAACUCUAGCAAAACUCAACCGAAUUAUAGAAACAUUGCAAGAAUUGAGUGAAAAAAGAAGGAAUACUAACUUGUUAUUUGAAAUAGGCCCUUUGAUUUUUGCCACUAUUUUUAAGGCAGCUUUCCAUCCAUCCACCAUCUCUUUGUCAUCCUUAUACUCUUGUUCGAGUUUAGUGAAGCCAUUCCCAAAAAUCCCAGACCGAUCUCCAACAUCGGAGGGUUCCACUGAGUAGAAAACUGGUAUAGCUGCCCGUCUCUCUUCCAUGCAUUCAAGAAUCUUUACGAGUUCGUUCAGGCACCAUUUUGAAGAAGCGUAAUCUGGAGAGAUGACAACGAUGGCAAGCCUCGACCUUGCAAUUUCCGGGAAGAGAUCAGAAAUUGGGCUUCCUAUUUGAAGUUCGUCAUCAUCCAAGAAAGUUCUUGUAAUUCCUUGUUCUUUCAAUUUAUCAUGUAGAUGGGCGGUAAAACCUAAGCGCGUGUCUGCACCCCUAAAACUCAAAAAGACAUCAUAUUUCCAUUCAAGAGCUGAAGGAAGAGAUGAAGUGGCUCGUUGGGUGCUCGAUGCCAUUGAAACAAGCUAACUGGAUACGGUGGCAUAGCAGCAAUUAAUAUGGUAUUAGUUUUUCAAGCAAUCAUCAUAAAAUUAUUUGCAAAAACAUGAAUAUAUAAAUUGACUUGUGACCAGAAAAACAAUUCAGCAUUCAUAAAAUUAUAUUAGGCAAUAACAUGAAUCAGAAAGAUGAGCAAUAACCUGGGUGUAUGUAGAAAACGAAGUCACAGAUCAAGUCAGAGGGGUCAUGAGAGGAGCUGAAGAUCCGUCAGAAAAAAGGAAACACUGUCUCUGUGUACUUGCUACAAGUCUCUCUGUAUGUCGUCGUCAACGAAACUUCACCGCGUAAGCUUGAUGGACGUGAUUCAACUGCUUCUUCUAUCCGACGGUCAAACCGCGUAAGCUCUAUUUUCCCUCUUUUUUAUUUUUAUUUUUUAUUUUAUUCGUUUGGUGAACUGUAAGCUCCAUUAUUUUAUUUUUGCGUGGCUCCAUUAUUAUUUUUUGGCCAAAUUGGAUUGUUCAUCCCGUAGCCAUAAGACACUUGCAUGAUGACAUCCGUGGUGAAAAAAUUAGGAAUUAAACCUAUGUGGUCUAGAAUGUUAGCAAAUUUAGUCCAAAAGUAAGAUUUCUGUUAAAGGACUGUUAAAAGUUGGGGUAAAACUGUAUUUUCAGUUCCAAUUGACAUUUAAAAUAAAUAAUUUUUUUAUAACAAUUAACAAAAAAAAUAAUGCUUAAUUUUUUAAAUAAAAAAAAAUACAGUUUCUAAAACUGUAUUGGAACUGAAAAUACAGUUUUACCCAUACUUUUAACAGUCAUUUAACAGAAAUCUUACUUUUGGACUAAAUUUGCUAACAUUCUUAACCACAGGGGUUUAAUUCCUAGUUUUUUCACCACAGAGAUCAUCAUGCAAGUUUCCUAUGACCACAGGAAUGAACAAUCCAAUUUGGCCUUAUUUUUUAUACUAAUGCAGAGCACACCAUAGUUGAAUGUUUCUAACAAACACAAAAUUUAAUUGCAAGCACUUCUUUUUCUUCCAGAAACACAAAAUUUAAUUUUCUUUAAGUUGACCCAGUGCGUUCACUUAGACAACAGUGUUGUUUGAAUAAAAAUAACUCUUAACAAAAACUUUUUUAUGGCAAACCAGAAAUACACCUGAAGCUUCUUGAACUACAUUAUGUGGAAUCAACACACUUAAAUUUAUUUAGAGUGUUAUAAACUCCUUUAAAAUAUUGAUUGUUCAAACCGAUCAUUUUGAAGCGCUAACUUAUUAGUAAGCAAAUACGUUUCUAGCUACACGUUUGAGCACAUUUGCAAGAUUCAUGAUUAUCCAAACCGAUCAUUUUGAAGGCCACCAUUGAAUAAGGAUUAUUCGUGUAAAAUCUCACUCAAAUUGAGCAUUGCUUAGCUAUCUAGCUAAUGGCAACACUAUAAGCAAACGAACAUGGUAAAUAAUAAAGAAAAUCAAAGGGCUCAAUCAUUCCAAUUUAGGUAAUUUUUGCAAGAAUGAUUUUGUAUUGAUUUUUAUUUUUUUUCUUCAGAAAACUAUUAAUCAUCAAAGUCCCAAGGGAGGGCGAACAAGAAACCAAAUCAGCAGGCCAAACAAAGGACCGUGGGCACUGCCGUUACACACUUCUAACAGAACGCAAAGAACCUUCCGACGUAUGCCUCAGCCUUCACCCGGCAACGAUUUCUGGCGAGCAACCGGGCAAGAAGAGAGAUGCUACAUCUCCAGAGACAAUGCUACUUGUAAAGAGGAGAGGACUAACCCACAAGUUAUGACAAACCUACCAAUAUUAAAUUUCAACAUCUCGAGUCCAUGUGGUUGGUACGACAAUUUGAUCCAUACAUACAUACAUACAUACAUACAUACAACAAAGACACACAAGAAAGAAAAAUUUGGCCAACCGUUAAAAACAAACCGAGAUCAAAGAAAUCAAACAAUAAGGUACAUCAAUACAUUAAAUUAUAUGCAAUGCCUGCUGACAUCUCGGAAAUAUACCAACUAAACAGCAUAGACAAACCAAAACUGAAAAAGUUCCUACCAAUAUUUAUUUAGCAACAGGUAAUCUCAUGAUCUCAUGUGUAAGUGAGGAAC